AAGCCCCUUAAGAUCAAGGAUUGUGAAAUUAGUCAACUUUGGGAAGAUGCCUAAUGAGAAGGAUAACGAGAGAGAAUCAUCGAUAACACCAUCUUUGAUUUCUAGACUUUCAAGGACUGGGAGAUGGCAUCUGAACAACUCAGGUAGGAGAAACGCUAAUUUCGAGCAGUCAGAGAUGAAUAGUGAUUUCAGUGUAGUGGGUAAACCAACUUUGUGCAGGGAUCUAGAAAAACUACAAUCAUAGAUUUUCAGAUCAUGUAUGUUGGUUUGCGAGAUUUCCUCCUCUAGCAGAGACUCCACAUAAUCACAUUUUCUAAUUGACAGCUGGUGUGGUGCCAUUGGAAGUUGACUCCACUGAGACACAUCUAAAAUUUCAAUUUCUGAAGUUUGAAGAGCUGUGAAGUCACAACCUGCCAUUUGCAACUGCAGUUUACCAAAAUCCACCAUCCUCAAUUGACGAAUUGCAGGAACUGUGAGUGAAGCCAUAAGCAGUUGCGGACAUUCAUGAAUUUGAAGUUCCACCAAUGAAAGAAGCUGUUCUGGUAAUUUCCCAAUGAGUUUGGGACACCUUCGUAUAAAAAGCUUUUGAAGAUGAGGGAAUUCUCCACAACAUAACCAUUUCUCCCAGUUCUGCAUAUCCUCAAAUGAUAGUGUUUCUAGGAAUUGAAAGGAAGCAUUCCCAUAGAACUCAUCACCCACACACUCUACUCCAUUCAUCCUUGAGAUUUGCAGAUAUUUAAGUUGGGUUAGCUGUCCAAGUGGUGGCAAUGUUGAGCAAUUGCCACAACCCCGAAGCUCAAGGGACACGAGAUUCAACACUGAAGGAUCUCCAAGCCAAUUUGGAAAUCCUUCACCAGGAUAGUUUGUGAUGGAGAGUUGUUUUAAAUUUGGAUGAGGUUGUAACUUGUUGAGUAUAUCAUGCGUUGUUGCACCACUUUGUGUAACACCAUUGGUACACAUGUAACGCCAAUCAAAGAUCAACUCAUCAAGAUAACUUUUAUCCUGCAUAUUAGCUCUUGAUGCAUCAUUAACACUCACCACAUUCUCCAUGUUUGAAAUAUAAAGUUUUCCUCGAAGCUCUGAUAGCUCCCCCAAUUCUCCAAUUCUUAAUCCAUUGUUUUGGCCCACAAUAAAUCGAGUCAACCUUUGUAAAUUUUUUAAUUGACCAAUUCCAUGACUUGACAUUGCUCUCAAUGAACGACAUCCAUCAAUAUCAAGAUAGCGCAAAUUAAUCAAUUUUCCCAUCUUUGAAGGCAAUUCAUCAAGUUCUGAACAAUUUCUCAGCAUCAUCGUUUGUAAAUUGCAUAAACAACAUACUGAUUUAGGUAAUUUUUUAAUCCUCGUGACAGACAAAUCCAAGUAACGCAAAUGUUUUAAAUUACCUAUCGAUUUAGGCAAAUCAGUUAUUGUAUAUGCACAUAAUGAUAACACACGUAAACACCACAUUUUUGGUAAUAUAUCUUGCAAAACUCUUUUACUCAAAUUAUAUAUCGGAUAGUCUUCCAUUUGCUUCACUCCUAAGAAUGUUCGAAUAGAUUUAGCUUUAGUGAUAGCCUCAAAAUUCUUAAAUGCAACAAGCCUCUCAUAAUCACUUUUAAAGUACAAAAAGUGGUGAGCCUUCUCAGAUACUUUCAGUAACUUAUCAUCCUCUUCCACUCGAGCACAAAAAUCUCCAGACACGUGUUGAGCCAAUUCGUGUAUUAGAUCAUGCAUUACAAAGCAUGAUCCUUUUGUUCCAAUAGAUUUUUGAAAGAAUGACUUGGCGAGAAGUUCAUUAAAAUAUGACUCACCUAUCUCUUCCAUUCUCCUUCCUUCGUUUUCUUGUGGAUGUAAAAGACCUUCUGCCAUCCAUAAUAAAAUCAGCUUCUCUUUGUUGAAUUGGUGGUCCUGGGGAAAAAUAGAACAAUAAGCAAAACAAUGCUUCAGAGGUAGAGAAAGAUGAUGGUAGCUUAAUCUCAAAGAUGGAAGAAUUUCGGAGCCACUCUGCCGCCAUAUGUCACUGUUCAACACAACGUUCCAUUCCCCUUUGUCGGCCUCCGAAUACAAGAGACGGCCGAGUACUUUCACAGCCAAAGGCAAUCCUUGGCACUUGUCCACAAUCUGUCUGCCUAUGGGUUUAAGCUCAAGGAAUGCGUUGGGGUCUCUAUCUCCAAAUGCAUGCUUUUUAAACAGGGACCAACUAUCUUCAGAGCUUAAUUUCCCAAGAUCAUGAGUAGGGGCCGCUUUCAUGGCUUCUGCAACAGAUUUAUCACGACUGGUCACAACAAUCUUGCUUCCCUCUGCUGCAGCGAGGAGUGGAGUUCGUAGACGUUCCCAACCUUCACGAUCACUAAGCUCCAUGUAACCUUCAUCACGAGGCUUCAAAUUCCAGACGUCAUCAAGAACAAGCAGAAAUUUCUUGUUACUAAGUUGCUCUUUGAGUUGAAGCUGAAGCUUAUUUAGGCUGUCAAAAUCAUCAGUUUUAGAACCGAUUUCGUAUAGAAUUGUUUUAGUGACCUUGAUAAGGAGAAACUCAGUGGAAACACAGACCCAUACUUGCAAGUCGAAGUGUUUCUUCACUUCCUCAUCGUUAUAGAGGUGCCGAGCAAGCGUGGUCUUGCCGCUGCCGCCCAUGCCCACUAUGGACAUCACCCCCAUUUUGCCGCCUGUUGUAUUGUCAGAAAGCAACCACUUCACCAUCUCCUUCUGAAUUUCAUCCCUGCCGAGAACAAUGGAGUCAUCCUCCAAAGAAGUGGACGUUGGUAAUCUUGGUGUUGGUGACCGUGAUCCUGCUAGCCCCAACCGAACAAUUUCUCCUCCGAUUUUUUCCAGUAGAUCAAUCAUGCCCCUGACCCUGGACUCCAUGCUUUUGAUAGCAAAUGGGGCCUUCACAGAAGCAGAGAACUUGUUCCAUUUCCACGCCUUAAGAGUUCCGCCGGUUUGGGAGUCAGCAGCUUCCAUCUUGCAACGCAAAGCGUCGGUAGCGAUCUCGUCCAACAGGUCUUCCGCAUCAUACACAGCAUCCUUGACAUGGACGAGCCACUCUUUGACAUUUGGGUUGGAAAAUUGCUUCACCUCCGCAUCAUCGAGCACAUUGAGAACAACCACGAGUUUCCUCUUCAACUCGUUGAGGAGUUCAUCGCUAAGGUUCCGUCGCCGAAUGAAGUUUAUGAGCUCUGGAGAAGCCAACCUUUGGAAUAGAACUUGAAGCGAAGCUGAGAGGAGGGCGUCCGCCAUAUCUGUGUCGACUGUUGCUUUGCAAUAGGAAUUCAGAGGAUUGGUUUCUGUUACCGCGAUACCACCAAAGUGCAAAAGACUGGGUUUGGAUUACCACACUGCAGAAUGCUUGAAGGAAUCAUUAUUGGUGGUGGACCCAGCUGCCAGAUAUUUGUCAAACACCAUAAUUGAGUGGUGAGAAAAAGAACAGGAAAAGCAAGUGGGAGAUGGAUGGUGCUUUCCCAACGGAAAGCAAAAGCAACAACAACAUUCGGUAUUUUUCUUUUUCAUCUACGCAUUUCUUCUUUCUUCUUUCUUCUUGUAGUAUUAUUAUUAGUAGACGUAUACACACAAAUAUUUGUUUAUAACAUUAUCAUUCCUAAUAUUAUAAAAUUUAUUAUUAAUAGAAUUUAUUAUAAAAUUUGUUAUUAAUAAUAUUUAUACUAAUAUUAUUUUUUAAUAAUUAAUUAGUAUCCUUACUUUUAUUGUUUAUAAUAAUAAUAAUAAUAAUAAUAAUUAUUAAAAUUUAUUAGUAUUUUCAAGUAAACAAUGGUAUAUGCAUAAGACAUAUUAAAAUUUUGAAUAUUAUGGUUAUUAUUAUUUGAUUCAAAAAAAGUUUAUAAUAUAAUAAUAACAAAAAUAUUUUUUUUAAUAAAAUAAAUUAUAAAAAUAUAAGAAUUUUAUUAUUUAUAAAAUAUAUUUAUUUUAAUAUAAUUAAAAUAAUUAAAAUAAUUUUAAAAUUUAAAAAAAAAGUUAAACGUGACAGGAUUAGGAUGGGACCGACCUAUCCCAAUGCUGCCCAUUGCCAUCCCUAACUCACCUAGUGGUAAUUAAGGCCAUUUUUUAUUAUUAUUUUUUUAAAAUGGUCUUUUAUUCUUAAAAAAAGAAAAAGGAAAAUAUAUUUAAUAAUUAGAAAAUAAAACAUAAUUUUUGUUUUUAAAAAUAAAAAAUAAGGCAUUUUUAGAUGAUACCCUUUUAGUUACUUUUACUUGUUUUAAAAAAAUUAUUGUAAAAGUAAUUAUAUAAAUGUAAAAAAUAAAAUAAUCUAGGUAAAAAUUAUUUUUAAAAUAUAAAAAAUUAGUUAAGAAUACUCUAUCUUCUCAAGCUCGUUUUAUAAAAUAUCAUAAAAUAAUUUUCAAAAACUUGUUUUUUCAUUAUUUUGACAACCGGAAUAAUACACAAUAAAAAUAAAUAAAUAAAAAUAAAAAGAUCCAAAGAAAGACAAAUGUGUUGCAGUAAUGCACUUAAAUUCACUGAACCUAAAAGCCAAAUGUGCAGUGUUGACUUUUCAACCGAGAGUUCACACAUGCCCAUUUUUUUUAAUUAAAGCACUAUUAAUAUAAAAUAUAUAUUUAAAUAAAAAUUAGACUUUUAAAAAAAUUAAAAUAUAUUUUUAAAAUGUUAAAAAAAUAUUUACAAUAUUUCCUUAAAAAAAAACAUCUUCCAAAAACAUUUCUUUAAAAAAUACUUCCACCUAUAAUAAUUCAGACACACUUGUGAUUUAAUAGUUAAAUAUUCUUUCUAAUAGGAAUUCAACUAUCGGUUUGUAUUACCACGAUACCACCAAAAUACGAAAGACUAAUUUUGGAUUACCAAAAUGCAAAAGAGCUGAAGGAAUCAUUGAUGGUGGAUGAUUCAGAUGUCCACAUUAUUUGUCAGACACCAUAAUUGAGUGAUGAGGAAAUGAAAGAAAAGCAAAUAAAAAACAAAAAAGGUGAUGCCAAACAUGGUCUUAUAAGGUGGGUGGAGCGAAAGCAACAAAGGAAACUAGCAGGAUUUUUCAUUGCUAUUACAUACCUCAAAGGACAAAUUUUGAAUUACCAAAAUACAAAAGACUUAAAGGAAUCAUUGAUGGUGGUGACCAGAUGUCCACAUUAUUUGCCAAACACCAUAAUUGAGUGAUGAGAAAACAAAAGAAAAAGCAAAAAAGGUGAUGCCAAACAUGGUCUUGUAAGGUGGGUGGAGCAAAAGCAACAAAACAAACUAGUAGGAUUUUUCAUUGCUAUUCCAUAUCUCAAAGGACUAAUUUUGAAUUACCAAAAUAUAGAAGACAUGAAGGAAUCAUUGAUGGUGGUGGACCAAGAUGUUCACAUUAUUUGCCAAACACCAUAAUUGAGUGAUGAGAAAAUGAAAAAAAAAAAAUGAAAAACAAAAAAGGUGAUGCCAAACAUGGUCAUGUAAGGUGGCUGGAGUGAAAGCAACAAAGUAAACUAGCAAGACUUUUCGUUGGUAUUCCAUACCUUAAAGGAUUGAUUUUGAAUUAUCAAAAUACAAAAUACUUGAAGGAAUCAUUGAUGGUGGUGGACCCCGAUGUCCACAUUAUUUGCCAAACACCAUAAUUGAGUGAUGAGAAAAUGAAAAAAAAAAGUUAAGAAAAAACAAAAAAGUGAUGCCAAACAUGGUGUUAUGAGGUGGGUGGAGCGAAAACAACAAAACAAACUAGUAGGAUUUUUUGUUGUUAUUCCAUACUGAGAAAAUAAAGGGCUACUCUAGGUGAAUAGAAGUUAAAAAAUGUCUUUUUAAACACAAUAAAAUGAAGCACAAGAAGUACAAAUAUAAAGAGGUAAGGUUAUAGAAAGUAAACUCAAAUUUAUAGUGGUUCGACACUUCCGUGCUUACAUCCACUCUCCUCAAGCUCCUACCUGAGUGAGGGUUCCACUUAUACUUGAAGUUUCAACCAAGCUUCUAAUCACUUUUUACACUUGGAUUCCAGCUCCAAUGGAUUCUUAUACAAUCUCUUCAAGUCUUUACUCACUUGAAUGUUUUAACACUCAAUUAACAAGUUUGAAUCUCUCAACCUAGCUCAACAAUGACUCAAAUACAACUCAAGGCUAGGAUGAAUCACUAAGGUGCACUAAAGAAUAUGCAAAUGGAAGUUUAAUGCACUAAGAAAAUAAUGAGAGCUUUUAUGACAAUAAUAAGUAGGUAAACAAAUAAAUGCAAGUGUUCUCUUGCUCAUAAAUGAGGUAGAGCUCUCAAUUUAUAAGUUUCUAACCUCAGGAGCUAAAAAUCCAAAAAGCAAUCUCGACUAGUCGAGCUGGGGGUUGACUGGUUCACUAGCCGUUGAAACAUUAAAUGCUUGGCAGGUGACCGUUACCCUCGACCAAACCUUAACCGGGAAGGCAAAUCCAUAAACCAGGAAAGAAAGGCUACUGGAAGAGAGAUAAUGUUUUUUGCAUCUCUUGACUUAGAAGGAGUAAUCGGUAGACCGGUACCUAGCCGAUUGAGCCGGUUGACCAGUGCCUCGACUAGUUCACCAUUUUUAGUUCGAAAACCUAUCUUUUUCUGGUCUUUUUGCUUCUAGCACUUAGGCAAGGACUUUAGAUAAAAUAAUAUGCCAAUUUUGAAUGUUUUGCCUAAGGUUCAUUUGAUAGAACUCAGAUUUGGAUGGAAAUGUAACUUUAAUGCAUAAACCGAGUUUUAAAGAUGUAUGAAAUGAUAUGAAUAUCCUAAGUACACCCAUGCAUUCGUCUUACGUAUGUUUCUUAUGAUUAAAAGGUCUUUCAAAAGUCUUAAUCUUGCAUUCAUUAGGUCCUUUAAUGAAUUUCCAAAUUAACACCUGAAAUUCUUUAUAAUUCAAAUCAAUUAGUAACUUAACCAUGAUUUGUUAUCAUCAAAACAUGAUUAGAAGAAUCAUUGGGCUAACACAUACCCAAAGGACUAAUUUUGAAUUACCAAAAUAUAGAAGACUUGAAGGAAUCAUUAAUGGUGGUGGACCAAGAUGUCUACAUUAUUUGCCAGACACCAUAUUUGAGUGAUGUGAAAACGAAAGAAAAGCAAAGGAAAAACAAAAAAAGGUGAUGACAAACAUGGUCUUGUGAGGUGGGUGGAGCGAAAGCAACAAAGCAAACUAGCAGGAUUUUUUGUUGCUAUUCCAUACCUCAAAGGAUUGAUUUUGAAUUACCAAAAUACAGAAGACCUGAAGGAAUCAUUAACGGUGGAUGACCCAGAUGUCCACAUUAUUUUUCAAACACCAUAAUCAAGUGAUGAGAAAAUGAAAGAAAAGCAAAGGAAAGGAAAAAAAACGUGAUGCCAAACAUGGUCUUGUAAGGUGGAUGGAGUGAAAGCAACAAAGCAAACUAACAAGAUUUUUUGUUGCUAUUUCAUACCUCAAAUGACUGAUUUUGAAUUACCAAAAUACAGAAGACUUGAAGGAAUCAUUGAUGGUGGACAACCCAGAUGUCCACAUUAUUUGCCAGACACCAUAAUUGAGUGAUGAGAAAACGAAAGAAAAGCAAAAAAGGUGAUGUCAAACAUUGUCUUGUAAGGUGGAUGGAGCGAAAGCAACAAAGAAAACUAGUAGGAUUUUUCGUUGCUAUUCCAUACCUCUAAAUCACCAUAAUAAUAAUAACAAUAACACCAAAUUUUAAGGUUAUUUUUUGUUAUAAAAAAAUACUAGGAAAAGAAAAAAAAUAAUUAAGGAAAAUAAUUUUUUCAUAUUUGGUUUCACUAUAGAAAAUAUAUAUAUAAAAAAUCAAAUAUAAUUAAAAUUAAUUUGAAAUUUAUAUAUUUUAAAAGUAUUUAAUCUUUUUAUAAUUUAGAAAAAAUAAGUAAAACGAGUUUGAAGAAAUGUAUAAAAAUAAUUUAUUAAAUUUAAACUUAUUUCUUAUUUUCCUUCAUUUUUUCUUUUCUUCUACUUUUUCUUUCUAUUUUCUUUCCUUCUCAUUUUCCCUCAAAUUUUCCAAGAACCAAACAUAGCUUAAAGGUUUAGAAUCUUAUGCACAAGACUUUCAAUUUUUUUUACAAUAUUAUUUUAUUAGUUAAGAAUUAAAAUUUAAUGUACCAUAUCUAACACUAACAAAAAAAAUUAUAACAACCAGUCUUAUCUUUUAAGAAUGUAUUGUUUAAAUGAGAUUAAAAAUUAAAAAUAAAUUUUAAUUCAUUUAACAACUAAAUUAAAAUGAAAUUUAUAUAUAUCAUAAAUUUAUACAAUUUUGAAUCAUUUUAUAUGGAGGAUUGAGAAUGGAGAGAUUGAAGAAUUGUUUGGUGACGAGGAGAUUGAUUGAAGAUUUUAUAGUCUUAAGGUUCUAUGGGAUGAAAUUUUUUGUAAAGAGUUUAAAUUUUUGUAAAAAAUAAAAUUAGUUUUAUGUUAUCUGAUUUCAUGGAAAUAUAAAGUUUUAAUUCAAAGAUUAUGUUUUAAAAAUAUUAUUUUUAAAAUAUAUUUAGCAAAGAUUUAUAAAAAUUUAAAAUUAAAAUUAAUUAAUCUAUCAACUAAAUUAAAAUAAGAUUUAUAUAUAUUUUUAUAGAUUUACAUGUGUAAAAUCUUUGAAAUGCCUCAACUUAAAAUAACCUUACAAAAUUUCAUUAAUCUACUAGAAUUUGCAUUAGGAUGAAUACCAUCAUAAUAAUAAUUACGCUCCACAUAUGACGUAUCUUAACAUCCACUUGGAGGUUAAAAAAUAAUUAAAGUAAGGGAAACUAAUAUAUUUAAAAUUUAAAAAUCAUGAUGAAGAUUUGGACAAUAAUUCAAGUAGGCAUCUUUGAAAUUUGACUUCCAAAUCCAUUUGUCAAUAUACACCACCCUAUGACAAUUAAAUAAAUUAAAAGAAGGAAAAAAAAAUGUUAAAGGAAUGACAUAAGAAUUAUUUAUGUAUGACUAGAUUUAAAGUUUAAUUAUCUGAGGAAUCCUUUAUUAUGAAAAUAUAGGGAACAAUUAUAUUUAAGGAGUAGACGGGGUUGAUAAUGACUAAAGGGUACAAAUUUUGCAUAAUUGAUCUAAAAAGGUAGAGAAGGUUUGUAGAUUGUUGUGGAGGAUAUAAACCCAUUUUGUGAGUCGAAAAUGCUCAAAAUACCCUUAAGAGUGUUUUUUUAAAAAGGACAAUUAAGUACUCAUGAUAAUUAAUAUAUUAAGAUUUCAAGAAAAAUUAAUAAUAAAUAAAAUCUUUUUCUAAAUCUAUUUAACAAUCAUAUAGUUUUUAUUUUAUUUUAUUUUUUCAAGUUGCAACUAUUAUCUUAAUUUAUUUUUCAUUUUAAGGUUCAAUUAUUAUUAUUCUUUAUUUUGAUUAAUUAAAUGAAACUGUACAAGACAUAUUUAUAUUAAUUAGCUAAAAAGGAUAGAUUUUUUAGCAAUACGAUUAAAAUAAAUAAAAACAAGGAAUUUGAUUUUCUUUAUAAAAUAGAUUGGGAAAAGUAUAUUUCGAUACAUUCGUAUGAAAAAAAAAAUCAUAAAAUAGGAACUCAAGUUUAUAAAAUACAAAUUUUAAGCAUCCAUCUAAAAAUAAUUAUCAUUUCAUGCAUUUUUUUGGUUAAAUAUAUUAUAUUUGACAAUUUAAGUAUUAUCUUUUAAUAAUGUAGGUAAUACCUUUGACCUGCAUACAACUUGAAUUAUUUUUAGAUAGUUUCUAUUGUAUAAUUAGUUCAUCAUUUGAUAUAAAUAUCAAAUAAUUAAAAAAUAUAUCUUUUUUUUUUAAGAAUUUUAAUUAUAUUUGACUUUCUUUUGUAUUUUCUAUUGUGUAAACCACAUAUAAGAAAAUCAUUUUCUUUAACAUUUUUUUUUCUUUCCUUAAUAAUUUUCGAGAACCAAACAUGGCUUGUAGGUUUGGAUUAUAGGGUAUAGAUGCCAUAAAUACUGGAAUGAGUUCGGGUUUUCCAUGCUAAAUGUCUUUAUUAUUAUUUGGUAGCGCUUUUCCAAAAUUGUUCCAUUCCCAAAACCACUUAAUUUGCUUAAAUAUUUUAACCUCACGAUAUCAUAACAUUAUAAUGGAAUAGAUUUUGUUGGUGUUCAAAUCAUGUCAACUCAAUUUCCAAACCAUUUGGAUUGUCAUUUGGUGAAAAAUAGAAAGAAAUUUUACUUGAUUGAAAAGCAUUUCAUUUUUAUUUGAAUAUGCUGCAAUGAAACAGUUACUAAACCAUGGGGUAGCAGAAGAAGUAAUCGAGAAAAUGAAGAAGGAUGUUUAAGAAUUCUUUAUGCUGCCAUUGGAGGAGAAGAAUGCUUACACAUAGCUACCAAAUAGCAUUGAAGGUUAUCACAAAGAAUGCUUAACAGUUUUCUUAAAUUUUGUCCAAAGUUUAUGAAUUUUUAUUUUUUAUAAUUUUUUUUUACUUAAAUUGAAACUUAUUAAUCAAGGUAAGAUUUCAGCCACAUCGAGAAACAAUUUACGUGAAAAGGGACUGAUAAAAUCUUGAGUUAACAGAUGUAAAAGACAUAAGGCCAAAGACUCUAGAACUCCAACCCACUGAAUCAAGAAUAGAAACACAAAUUUAUCUACCAACCUACACUAAUCUCAUAUCUACAAUGCAACACCAUCGUACUCUUAAGUGACUUGAAAGGAUGUGAAUAUUUCUCACAAGCUUCAUAAUGAAAUUCAAAUUAGCUCUGAGAGUUUUGGGUUAGGCACAAAGAGUAAUAAUGCAUAGCUUUUGUGUGUGAGUUUUUAAGUGAACUUAAGACUCAAUUUAAAGCAUGUAUUUUACUAAAAAUAAAAAAAUAAAUUUAAGAAACUUCAAGAAUUUUGGAAAGAUAAAUUUUAAAAAAAAUUCAAAGAGAGUCAGAAAAUGUUUCCUUUUUAAAUUCUCAAUUUAAUUUAUUUUCAAAUUUAUUAAGAGUUUAAGAAAUAUUUUCUUUUUAAAUUAUCAAUUUAAAACGCUCUUUUAAAUUAUUUUAUUAUUAAUUUUCAUGCAAGUCUACUCUAUACAUUUUACAUCAUUAUUCUCAAUUAACUCAACAAUAUUAGAGUGUAACAUCCCCAAUUGAUUUUGCACCAACCUUAAGUCUUCAAAGACAAUGAUUGAGGCAUUUCUUCUCCUAUUUUCUCCGAUGUAGAAAAAAAAACUUGAAUAAGGUUAAAGUUGGUCUAUAGCAAAAAGUCUUAAUUUGAGUUAGCCUUUUUUUUUUUUUUUUUCCAAAUGAUAUGCAGGUCCAUCUAGCCUUCAACUCAAAUUUUUUAUUCAAAAAUCACAUGUGGAUAUGUGAACAAGUAAAAGUUGAGUUUUACCUAACAUAUCAUUUUGAAAAUUAGGAAAUUUAAAAGGUAUUAGUUUGUUAAACUCACCACCCCUGUCUAUUCUACAAAACAAGAAGAUUAGCAAAGAAAAAGUAUUCAUAUUUGUACUACAAAAUAAAAAGAUUAGCAAAGAGAGAAAUUGUACGCAUGAGUGCAGAGUUUUGGGUUAAAACAACCCUUUUGAUGGGAAAAAUAUUAAAUUUAACCACUUUGUCAAACUAAUGUGUAAAAUGAUCCUUUUAUUAUCACAUAGGAGUCAUAUCACUAAUAUAUAUAUAUAUAUUUAAUUUAAGUUGAAGCCUCAAUUGCCAAUUAAGGCUUCAAUUAUCAAUUACGACUUUAUUUUUUAACCCGAAACCUUACUUGCCAAUUGAGGUUUCAACUAAAAAAAGAAACCUCAAUCGUCAACUAAGACUUAAUUUUUUAAUUGAAGCCUCAAUUAACAAUUGCGGUUUUAUUUUUAAACUGAAAUCUCAAUUGUCAAUUGAGGCUUUAUUUUUGUGAAAGGAUUAUGUGACACUCACGUUACUAGAAAAAAGCCAUACUGAAUAUAAGUUUCAAAAGUGGCUUAAAAGGUAUAAAUUUUAUGAUCAAAGAUGCCAUUUUGACCCAAAUCCCAUGGGUGCAUGAGACUCUAGUUAAUCAUAGAUUUCAUAGAUAAAAAUCAGAGUUAGGAUGAUUCAACCCCUAAGCGUCAAGAAUUCUUUAACAUAAUGUUAGAACAUUUUCCAAUUUAAAUUUGAGAGUUGACUUUAUUUGAAUAUGCUUUUGAUUUUUUUUUUUUUUUAAAUAAGCUUCAGUGUUUUUUUUAAAAAGAAAUAAAAAUAAAUAAAAAUAGGAGCUUCUAUAUAGAAAGUAAAAAUUUUAUCCAACAAAUAUAAGGCUCACCUUAUAUCCUUAUAAAAUAAAAAAUUUUAAAUUUUUUAAUACCUCAAAAUUUUUAAUCAAUAUUUAAAUAUCAUUAUAUUUUCAAUAUGAUCCUUUAAAAGUUAAAAUUACUUAUAUUUUUUAUUUUCAAAAAAAAAAAAAAGAAUGAAUUUUUAUGUUUUUUAAUUAUUAAGAUGGAUGAAAUAAUCCCAAAUUUGCAAAAAUAACUUCUUCCAUGUUUGAAUUUGAAAAAUAACUCAUUUCCAACAUAAAUACUCUUCAAUAUUUGGAUUAUUUUAAUAUAAAUUUUAGAAGAAAGUGUUAUUUUGACUGGAAAACAUGAAAGACAUUUUUGUUAAAAAUUGAUCUUUUUUUAAGGCUAAAAUAUAUAUAGGUUUAUAUUUACAAAUUUGAGACUAUUUCGUCCUCUUAAUCAAAUAACUUAAAAAAGAAAAGAGUUAAUUCCACAAGUGGGUUUAAAAUACUCACAAAAUUGCAAUAUAUAUAUAUAUAUAUAUAUAUAUAUAUAUAUAUAUAUAUGAAAUUACAAAUUUACCCUCGUGUGUUGAGCACAUGACACUUCCAUUCAUUAAAGCUAACAUUGUUAAAUAACAAAUGUACAUUGCAACUAUUUAAGAAGUAUGAAGGGCACAUUGCUUGAUUUUAGUACAUGGUGAGAAACUUGUUGAACAAGUUAUGUGUAAAGUUUUAUGGUUCAUGUAUGAUAGAAAAUACAGAUCUACUACAACACUGGAUUUGCAAUUUUGGUUAGUAUUUAAAGAAAAGACCAUAGGACAAAAAGAAUUAAACUUUUGGUGGAAAACAAUAAAGAAAGGACUACAUGGAAAAAGGGAAGAGAUCAUUAUAAAGGAAGAUUAUUGAAUAGAAAUAAUUCCAAGAACCUAAGGCAAGACAUAGAGUAUCACUACUACUAUCACAAAAAGGGGUAUAUCAUAAAAUUUAUGAAAUUUUGAAAAAGACCUAAAAAACGAAGAAAAAAAAAAAAACAAAUCAAAGAAGCCUACAAGUGUAACUAGUGUUCUUAAAGUUGCGAAAUGUAAAUCAAAAGUAGAUUUGUUAAUAGUUUUUAAAAUGCUUAAAUUAGGAAUUGUCUACUUGUACCAUACAAGCCCUUGUAGAGACUGGUUUGACAUGUAAAUUGUUUGUAAAAUCAUUUUAAUGGGCAAUAAUGCACCAAGUUGCUCCACGAGAAGGGGAGGGGUUUGUGAAACCAUCACUUGUCGUGGCAUACAUCGUCGGGUAAUCACGGAUGAGGGCAUCCACGGGAGGCCAAUGUCUACCCUCGCUCUACACCCCUCUAGUACAAGGCUCUAGGAGGGAGAGAGGCAACAAGUGUGUGACACCAAGGUAAAUAUGCUUGACCUUAUGGCUUUGGGAGCAACUUGCAUUUAAAGACUUGAUGAUUCACAAGAUUCUACAAUUCAUACCAAGUAUUGCAUUUUGCGACGUUCUUCAUCAAUGAGAGAGCCUAGAUAUCCAUUGUCAAGAAUUAUUUAUGUAUGAAAAUAAAGGCGCCUAACCGACAUGCCCAAGAUCAAGGCAACUGGAGUGUGUUGCUUCGCCCAAGUUACUUAGCGCGUUUUGUGCCAAAGUUUGUUGUUCGCUCAAGAGGGCUUUUGUGAAUCUUUGUAAUAAAGGGAUAAUACAGAGUGGGCCGUAAUUUAGCAUCUUACACGCUUAGUUUCUUCCAUUGGUGGCAUAUAUUAUUUUGUCUGUCAUUGGUGAUUAUUUAAUAAAACUAUGAGAGUAUUUCAUGAAAUAUAAAUAAGAGGUUUUUAGGAUAUUUAAUCGAUGGUAAACAAAAGUUGAAAACUAAGUAGGGAGGAAGAUAAAAUAUUUUAGAUUUGAUAGUGGACUUGAGCAUUAGAACAAGAAGUUCACAAAGUAUUGCGAGAAUUCUUAUAUAACUUAACAUCACAUGUAAAGAAAUUACAAAGCAAAAUGGAGUGGUUGAAAAGAUGAAUAGAACACCAUUGGAAUGACUAGGUGGCUAAGAUUAAUCAUUGGGUUACUUAAGAAUUUAAGGGCUAAAGCUAUCAACAUAACUUAUCAUGUAAUUACUUAGUUGUCAAGUUUUACAAUUAUUUUCAAUAUUCCAAAAGAAGUGUCAAGUAAAUCAAUUGACUUUUCAUCUAUUGAAAUAUUUGAUUGUUGCACUUAUCUUCAUAUAUAGGUGAAAAAAAAAUUCAAUCCAAAAUAAAAAAGGUAUAUAUUCCUUGGGUUUGAAAAAAGGAUUGAUUAAAGACUAUAGACUUUGGGAUCCAACAAUUAAAGAAAAAAAAGUGGUGAGUAGAGAUGUAUUCGAUGAAAAACAUAUGUUAAAGAAAGAUCAAGGACAAAUGAAAUUGUUAUUGAAAAAAAAUUCAACUACAUGACCAAUCAUCGAGAUGAAAUUUGAGAAAAAUGUCAUUAAAUAUGAAAUCCCUCCUAAUUGAUGUCCCUAUUAGAACUUUAUAUAGGCAUCUUUCUCUAUUGCUCUAAAGAAUCAUCGUAUUGGGUAAGGACAUCAAUUUUAAGAUUUUAAUUUUUUUUUCAUUAUUUAUUGGAAUAGGAGAUCUUUAAUUUUUUUUGGGGUGCAAUUAGGAAGGAUGAUAGUUAUCAAUGUCUUGGUGCUAUGUCAAAUGAGAAUCCAAUGCACAUGUUGACUAAAGUUGUUCUUAAGGAUAAGUUCAAGCAUUGGUUGAAUGUCAUUAAUUUUUCAUUUUGUAGAACAUGGAAGGUCAAUUUUAUCGAAGAGCCAGGUCAAUCAACUUCUAUUAGGACUUCUAUUGAUUCUUGACCAAUGCACAUGUUGACUAAAGUUGUUCUUAAGGAUAAGUUCAAGCAUUGGUUGAAUGUCAUUAAUUUUUCAUUUUGUAGAACAUGGAAGGUCAAUUUUAUCGAAGAGUCAGGUCAGUCAACUUCUAUUAGGACUUCUAUUGAUUCUUGAUUUGAUUAGAGGGACUCCUAGCAGUAAACUUGUAUGAAGGGGCCCUAUGGAGAUGCAAGAGAUGCAAGAGCUGCCAAUCAGAUCGACCAAUAAAUGAUAGGCCCAUGCAGAGAUGUCCCUGAAAUAGGGGAUUGGUUGAUUGGAAAGCUUAGGCAGUGUAUAAAGGAGAACAAUUUAGCAUAUUGGGAAAAACACAUAUGAAGAUGUUUACAAGUUUGGAAAAUUGAGUUAAAGAAUAGAUGGUCUAAAAAUGUUUCAAAUUUCAAUUUUAUGUUUUUCUAAGUUUGAUAUAUCCUAUUUGGAUAUUUAGGAAGUCUUCUCUUGUUAGAUAAGAUAGUCCUAUGAUGAGAUUUGUUAUGAAAAUAGGUUCUUCCUCGUGUGAAAUAUUCCUAUGAAAUUAAGAAGGAAUAUAGGAAGAGUUUUGAUUGAAAUUAUGAAUCUUUUUUUUAUGUAAUUAGAACUAAAAUAUGAGAGUUUUAUAAUUGUAAUUACACCUUUGAAUAUAAAUAAUUGAUAAUAGUGAAUUAGUUUACCUUCUCCCUCUAAAUGUAGGUAAAUGCUAAAUUAUGUUAAAUCUUGUAUUCUCAUAUGAUUUUUUUUUCAUUUAUUUUUCAUUUUCUUGCCCAUUUCUAACUUGCUACUACAUAAUAACAGGUGGUAUCAGGCUUUUUGUGUUUGCACAACAAAUGGUCUCAGUAUUUCCAGCACCACAAAAAUGAUAUUUUACUUAAUUGCUCCUCAGUGGAAAAGUUGGAAAGAAAAAUUAAAUCAUCGACUAUACCUUUUUUUUUUUUUUUUCAAAACUUUUCUCGUCUUUGUGCAAGAAAAUUAGUAUAUUUUCUCUUUAGUAUUUGUUUCUCUUUUAUAUAUAUUCAAAUGAAACCUUAAUCAUCUUUUAUAUGAAGUAUAAAAGAAUUAGAAAAUAUUCAAAUUUUAAAUGAUUUUUAUUAUACUUUGUCCACUUCCUAUUUCAUAUAUCAAAUUACAAUAGAAUUUAAAAUUCUUUUAUACGUUUUUCCCCCCUUUGCUACCACAUAAAUGCAAAGACAGUAUGUGAGUUAAAUACCUUAAAAGAAAAAGAAAUUAAAAUGUGAUAGAAAACAAAUGUAACCUCUUGAAAUUCAAGGAAACAAAACACUAAACUUUUUCAUGUAUUUUAUUCCAUUUAUAAAUGCAACAUGACAAAAAUAGACAAAAAUAUAAAUGGAAGCCCUUUGGGUCCUUCAUUUUAUAUUUUAUCAACUUCGACCAAUUCUAUUUCUAUAGCACAACCGAUACUAUAAAGUUCAAUGAGUAUAUAAUAUAUAAAGAUACUAAUCAAUACGAAUUAUUCUUUCUUUCAAAUGGCUACUUGUAUUAAAAAUUAAAUGUAAUUCCUCCUAAACAAUAAAAUAUGUUGACACGAUUUCAAUGAAUAUACAGUACAUAAAGAUAUGACCAAUUAGUACGAAUUAUUCUUUCUUUUAAAUAGCUACUUAUACUAAAAUAUAAGUAAAUAUAAUUCCUCCUAGAUAACAAAAUAUGUUGACACAAGGAGGAAUAUAUUUACUAAUUAUAUCAUUUGCAAUAGCCUCAAUCUCGCGACGUUCUUCGAACCAACCAUAGACUUUAUUGAGAUAGGUUAACCAAGGGAGCUUCCACUCUCAUAACUCGUAUAUGAAAAUUUCAUCUUGUACAACUCAAAUAGAAACCCAUAAAUACCAGUUGAAACCAAAAUGUAAUAAAUAAAUAAAAACAUAUUUCAAUGGAUCCAAUUAGUAUUUUUCCGAUCUAGGAUAAACAAACAAAUUUUUCUUCAUUUUGCUUUUUUUUUGUAUUAAUCUUUGUAAGUAAAUUAUAUUUUAAUUUAACAAAGCACUAAACUUUACUUUAAUUUUCAUGCAGGAUCAACUAGCUUAUCAUAAUAAAAUUUAUCAAUAUAGUUGAGCAGAGAUUUGAUGUAAUAAUACCAUACAAAAUUCAAGUAAAAUUAAAUUAAUCAAAUAGGACACUACGGUUAUAUUUGGAUACAUAUUCUAUUUUUUAUUUUUAAAAUUAAAAUUUUGAUAUAAAAUAUGACAACCCUUUGUAUAAAAAAUAAAAAUUUAUCCUAUAAUCUUAAAACUACUUUUCAAUAUUAAAAAAAAAAUGAGGAUGUGUCCUAAAAUUUUAAACAAAUUUAAAAAUAUUUUUAAAUACCAAGAUAUCCACUUUUUUCUUUUUUAAUAAAAAUUCCUAUAUUUGAUAUAAAACUCUAUUUUAAAAAAUGAAAAAUAAAAAAUGUAUCCAAACAUAAGCAAAAUUGUUAGAUUUCAUUGUGAGAUUUCUUAGAUUCUACAAUUCAUAGUGAAAUGAAGACGAGAUAUAACUGACUGAACUAUGAAAAAAAAAAAAUUAACAUUGAUGAGAUUCAAAAAUGCUAGUUAAUGAAAGAGUUUCUCCGCCAGGAUGACUAAGAAAAAUGCUGAAAAAUGUGUCAUGCCCAAAGCAAUGUUACAAUGAAGAAUAGAAUGAGAGCUAACCCGAAACAAAAUCCGACAAUCGCCAUGAAAGCCUGGAUGCAGAGGAAAUGUAACUAGAGACAUGUAAGGAAUCAUUAAACAAGUGAGAACAAUAUCAAAAUCUCAUGUACGACUUACCUUUCCCUGAGAUUCAAACUUGAAUUUUACUGUAAACCAUGACAAUCCUCUAUCUACAAUAGGAGCAAGUGCAAGGGCCCUGCAUGAGAAGCACCUCUACAAAAAUCACAGAAAACCCAAAGGAAAAAAAAAAAAAUAGGGUUGAAUAUGCUAUAGUUGAAUAACAGCCACAAUGCUGGGAAGGUCAAUAACAAAAGCAUUGACUUGAAUGUUAGCAGUGUCAUUUACACUGGCCAUAAGAACCAGAGGUAAUGCGUACAGUUGGUAAGUGGGGAGGAGGGGAUGAGAAAUUGCAAAGUCUUGAAUUUAAUUGUUUCAUGCAAUUCCGUUUUCCAAUACUCUAUAUGAUAAUAUACAUUGUACGGAACAAAAAUAGGGUUGUUUUAAAAUUUUGAACAAAUAAAAAUUUCAUAUCAAUAUCUAAUAUUUAAUAAAAAAGAAUGAAACAAGAGUAAGUACAUUCUCUUCUCCUUAACAUGGUAUUAAAGCAGUCUCCAAACUCUUAACUCCUAGUUGCAAACUUGAUUUCCACUGGAAGUUGCAGUUUGCUUAUUUUGUUAUUCAAGUAAGUUACUUCAAUCUAUCAUAGUUUAAAUGACUUGGGAUGGUAGUUGUCAUGGGCACGAAUUUUCCCACAAAUUUUUUGCAUCCACGCAGCGCUUAGAAGCCCUCUGAGCCAACAUACUCAAACCCACAUGAGAUUGCAAUCAAGAAAAAACUCACAAAGACACACAAGGCUAUGGAGCUCAAUCCCUAACUUGUAUUUUAUUUCUUCUCUAAAUAACAAUACAAGACAUAGCUCAACAAGACUUCCACAAUCUCUUUGGUGAGUUCAUGCUCUCUCUCAAGCUAUGUUUUAAGAAAGUUCUCCCUCUCAAUAUACCUCUGUAUAUUCUCUAUGAUCUCCAGAUUGCACGAUAAUUCAAAGGGCACUCCAGUCCUCCUUUUAUAGGUGUGACACCAACCACUCCCUAUUCGAUAAGGAGCAAUACAUCUUCCUUAAGCUUGUCCCAAUGCCAAGACAUCUUUGUUGUGUUCUGCCUGAAGUCUACCCACUCUUGUGCCUUGAGUCAGUUCAUUCAUGCAUUUGAAUCAGCUGAUGCAUCCGAUCAGCUUGCUAUAGAGUCUCUAGGCAGCCUACUACAUGUGUCUCUAUGCAACUAGUGUGCAUGCCAAGCCCUCUCUUAGCCUACAGAUCUAGCAAUUUUCCUUGGUGCCAAUCUUUUCUUUGGUUCUAGCUCCUUGUUGUUCCUUGAGCGUGUCAGUCAUGCUCAUAUGUGUUCCCGCAUCUGGAUCACGUCCAUGCCGAGGCAACCUGCCCAUGUUUGCUCUGCCUAGUUGUUGCUAUAGCAUCAUGCCAUGCCCAAGCCCUCUUCUUGGUGCAGCAACGAGUCAUGGCAUUGCACCCAUGACUCCUCAUCUCUACGCACAAGGCAUUGUGCCUUUGUGCUAAGCAUUAGGCAUCACAUCUGAGUCGGCUUCCCUUAUCUCUAUGCACAAGCCUCAAGGCAUUGUGCCCUUGUGCCAAGCCACCUUAUUGCACAAGGCAUUUCCCCCUCAUGCUACCGUUGGGAAGGGAAGACUGCAUAGCACCCCAAGUCGUUGCAACCAUGAGUUGCACACCAUCACAUGUCAUGGAGCCCAUGUAUGGCUGCUAGCAAGGCGUUGCCCAUGUGCCUUGCUCAUGUCUGAGGACUUGCACUGAAGCCCCUAAGUGUGGCCAUGCCCAUGCCACCUCGUCUCCCUUGAGUCACCCCCACCCUCGCCCCCCUUAAAAGAGCAUUUUAAGCCCUUUUAAUUAAUUCAGGAAAAUCUAGAAAAUUCCCUUCCACUUGGAGUCUCCCUUUUGAAGGUUCCUAUAAAUCUUUUAUCUCUAAGCAAAUUAACCAAGUCACUUAAUUGUUUUGCAACAUUCCUUCCCUUCCCAUAGUGUAUUUCAAGAUCUCUUAAUGAACAAGACAAUUGGUGGAGGGCAUGAAGUAAAUGGAAUUUAUCACCAUAUCGGCCCACCUCUUACUCCAAUUGCUCUACAUACUUCCAUUUCUUCUAUGUAGUGGCACACCUUUCACUUCGCAUCUUUAGCAUAUGGGACUUCUAGUUAUAUUGGACUCCAAGUUAAAGCACCAAGUUUGCGAGUCAAGAAAAUAGCUUCAUCAUAGUGUUGUUCUAGUCCUUUUUGUGCUAUAAUCAAUAAGAGGAGUACUAGUCCUUUUCAUCUUGUUCAUUUAGACAUUUACAGUUUAUGUUGUGUUGUUCCUAAUGUUGAACUAAACUUUCUUAUUGCUAUUUUAUUAAUUAGAUCAAUGAAAAUGGUAUGAGCAUAAAGAGGCUGAAUAAUAGGUACUAAUCUCUUAAAAAAAAAAUUUUAAAAAUAAUCUUAUAGAAACAUCAUCAGGUGACUAUGCACAAGUAAAUGGUCUGACAAGGCGUGAGAAAAACAUUCAUUUUUGUGCAAGAACCAAGUAUUUGCAUCUUAAUCAACCAAAGAAUAAAUGGCUGAAGACAAUAAAUGACUGAACAAAAAGAAAAUCAUAAGUUUUAGGCCAGACACUUUUUUCAUCAAUUAUAUACAACAACAAUAAAUCAAAUAGUCCUAAAUUUCAAGAGAAUAAUGCUCAGCAGCUAUGCAUACUCACAAGUCACAAAUACCUCAUCCUUAACUAAUUUACAUGAAUGAAUUAUUUACUUACCAUACCAAGAGAAACGUUGUAAGAUAGUAUGCAGUAUUCAGGAGUCCAUAGGAUAAUAUUCCAGAAAUUCCAUAUCUCUUCAGUUUCUUUAGAAGACUGAAAGGUUAAGCAAGAGUGAGCUCUCAAUGUAAGUAGACAUGCAUUUAUGCAUACAAAGGGCAAAAGGAUUGAGGUAUCACUUCUUACAGAUUGUUUGCAUGAAAUUCAGUAGUAGAAGAGAAAUUAAUAUGAUUGGGACAAGAUCACUCAUCCAAACAAUAGUUUAUUUACUGAGAAAAGGUCUACAGCAUACUCAUGCAGUAGACAAAAUGAAUCUUUUGUGUCAUGUUCCAAUAAUGUUAACAAACUACAUUAAAUUCAUAAGGUUACAUAGAAAAAGAAAGAAAAGACAUUGUUGCAAUAGUUUGUCUGUUACACUGCUAGCACCCAGACUACGACCAAAUCCUUGCAUUCAAAUUGAAUUUCAAACUCCCAAUGUGAAAAAGGAAGAUACAAAAAAGAAAAGAAAAAAAAGAAGAAAAAAAAAAGUGGGAAAGAAAAGAGACAUGGGAUUUCUAUGUAUAAUAAAUACAUAUUAUAUGUAUAGAUAAAUGCAUGUAUGUGCAUAUGUGAUAGAGGCUGGUCAGACACAUUUCAAGAAGUUUCACAACUUGCUUUGGAAUGACAAACACCUGGAUCAAUAAAUGGCUUGUCUCCAUUAUUGAGAAAUUGCAGAUAAAUUUCAUCCACUACGGGCAUGGGGUGGCUGGACAAAGUUAUGCCAUUUGGUGGGAUGUAGUGGACUUAAGACAGAAAAUUCUCAAUCAUUCUUCUGUCCCUUGUGCAGUGUUGAAGCUGACAAUAUUAUUGAGCAUACAAGGAAUGUGAUGUAAAACAUCAUUGAGGAGCCAUGAGCUGCGAAUGCAUGGAGAAAUUAAGUUAUGAUUAAGUUUUGGUGAGGGAUUUUCAGAUGCAGAUCAUAUGGCAAAUUAUCAACUUCAGAGAAUUGCACGUUUUUAUUCAUUUCCAUACACAUUGAAUAAUCAUAUUUAAAAUCUCUCAUUCACUUGUUUCGCUUCCAUUAGUGCUCCUUCCACAUGCCUAUUAGCAGCACAGACCUCAUGAUAGUUUGGUAAAGGUAAGACAAUAAAAUUGAAAAAUACAGCUAAAGCCUAAAAUAUUGGCUAAUAAAGAGAGAAACCAUCCAAGUUCUAUCUUAAAUGACUCUACAAGUUCUAAACAGGGAGACAAGGACUUCAACCUGGUCCAUCAAUGCAUAUAAAUGGGUAAACAUUCCAACAGCCAUUACGUUAGAAGUACACUAAAAGAAAAUUAUUAAACAAUGUUGUUUCCAAAAAAAUUCCAUGUUAAAGAAUAGAAGAACAUACUGCUAUAAAUGAAAUUCAUUCAAAAUCAGUUCAAACAGUAAAGUUAAGAAUUGUGACUGCAAUUUUUUUCUAAGAAAGAAACAACAAUUGUGACUGCAUAUCACCCACACUUGUUUUAUUUACAAUCCACACAAUGUAUUCUUCCCUAGCAUGUUAUCCCAUUAAGUAGCCUCCAGAUAAAAUUCCCUUUCCAACUCUGUCAAUCAGUCAAAAAAUUUCAUGUAAAAUGUAAAAUACAUGGGUACACAAAAACAACUAUAUAAACUGCCAUCCCAUCAUUAAUAAAUCAGUUGUCUAUAACAUAGACUAAUAGCAUUGUAAGGCAAGUAGGAAGUACUCUUUUGAUGUGUGCAGUUCUCCUUCACCAUUUUCGCCCUUUGCACUUGAGUCUAUAAAAAUAUGUAUAAGUAGAUUUUUAGAAAUAUCAAGUUUAUCAAAUGUAAAAUAUGGUAUCACAAAAAGCUACACCAUUUUUCCAGUUAUCAUUUGAAAGAUAUUGAUACCUUCAUGGUUGGCAGAGUAGUCAUGACCAUUUGACAUGCCAGAAGCCUAACCUACAACAAAGGCAAUGUUGAAAAAGCAAUAUUCAAAAUUCAAUGAAAAAAAUAGAAGACAAACAAAUGAACAAAUAGCAUAUCAUCACACUCAAUUGUUUUCCACAUAUGAUAAACUAAAUGAAAGAAACAAGGAAUAUAUUGAGAAAAAACCCUAUGAUCAAUGGAUAUGCAGUCGCAUUCCAGCACAGAUAUAGGAUCAAACAAGUAACUAAUCUAGACAUAGCUGCAGCAAAUUUGUGUAUCUCUGAAUGUGUGUCUGCUUUUUGUGGGGGUAUUUAUUAUGACAUGUUCUUGGUGCAGACAAACCAUCUGCAUUUACUUGAGGAUUAGGUAAAAAACAUACUUUUCAUUUAAAAUGAGGCCUUGAACAUCAAGCCACGGUGAGUUUUCAAAUAAGGAAAACGUAAUAGCUUUACAAUGAGUCCCAUAGCAAGAAGGCAUAUAAUUCCAUUCAUCAGCAUACCAGAAUAUAGAAUAGUGUGGACAUGUGGACACAUGCCAGAAUUAGCAUUGGACACACUAACAUGCCAGUCAUACAUAGAAAGAAUUUCCAAAGAUAUUAAAGUAAAACACUGGUAGUAAGCAAAUUAUACCCAGAAAAACAUGCAAGUAUAGGCCAAGAUCAAAUCUUAAUUUUAAUUUCUAGAAAAAAAAAAAUUUAUAUCAACCAAUAGAAAUGGUAUCACCAGCAAUUAACACCAAAACACACCAACAUAUCGGAAUGCAUAACACGUGUACCCAUCUCCAAUCAGCACUACACCUAUACAAGUUAGCCUGUAGCAGGUCAUAAUAGGUUCAGACUAUAAAACCUUCCAAAUCUUCCUUUGCAAGGCUUAGAAACCAUUUUCUAAGUAAUUUACAAUUUUAAAAGCCUGUGACAAGAUUUUGGAUGAAGAGCUUGAAUUAUAUACUCACAAACCCACUCCAAAAUUUCCUUAAGGUAAUACACAUUUUUUGAAGUCCUUUCCAAUGUCUUCUCUUAUUUGAGUUAGAAAAGCCAAUUUUUUUAUGAAUUGAUUACUACGUCUAUUGAGGUUUGAGGUGUAUAACUAAUUUCUUAAUAUAUCAUAAUUUACAUCAGUUAUUAGAAAUUAAGGUUCAAUCCUUUUACACUAAGAAAAUCCUGAGCAAUUAAAAAAUACCUUCUUUAAUAUUAUUAAAUUUAAGUUUCCUUCAGGUCUUUGAGUCAAAUAGAAAUUAGUGUAAAAGGAAUUUUAAUUUUCUUACACUAAGAAAAUUAAAAAAUAGGCAAAAUAAUUUUCAAAUUUUGGAACUUUAUAGGUAAUGCUUAUUAAAAUAAAGCAACAAAGUUUGUCAUUUGCCAUUGAAUGAACCAAUUGUAGAAAACUAUGCAAAAAAUUUUAUUAGUAUGGAUUUUUUUUUUCUACCGAUAAAUAGAAUUCAAUUUCAAACCUGCCCCUCCCAACCCACCACUUGCUGCUUGAGGCAAGCUUAGAGGCAGAAAACUAUUUACAAUUCUACGUAUGGAUAAAAAUUAUUCUUAGAUUUUAUGCCAAAUUCCAUAUUUAUAGGUAUCAAUUUAUUAUUCUACUGUUGUCAAAAGCUUCAAUUUUAGGCGUCCUCAUGGUUAUGCCACCCUUAAAUGAGAACAACUUUGGUCUUCUGUUUUUCUUUUUGAGCUCUUCAAAUUUUUGCAAGGUAUUUUUAUAAUCUUAUUAAGCUCAAUGGGAGAGAGAGAGAGAGAGAGGGCGAGAGAGAGAGAGAGGGCGUGAGGGAGUGUGAGAGCGCGUGCGACGGCGACGACGAUGAGUCCGGCGAGGCGAGUCGAAAGCGAAGCUUCACGGUGGAAUCCAAGACUUUCGAGCUUGCCUUGGAUGAUAGGAAAGGGAAACGCCAGAUUCGCAUUGUGGAGAAGAAGCGGGGGGUCUCGACAUGGGUUCGAUUAGGGCUGGAAAGCUUAGGGCUCUUCAAGGAGGGACUAAUCCAUUGUAUACGAGACGAAAAAGAAGGGAGAUGGGAAAAGGAGUGGAAAGAAAGAGGCAAGCUGUAUACAUUGGCUCGGGGUUUCAACAGAGCGGGUGGUUUUUUAAGGUUGGGGGUUGUGGAUCUGGAACGAAAAAGGUUUUGUAUCUUCUUACCGAGAGGUAGGAGGAACAAAAGAGGAUGGACGACUAUGGCGGAGAUGGUACAUCAAAUGGAAGAACUGGCUAGUGGAAGAACAAACUUGCAGGAGGUAAGGACCGUCGGAAAAGCUACUCCGGCGAAAUCAUACGCAGAAGCAGUCAUGAGAACAAAUUGGAAUGGCUUAAACGCAAUCAAGAUGAAGGUCACUAGGGAGGAGAUUGCUGGAAAUUUACAGAAGCUGGAGCACUGCCUCGUCGCGAGCUGGAAGUCCAACGAAAAGGAAGAAGAAGACUUGGAGAGAUUGGGAAGUCAUUGGGCGAAUUCUUGGGGUCUUAAAGGCAAGCUAGGGCUGGCCAAGUUGGAACAAGGUAGGGCACUGUUGGAGUUUGAAGAUCUAAGAGAGGCACACCGUGUGGUCUCCUCGGGGAGCAGAGUGAUGGGAGGAGCUCACUUAGGGUUGGAUCUAUGGAAUCCAAAGACGGGAUGUCGGGUAGAGGAGGAGAUGGAACAGGAAGCUUGGGUUAAAAUCUUCGGCCUUCCAAUUUCGCUAUGGAGCCCGGGGAUUCUGAAGAAAAUAGGGGAGGAAUGUGGGGGCUUUGUAGAUAUUGACGAGCGGACAAGGUCGAUGGGGGAGAUUCAAUGGGCUAGGAUACUGGUCAAAAUAAGAGGUGAUUUUAGACCAAGUAUGUUAGAAAUUGAGGUAGAGGAGGAGGUAUACACUGUGACACUGUGGUGGGAGAUUAGGCCGGUGGUGAGACGGAUCUUCUCUGCGACGGAAAACAGGAGGAGAAAGGAGGUCAGGGGUGACUCGUAUUCACGCGCGGAGAAGCGCGUGGGGAAGGAGCUGGUAGACGCGGGAAUCGAGGAACUGCACCUGCCAGAUGUUGGGAGUGAUCUGCAGGAGAAUAGGCCGGGUCUAGUGCCCGGGAACCAGAUCCAUGGCCCGGUGACCCGGGAUUGGGCCUAUCCAGAUGGAAGAGUGGCUGGGUCAACCGCAUGUGGCCCAAAUAUGGAUCUUAAUGAGUUGGAGAAGGAUGGUGGGCAGACUAAAAUAGACGGGCCUUUGGGCCGAAAGUUAAAAAAUAAGUCAAAGGUGGCUAGUGAUUCAGAGGCAGGCCCAUCGUCUAGUAGUUGGGCUGCUGAACUGGGCUGCCAUCCUUUAGUUGAGGUGGAAGGCCUGGAAAGGGAGGGCCCAACUGUUCCCCUAGAGAAGGCUGGUUUUUUGGGCCGUUUUAGCUCCAGAAAAGGACCCAUUUCAGAGGAUCCUUUGACGAGCUGGGUGCCAGAGGAGUUUAGAAGGGAACAGAGGGAUGAUGGCUUUUCAAUGACUGAUCGAGCGCUGUAAGAGGAAGCUAAAAGGUAUGUCCUGAUUUCCCAUCCUAAAGGAAAAUGGGUUAUGGGGACACCUCUUCUUCUCUCUUCUAAUUCUGAUCGGGCUCCGGAGGGGGAGUCUUUUGAUCGCCCAGGGGGAAUUGAGGAGGAAUUAAGGGGGGACAUGUCAACAUGGUUAACAGUCUAUGAGGGGAACGUUGAGAAUGAAAAUGGAUCUUGGAAGCUGGGAGAGGACAACAAAAGCAGAGACAAGGUUAAGGGCAAGGAGGAGAACACUGGGGUCUCUGGUUCUCAAGAUACCGAAAAUGAGAAAGAGGAUCUAUGAGAGGACUGUAGUCUUGCAAAAUUUAGCCAAUUCUUGGGAUUCUCUAUGAAGGGGCUGGAAAAGGAGAUAUUGAAUUUUCUGAUUAAAAUCAAAAAGAGGCGGGAAAAGAUUCACAGCAAAGAACUUUUGGAGAAGUCCAAGUUUGAAAGGGAACUAAAGAGGCUGGAAUGCUCUAUCAAUUACGAGGGGGGGAAUAAGCAGAAAGGUCCUUCACAGGGCAAAAGGAAUCAGUUGAUAGUUGCCCAAUGAAGCUGAAGAUUAUAACCUGGAAUGUGAGGGGAGCUAAUGACAGCUCUAAGAGGAAAAUUAUUAAGAGCUAUAUAAGGAACCAGAGGGUGGACCUAAUGUGUAUUCAGGAAACCAAGAUUCAGGAGAUGUCGGAGGGUAUUGUGAGAAGUCUGGGUUCGGGGAGAUUCUUAGAUUGGAGAGCCUUAAAUGUGGAGGGGGCUGCGGGUGGCAUUUUGAUAUGCUGGGACAAGCGGGUUCUGGAUAUUUUGGAUUGGGAGGAGGGUCAGUUCUCUUUGUCUUGUAGAUUCAAGACCACAGUAAAUGGGGCUACUUGGGUUUUUACGGGAGUGUAUGGUCCUUUUACCAAAGUGGAAAGGGAGGGUAUGUGGGAAGAACUUGGGGCAAUAAGAGGCCUUUGGGAUGAUCCCUGGUGUCUCGAUGGGGAUUUUAAUAUCACUCUGUUUCAACAAGAAAGGAGCAGCCAAAGAAGAAUCAGCUCAGCCAUGCGGAGAUUUGCAGAGACUGUGGAUGAUCUAGAGCUGGUGGACCUGCCCCUUCAGGGGGGAGAGUUCACAUGGAAUGGGGGGCUUAAUAAUCAGGCGUGGGUGAGACUAGACAGAUUUUUAGUUUCCCCUAGCUGGUUAGAUCAGUUUAGUGGAUUCACUCAGGGCAGGUUGUCUCGGCCAAUUUCUGAUCAUUUUCCAAUCGUGUUAGAGGGGGGUGGAAUAAGAGAGGCCCAACCCCGUUUAGAUUCGAAAAUAUGUGGCUUAACGUUGANGNUUUAAUGACAUUGUUAGAACCUGGUGGNNNNNNNNNNNNNNNNNNNNNNNNNNNNNNNNNNNNNNNNNNNNNNNNNNNNNNNNNNNNNNNNNNNNNNNNNNNNNNNNNNNNNNNNNNNNNNNNNNNNAGGAAGCUGAAUUAAAAAAGGAAGCUAAAGACUCCUUUAAGAAAUGGGUCCUGUUGGAGGAAGCCCAUUGGAGACAGCACUCAAGGGAGAUUUGGUUAAGGGAGGGGGAUAGAAACAUGGGGUUCUUCCAUAGAAUGGCAAGUGCUCAUCGAAGAAACAACGCUAUGGACAGAAUUAAGGUUAAUGGGGAGUGGCUAGUAGAGGAGCAGGAGGUGAGAGAAGGAGUUGAGAAUUCGUUUCAGCAGUUGCUUUCUGAAGAUAUGGGUUGGCAGGCGGAUAUUGGUAGAAUUCAGGUGGGUUGCAUCAUUCAGCAAGAAGCAGAGAGUCUGGAAAUCCCAUUUGCAGAGAUUGAGAUUCACUCGGCGCUGAUGGAGAUGAAUGGGGAUAAAGCCCUUGGCCCGGAUGGUUUUACUGUAGCCUUUUGGCAAAAUGCAUGGGAUUUUACCAAAGAGGAGAUCAUGGAGAUGUUUAAAGAAUUUCAUGAGCAUAAUUCCUUUAUUAGGAGCCUUAACAAUACUUUCUUGGUGUUGAUACCUAAGAAAAGCGGGGCUGAGGAUCUUGGAGACUUUAGACCUAUCAGCCUGUUGGGGGGGGGGCUCUAUAAACUUUUGGCUAAAAUCUUAGCUAAUAGGCUCAAAAAAGUGAUUGGUAAGGUGGUCUCUAUUGCUCAGAAUGCCUUUGUAAUGGGAAGACAAAUUCUGGAUGCGUCUUUAAUUGCUAAUGAGGUGAUAGAUUCGUGGCAGAAGAGAAAAGAAAAGGGUCUUAUUUGCAAAUUGGAUAUAGAAAAAGCUUAUAACAGCAUUAAUUGGAAUUUCUUAAUGAAGGUCCUUCAAAAAAUGGGCUUUGGGACCAAGUGGGUGGGAUGGAUGUGGAGUUGCGUGUCUUCUGCUAAAUUCUCUAUUCUUGUUAAUGGAGUGCCAGUUGGGUUUUUCCCUAGCACUAGAGGGCUUCGUCAAGGGGAUCCUCUAUCCCCUUACCUCUUUGUUAUGGGAAUGGAGGUUCUGGACAUCCUUAUCAGGAGAGCGGUGAAGGGGGGAUAUCUUUCAGGAUGCAACAUUCGGGGUGGUAGUAGAACUUCCUUGAAUAUCUCCCACCUAUUUUUUGCUGAUGACACAAUUGUGUUUUGUGAGGCGAGCAAAGAGCAAGUUUCUCACCUAAGCUGGAUUCUUUUUUGGUUUGAAGCGGCUUCGGGUCUUCGAAUUAAUCUAGCCAAAAGCGAAAUCAUUCCAGUUGGAGAAGUGGAGGAGAUUCUUGAGAUGGCAGUUGAGUUAGGGUGCAGGGUGGGGUCUCUGCCCUCUCAUUAUUUGGGUCUCCCCUUAGGGGUCCCCAAUAGGGCUACUUCUAUGUGGGAUGGAGUGGAAGAGAGGGUCAGAAGGAGACUUGCGCUUUGGAAAAGACAGUACAUUUCCAAAGGGGGGAGGAUCACUCUCAUAAAAAGCAUCUUGGCUAGCAUGUCAAUUUACCAAAUGUCUAUUUUCCGAAUGCCCAAGUCUGUUGCUAAAAGAGUGGAGAAAUCCCAAAGAGAUUUCCUAUGGGGGGGAGGAAACUUAGAGGGAAAAGUUCACUUAGUUAAAUGGGAUGCGGUCUGUACAGAAAAACACAAGGGAGGGCUAGGAUUAAGGAGAAUAGUCACUCUGAAUAGAGCCUUGCUGGGCAAGUGGAUUUGGAGGUUUGCUUGUGAAAAGGAUAACCUUUGGAAACAAGUGAUCACUAUGAAAUAUGGGCAAGAGGAUUAUGGUUGGAGGUCAAAGAAGGCUAGUGGGGCGGCCGGAGUAGGGGUCUGGAAGGAGAUUAUGAAAGAAUCUGUUUGGUGCUGGGAAAAUUUGGCUUUUAUAGUUGGGAAGGGUUCCAAAAUCAAAUUUUGGAAAGAUAGUUGGUGCACUGACACUCCGUUGUCCCAAUGCUUCAAUCAUCUCUUUGUCCUUGCCGUGCAUAGGGAUGCUACGAUUGAGGAGAUGUGGGAUCAGGACUCGGGCCAAGGAGAUUGGAAUUUUGUUUUUGUGAGGGACUUCAAUGAUUGGGAGUUGGAUAUGGUUGGGGAGCUGCUUCAUACUUUGAGGGGUCAUAGGCCCUCCCUGGAGGAUGAUUCAGUUAUGUGGAGGCAUGGAAGAAAUGGUCUAUUCAGGGUCAAAGAAGCUUACAAGCUGUUAGACAAGCCUAAUGUCACAGUAUUUCCCGCAAGGAGAAUAUGGGUGGAUAGGGUGCCAACUAAAGUCUGCUUUUUUGCUUGGGAGGCUACGUGGGGGAAGGUGCUCACUCUGGACAGACUCCAGAUAAGAGGGGUGCAACUCCCAAAUUGUUGCUUUUUGUGUGGUUGUGAAGAAGAGAAUGUAAAUCAUAUUCUUUUACACUGUAUAGUGACUAGAGCCCUAUGAGAUAUUAUUUUUGGGUUGAUAGAUGUUAAGUGGGUCCUCCCAGAAACUGUAAAUGAGACUUUAAUCUCUUGGAGGGGCUCAUUUGUAGGGAAGAAAAGGAAAAAGAUUUGGAAAUCCAUUCCGUUAUGUAUUUUUUGGACGGUUUGGAAGGAGAGGAAUAGGUUAGCCUUUAAGGGGGGUGCGUUGAAUAUUCAGAAAUUAAAGAAUUCUUUUGUCUGUAACUUGUGGAAUUGGGACAAAGUGUAUUUAGGUGAGGAGUCUUUCUCCCUUAUAGGUUUUUUGGAGUGGAUAGCUUCCACUUAAGGGGAGGUAGUUCUUUUUGUUCCUUUUUCUCUUUUUGAGGCAGUAGCCGUCUUGUAUACUCCCUGUAUGCUUUGUGGCGUUUAGCCUUUUCUAAUGCAUAUCUUGUUUACUUAUCAAAAAAAAAAAAAAUUUGCAAGGUACUUCUAUCCAGGUUCUAGGAAACACCCACUUUUUUAAAUCUCCAAUAAUUUAGUGUUCUGUGGCUGAGGGAAUAGACUUAUUUUUGGUUGAAACACAUAAAAUUCUUGGAUAUGUAUAUAUAUAUUUUUUGGCAUCAGGUCCUUUUAGGUUGAUUUUUCUACUUAUUUUUCACCCACCAAUUAACAUUGCCCUAACUCUAUUAUCUAACCGAGCAAAUGUUUAUGAACUAGCAAAUCAUACUAAAAUUUCUUACUAGUUGACAUGUGCAUCAUCUCAGCAUGUCAUUCCAACACCAAACUACAACCAUAAUCCCACUAACAUCCUAACUGCCUCAAUGAGUAUGGAUUACAGAAAUGCAAUUAAAAUAUACUUCCCUAUUUAAUUUCAUAAUUUUUAUAAUAAUAUUUCAGCAAUAUUUCCACAUAGUAGCUUAUGUGAGAAAUCCCCAUUUCUGUUUAAAAUCGAAAAACCCUAUAGCUUGCGCAAGUAAAUAGGAAAAAAAAAAAACAGAGGUUUUGCAGAAUUGGGAGAGCAGACUCACACCAGCAUGGCCAUUGAUUGAGCAGAAACGUAGAUGACGAUGAUGGUGGUGGAAUUGGGAGAAAUUGUUGAGUUUGGGAACCCUAGGAAAGCUGGGAUUGAAAGAAGAGGAUUGUGAGAGAGAAUUGGAAAUUUAAGAAACAAACACAAAAAAUAAAUCCAAGAAAUAAAUAAGAAGCGUAAAAAUGAAAUAGAGAAGAGUGUGUAUGACGCACCUGAUGAUGUGAAAGCAGCUUCAGCUGGUGAAGGCAAACUUUCGACGGGAGAGACAUCAGGAUACUGGCCUCUGACAACAAUCGCUCCAAAAUAUUCUUUCUAUACCAUUUAUUAUUAUUAUUAUUAUUAUUAUUAUUAUUUUAUUAUUAUUUUCAGGUUAUUGAAGUGUAAUGUCCACCGUACACCCUUACAUGAUGAAGCCUUUAGAACUCUCCAUGGAGCCUAAAUCUCACAUUGCUAAUCACCCUAUAAUAACCAGCAUAUAGUAAAUUCAAAGUAUCAUUAAUGAUAGAUUUCAAACUUAGGACCAUAUAUCAUUUAUUGAGACCACACUUCUUAAUGUUCAUCCUUAACGACACACUCAUAUAUAUCAAAUUACCCAAUGACCUACUUUUCCUAUUUUCUCAUUUUUAGAAAUAAAAAGAAAAAAUAAUAAUUUCUAUUUUUAAUUUUUUAAUUUUUUUUAUAAGUAAAUUUUUGUUCUCAUUAGGACCUGUGGAACCUCCCACAAGUCCUCCCGAAUCCUUUACCACUUGAGUCAUGCCUUAAUGGCUUGUUUUUUUAAAAAAAUUAAUAACAACUUUUAUAUAUAAAAAAAAUACUUAUAAAACAUACUUAUAAAAAAUAUACAUGUCAUUAAAAGUUUAAAGAAAUUUAAAUUUGAUAAUAAUUUUUUAAAUAAUUUAAUGUGUUAAUUGUUCUUAAAAACUUUAAAUAACCUAGAAAAGAAUAAUAUGGUUAUAAAUUGACCAAAUUGUUAUAUGGUUUUAAAUAGUCACCUUAACAAUGUUACAAGUGAGUUAAUUAAUUUAUGGUAGAGAAGAAUUACAAUAGAAUUCAAUUAGUUAUCGUAUUUGAAGUCUUUGAUUAUUUGUUGAAUAAUAUUUGCAGCCAGUUAGCUAGGGUUGGCUAACCCAAGCCAAACCUACUUACUAAUAUGUCCAACCUAUGCUAAACUCGAUUCAAAGUUAGAUUGGUAGUUACUAAACUCAUUGACAACUAAAGUUUCUAUGGAUUCCCACAAGUUUUCAUGGAUUAUCAAAUAAACCACAUAUAAUGGAAUCUCCUAAUAUAAAAAAGACAUAUUUCAAAAUUAUAAAUUAAACCAUAUUAUAAAAUAAAAUUUUAACAAAGUCAUAAAUUAUAUUACUAGUGACUAAUUUUAAUGGUAACAUGAAACACAAGUGUGAAUAUUUAAAAAUAUUUUAAUAAUUAAACAAAAAUGAUAAACUUAUAGUGUAAUGUAAUAAAACUAGCAAAAGUUAUAGUUUUUCCAUUAUCCCUUUUAUAAAUUUCAUAUUUUAAAUAAACUAAUAAAUAAUAUAAUAGUAAUGAAUUUGCUUAGUCUUCAUCAUGUAGAACCAAUGUGAAGAAAUUUUUUUUAAUAGGACUGAUUAAUGACUUAAUUAAGGGUAGGUUACAGCAUACACUAGGAGUCAAGAAAUAAGAUGUCAAGACUUGUACAUUCUGAAUAGGGAAGGGAAGAGUAUCCUAACAUAAGAGACCAAAAACAUGCUCAGGGAGAUUCUCGUUAGGAUCAAAUUGGGGGCAUAGAUGUAUCUCUUUGGUAAGAGUUCCCAUAAUUUAGGUAUUAAUGAAAUAGGUAUAAAAGAAUUAUAUAUCUUGAUAUGAUCAUGUUGUUAAUGAUGAUCUAAUGAGUUGAAAUAUUAUGUUUUCAACUGUGUAUAUCUAAUAAAUACAUCAAGUACUUAAACUUUAAUAUAGAAAUGCUCCAUAAUGGUUUGUAUGACUCAUCCUCUUAUAAACAUAUUAUUUAGAUUAGGCUAAAGUGGUCAAAGUAAGAAGAAAACUUGAUACUUGAUUUGAAGUAUGAAGAAUUCUUCUUAGACUUUGUGUGUAGUAUUGUUUGCUUAUUGUUGUGUUAAAGUCUAUUUUGAUGUAUUUUGGAAAGAAUGACCAACUAGAACCACUAUAAGAUGUUGCAAAACUUAUUUAAACAAGGGCUUGUGAGCAAGAUUUUUUUUUUUCCCUUUCAUGUACAAAUAGUAUGAUGAAUGAAAAUUUGAUUCUCAGUUGUAAUUAGUGUUUUCCUUAAGUUUUAAAUCAUGCAAUGAAUACUUAAAAUUAGUUUAAGAUGUCAAAGAAUGUAAGUAAACAAGGUUUUACAUGUUGGAUAUAUAAUUAAUGCAAAACCUUUACCUUCCACAUUGAAUGAUUACAUUUUUUCUUUAAGUGCCCUUUAAUCAUUCUCAUCUUGUUUAAUCAUUUUUCUCUAAUGUCUUGAGCAUAGUAGAUUUCUAUAAAUUUACAUGAGCAUUCCUUAACUCUUCUUGAGUGAUCCUAAACUUAGCAUUGAAACAAUCAUAAUUUAGGCGAAGAUGCUUACACGUCUUCAUAAUCAUCCUUGGUUGCUAGCCAUUUUUCCUUAAUUACUUUAGGAUGUUUAGCGAAGAUGAUUACAAAUAUUAACUAGUUCACUCACACAUUUUUGUAUGAGUGUAGAACAAUUUUGCAUUCUUUCCACAUCACUUAUGCAUCUUUGUUCCAAGAAAGAAGAUAUAGAACUCUUAUCUUUUGCUUACACCACUUGGUUCUCCAGCCCAUUAUGCUUAUGCGUCAUUUUUAUAUCACAUAUGCAACUUGUUUCUCAUUAAUAUAUUUCACUUACAUGUUCUUAUAUAAGCAUAAUUUAGGGAAAAACAUUUUAAAAAAAAAGAAGCAAAAUAGAUGUUAAUAUAUAUAUAUAUAUAUUUGGAACAAUUAAACUCAAACUAUGCAAAGUGACCUUGUCUACUAUAUAGGUGACUUUGUUUACCCCAUAGGUAGAGUAUAUGAUAGUGAUAGUCAAGGAAGCUAUGUAGUUGCAUGGUUUAGUGGAGAAUUUAAUGUUGCAAAACCGUUUUGUAUUUUUAAUAAAAUAAAAAUAUUUUAAAUUGUGGCCCAUUUAAAUAUUAUUUUCCCUAAAAUAAAUGAAACGUGGGAGCACAUCUCUUAUGGAGUAACCACCCAUGUCUACAAAUGUGGGACAUAUUACUCGGUUGAAAACUACCCAAAGUCUUUUUUGAUGGGAAGAAGAGAAAAUAAAUAGAUAGAUACAAGAUUAAUUCCAAAAGAGGGAAGAAGGGUCUCUGGUCUACAAGAAUAAGUCUGUGAUUAGUUUCAUCAGUCCCUAUUUUGUGUGAAUCUGAUUGCCAUGGCUGGAGGUACGAUCUUGGAUUUUCAUUUUAUUACUUGUAAUUAUCAGAGAUAUUUAUCUAACAUUUGGUAUCAGAGCCAAGGGUCUCUAGUUUGGCUUUCGAUUCAAUAUUUAUGGUCUUAAAUGAAUUAAGUUCUAUAUUCAUACAUGAUAAGAGAAAUUUAUCUCCAUAUUUAUUGGGUAUUUCUAAUUUAAUCCAAAUGAAGAAAAUUUAGUAGACUCCAUAUUUAUUGGAUAUUUUUUAUUUAAUCUAUACAGAUUUGUUUUUCUACAGUUGCAAUAGACAUUUCUCAUAUGACAUGUUAUGUUUCCUGCAAUUGAGACAACUUGAACCCGUGACCAUGGGUUACUUCCUUAACUAGAAUAGUCCUUGAACCAUUGGACUAAAGCCUAUGACUUGUUAGAGAUUGCCUCCUCUAAACUUAAAUGUUGGCUCCGUUAUUGUGAAAAACUUGUAUAAAUUAUUUUUAUAAAGUAGUAUUUAGAAACACUACUUAUAUUUGUUUACCAUUGAUUUGGUAAUUUUUUUGAUGUCAUACUGAGGUAACAUUUGAUUAAUUAAGUAAUAGCCACAACAUUCUUGAUUAUGAUAAUGUUAAGUGACAAAAGAAAGUUUCAUUUUUGUCACAUUAAAUUAAUGACAUCAAUAUUUGUAAAUAAUCAUAAAAAAUAAUAAUUUUACCCCACAGGGUAAUUAUUAUGUUUUGUGUUUAUUUAGGAUGGGAUGGUAAAAAAAAAAUAUGUUGCCCAUAGGCCUAAAAUUACUAGUUCCAUUAUAAAGUAAUUAAAAAAAAAACAUUUGCAUGUUGUAUUCUGUUUCCACAGGAAAGUUUAUGAUCACGUGUUGAUUUUUUGUUGAUUGAAUUAAUUUACAUGAGUAAAUUUUGUUUUUUGCUUCAUGGCAUAUUAGUAAGCUUUGUCAUUUAUUUUGUAGUUCAAUCUAUAUAUGUUCCAAAUUUUGAUUCAUCUCGUAUACCUUUCUUGAAUGGUGAUAAUUAUGCUAAUUGGUAGGAGAAAAUUCUCCUUACAUUGGGGUGCAUGGACCUUGAUUUAGCACUUUGUGUGGAUGAGCCAUUGGUUCCUAUGGAAUCAAGUACCCAAACUGAGAAAGCAUCAUAUGAACGUUGGGAGCGAUCUAAUUGCUUAAGUUUGAUGUUUAUCAAGUCUAGUAUUGGGAAAAGUAUUCGUGGUUCAAUUUCUGAAUGUGCUAAGGUGAAAGAAUAUCUCAAGGCUAUUGAGCAACAGUUUGAGGCUUCUGACAAGGCUUUGGCUAGCACCUUAAUGACAAAGAUGUGUUAGAUGAAGUUUAAUGGCACCAAAGGAGUACGUGAGCACAUAAUGGAAAUGAGAGAUAUUGCUACUCAACUUAAGUCAUUAGAGAUUGAGAUGUCUGAGUCAUUUCUGAUUCACUUCAUUCUUAAUUCUUUUCCAUCUGAGUAUGGACCUUUUAAGAUUUCAUACAACACACAUAAGGAAAAAUGGUCUAUUAAUGAACUUUUGACCAUGUGUGUGCAAGAAGAAGGAAGACUAAAUCAAGAAAGGAUUGAAAGUGCCCAUUUGGUGACUUAAGAAAAGAAACCAGGCAAGAAAGGUAAAAGAAAGCAAAAGACAUCUCUUAAUCAAGUUAAUAAGAGCGAUAUCAAGUGCUUCUUUUGCAAGAAGAAAGGACACAUUAAGAAGUGUUGUCCCAAAUUUAAAGCUUGGCUUGAAAAUAAAGGUAAUCUUAUCUCUUUAGUGUGUUAUGGAUCUAAUAUGGUUCAUAUUUCUUACAACACUUGGUGGAUUGAUUCUGGUACUAAAAUUCAUGUUGCCAAUACCAUGCAGGGCUUCUUAAACCAAAGGAAACCAACAGAAAGUGAAUGCUCUAUCUAUUCAGGAAAUCGGAUAAGUUCACAUGUGGAAGCGGUUGGGACCUACAGACUUGUUCUUAGAUCUGGUUUUGUUUUAAACCUUGAAAACUCUUUUUUUGUUCCAUCAUUUUCUAGGAAUCUUAUUUCAGUUUCGAGACUUUUACCAUAUGGUUUUAGUUUUAAAUUUGUUGUUAUUUCAUUUCAUUUGAUAAAAGACAAUGUCGUUGUUGGUGAUGGUAUUUUGGAUAAUGGUUUAUUCAAACUCAAUUUAAAUCCAAGUUUUAAUCAUAGACUUACAACUAUGCAUGGAAAUGUUGGCAUUAAGUGUGGUGUUAUAAAUAAGAAAUCUUCCACAUUAUGGCACAAGAGAUUAGAUCAUAUCUCUAUUGAAAUAAUUAAAAGAUUGGUAAAUGAUGGAGUCCUUGAGGCUCUUGAUUUUACUGAUUUUGAUAUUUGUGUGGGUUGCAUUAAGGGAAAGCAAACCAACAUGACUAAGAAUCAAAGUGCUAGGAGGACUUCUAAUGUUUUAGAAAUCAUACACACUGACAUUAGUGGUCUUUAUAAUAUGUGCUUAAAUGGUCAAAUAUAUUUUAACACUUUUAUCGAUGACUACUCACGAUAUAUGUAUCUUUUUUUGCUUUAUGAUAAGUGUGAAGCACUAGAUGCUUUCAAAAUCUAUAAUGCAGAGGUAGAGAAACAAUUGGGUAAACAAAUUAAGAUUGUGAAGUCAGAUAGAGUUGGUGAAUAUUAUGGUAGGUACACUGAAAAAGGACAAUUAUCUGGUCCAUUUGCAAGGUUUCUACAGGAACAUGGCAUUGUUGCCCAAUACACAAUGCCUUGCUCACCAUCCCAAAAUGGUGUGGCUGAAAGAUGAAACCAAACCCUAAAGGACAUGGUUAGUAACUCCAACCUCCUAUUAUCCUUGUGGAGUGAGGCCAUAAAGACAACAACAUAUUGAUUACUAUUCAAAAAGUGCUGUUUUGUAGCUUGUAAUUAACUCUUUUAAACACUUUUGAGUAGUAGUUAUUACCUUUUAACUCAAUUGGCAUGUUAAGGACCCUUGCAAUCGUUUCUAAUCAAAUUGUGUUAAGUUUUAGUGUUUUUGAUAUCUUUUUUAUCACCAAAGCAAUCUAAGAUGAGGGAGAGCUUUAUAUAAUCCAUGGCAAAGAAAAUAAAAGCUCAUUUACAAGAAGAAUCCAAGCUUUGGAGCUUUGAAGUCCUUUGCCAAAAGCAAAUCAUGAAUGCAAUGAGGGAAAGCAAAGAGAGAAAUCUAACAUGAAGAAUUCAAGAGGACAGCAACUGUUGAAGACAUUUUGAGUACUUCCUGAAGUCCAUUUCAUGCAUACUAUAUGUCGUUUCGAAGAUCGGGAAGUCAGAAGCCCAACGCUUCAAACGGUACAUGAAUUGGAGUUGAAAAGAAGAAGUUAUGGCCAUUUGAAGACAACCGCACAAAGUUGAGCGAAAAUUUCAUGGCCCAAAGCCCAUUUCGUACCUGCGAAAUAAGCUGCGAAAUGAAACCCACUUGCGAAAUUUUGUAAGGUGUUUUGCAGCUGCGAAACCACCUCCAAGCACACGUGUGCCACUUCGCAAGUUGAAACUCCAUCUUCGCAACUGCGAACCACGUUGCGAAAUCACCUCCAAGCUGCGAAACAAGUUGCAAAUCAUCUCCAAGUUGCGGAAUCACCUCCAAGUUGCAAAAUCACAAAUUCAACUUGCAAAAUCAAAGUUCAAACUUGCAAAAUGGACAAUUCAAAGUGUGAAAUCCACCUGUGCAAUCUCAGAUAUUUGCAACCGACUCAGUUAGAUUUUUUCUCAAGAUAUUUUGUAAAUUUCUAUUUUCUCCUUGUAAUCAGUCAAAGAUAUUAUUGGGAUAUUUCUUAGAAAAUAUCUUCUCUAUAUAUAUCUUUGAACCAAUGUAAAUAAUACGGAUAUAUCAUGUAGAUCAUAGAUCAUGGAUGUAAUUGACGAUAGUAAGAAAUAUAUUUUUACAGAGCACUUGCUCUGUUUUUCCUUCAUAUUUUUGUUUUCUCGUUAUUUUUAUUUCUAGCAAAUCAAACUCUGAGGAUGUUUCCUUAGAGGAUGAGUGGCUUGGCUCUUUGUCUCUUGGAGUGAAGAAAGCCAAGUAAGUUUCCAUAUGCAAAAAUUAGAAGUUUUGUUGUUUCAGUUUUUAAUGAAGAGAAAGUGUGACUCGUUAAUGGUUUUUAUCUUUUUAGUUAACUUAAAACGCCUUUAAGUUACCUAGGCUAACACUUGGUAAGGCAAGUGAUCUCCGUCCAUUGAGAUGCACUAGUUUACCUCUUGCGAGCCUUUGGGAGGUGACUUGAAGGUAGGAUUUUCUAGAAUAGCCAACACUUGGUAAGCUUUUGGACUCUAAGGAGACAUCCAUUAGUUAUCUCUUGCGAGCUUUUAAAGGGUAAUCCAAGGUUAAGGAUCACCUUGAAUGGCAAAUUCUAGGUGAGAGGCAUGAGCCAUUGCAAGAUGCAUCAGUGAGAGAGAUUUAGUGUUUGAACCCAUUAAGGGGAAACAUCUAUACCACAUCGAUUCGGGAAAUAACUAUAUGUUAAAUCCCCAAUGCGAGGAAAAGAUUCAAGUGACCAGAACUCCCUUUUUGUAUAAGGAACCUAAGCCUAGUGAUCUGAAACUCCAAGAAACAUUUUUCUUUGUAAUUAAAAUCAGUUACUAUUUUUGGUUAGCUUAAAACCAACCUUUUCAAACAUCUUUAUAUUUUCUUUUAGAGCUAACCUUGAAAUGAAAAAACACCAAUUCAGCUUUGAAUUAAUAUCAAUUGUGAAGUGAAAACCCAUCCCAGUGAACGAUCCUAGAGCCACUAUGCUAUGCUAGCUGAGGCUAUCCUAGUACAUGGUGUAAUAGGUUAUAAAUUUUGUUGAUUACUCCCGUCUGAGGACCACAAUCAAGGAAUACCAGCUGGACACGAAUCAAAUGACACCGUUGUUGGGGACCAUUGAGAGGACAUGAAUCAGCUGAUACACCAAUUGGGAAUGAAUCACAUAUGUACUAAACCGGGUUCCAACCAAGGUAGUUCCUAAAACGCCUUUUGAGUUAUGGAAAUGUUGCAAACCCAGUCUAAGGCAUGUACAUGUAUGGGGUUGCCUAGUUGAGGUUAGAAUUUAUAAUCCACAAGAGAAAAAGUUAGACUCAAGAAUAGUCAGUGGAUAUUUCAUUGGCUACAUAGAAAAGUCUAAGGAUACAAAUUUUUAUUAUCCUUCUUGUGCUACGAAAAUUGUAGAAUCUCAUAAUGCAAGGUUUUUGGAGAAUGAUGUGAUUAGUGGGAGCAAUGAAUCUUGACACUUAGUGUUUGAGGAACGCCACAAUAUUGAACCCACUCUUGAGUCUUCAAGUGGAUUAAUUAUUUUCCUGGAUAGUCAUCAAGAUUUGACAAUCCAAGAAACACCAGUUGUUAAUGAACCACAUCAUGAGGAUAUUCUGAUGGAUUUAGUUAUUCAACAUCCUCAACAAGGGAAUGUUGAUAUAACAUUAAGAAGAUCUACUACAGAAAGGAGGUCUACAAUUUCUUUUGAUUAUGUUGUGUACUUACAAGAAUAUGACAUUGAUAUUGGUGUUGAAGAUGACCCCAUUACGUUUUCACAAGCCGUGGGUGGAAGUGAAAAGAUGAGAUGAAUUCAAUGGCUAAUAAUCAAGUCUGGGAUCUUGUUGAGUUGCCUAAAGGUGCAAAGGUAAUUGGUUGUAAAUGGGUUUUUAAGACUAAAAGGGGUUCUUUGGGCAAUAUUGAAAGAUAUAAGGCAAGACUUGUAGCUAAAGGAUUCACUCAACAAGAAGGAAUUGAUUAUCAUGAUACCUUCUCUCCUAUUUCCAAGAAGGAUUUAUUUUGGAUAAUCAUGGCAUUGGUAGCUCAUUUUGAUAUGGAGUUACAUCAAAUGGAUGUGAAAACAGCAUUCCUUAAUGGGGAUUUAGAGGAAAAGGUUUACAUGAAACAACCAGAAUGGUUCAUCACAAAUGGAAAUGAUCACAUUGUUUGCAAGCUUAAAAAAUCUAUAUAUGGACUAAAACAAGCAUUCCGUCAAUGGUAUUUAAAGUUCCAUGAUGUUAUUUCUUCAUUUGGUUUUAUAGAAAAUGUUAUGGAUCAAUGUAUGUACCAUAAGGUUAGUAGGAGCAAAAUGAAUUUCUUAGUCUCAUAUGUGGAUGAUAUUUUGCUUGCUUCAAAUGAUUUGGGCUUACUUCAUGAGGUGAGGUGAGGCGAUUUCUCUUGCAACAAUUUGAUAUGAAAGAUAUGGGUGAAGCUUCUUAUGUCAUUGGCAUAAAGAUUGAGAGAGAGAGAUCUCAACGGAUAUUAGGAUUGUCUCAAGAAACCUAUAUCAAUAAAGUGCUUGAGAGAUUUCGCAUGAAGGAUUGUUCACCUGGUAUUGCACCGAUUGUCAAAGGUGACAAAUUUAGUUUGAACCAAUGCCUCAGUAAUGAUUUGGAAAAUAAAGAGAUGAAAAAUAUUCCUUAUGCUUUUUCAGUUGGGAGUUUAAUGUAUGCUCAGGUUAAUACAAGACCUGACAUUUCUUAUGCAGUUGGAAUGUUGGGCAGAUAUCAAAGUAAUCGAGGUCUGGAACACUAAAAAGCUGCAAAGAAAGUCAUGUGAUACUUUAAGGGGACUAGGGACUACAAACUUACAUACAUGCGAUCUGAUUAUUUGGAUGUGGUUGGAUAUUUGGAUUCUAACUUUGCUAGCUGCCUUGAUUCUAGAAAGUUGACAUCUGGAUAUGUCUUCUUAUUAGCUGGAGGGGCCAUUUCAUGGAAAAGUGCAAAACAAACAUUGGUUGCUACUUCGACCACAGAAGCGAAAUUUGUUUCAUGUUUUGAAGCAACGUCACAUGCUAUUUGGCUGAGGAGUUUUAUUUCAGGGCUUCAAGUUGUUGACUUAAUUUCUAAGCCAUUGAGGAUUUACUGUGAUAACUCUACCAUAGUGUUUUUAGCUAAGAAUAAUAAGAGUGGAAGUCAUAGUAAACACAUUGACAUAAAGUACUUAUCUAUUAGGGAACAUGUUAAGUCAAACAAGGUGGCUAUUGAGCAUAUUAGUACUGGAUUGAUGAUUGCGGAUCCUUUGACGAAAGGAUUGCCACCUAAGGCUUAUAAGGAACAGGUUGAACAUAUGGGACUCAAUUCUAUUUUUUAAAUUUUGUGUAAUUGAGACAUCUUUUGUGUUUCAUCGCAUUUUUUGGUUGAUAUGAAAACUCCAAUUAUUUCAAUCUUGUCUUCUCAUUUGGUUAUAUACAUAAAGUUUAGAGAAUGAAAAUAUGCAUGUUAUGAAUGUUAAGUAGACCUUGAAUGAGAAUUUUGGAAACUCAUUCAUAAAGGAAUGACUCACGUAUUGUUCUUAUUCAAAAGAGAAAGUUGCAUUGUAAUACAUGGAAGGUAAUACUUGUUCUUAGAGGACUUACUGACAUGAUUUAUGUGCUUUAAAUUCUUUUGAUUAAGUAUAAGGAUUUAGGGAAAAAUAUGUUAUGUAUUAAUUUAAUUAAUACAUAUUAAGUAAUUUUUAUGGGCUAAGUGGGAGAAAUGUUGGAAACCGUUUUGCAUUUUUAAUAAAAUAAAAAUAUUUUAAAUUGUGGCCCAUUUAAAUAUUAUUUUCCCUAAAAUAAAUGAAACGUGGGGGCACAUCUCUUAUGGAGUAACCACCCAUGUCUACAGACGUGAGACAUAUUACUCGGUUGAAAACUACCCGAAGUCUUCUUUGAUGGGAAGAAGAGAAAAUAAAUAGAUAGAUACAGGAUUAAUUCCAAAAGAGGGAAAAAGAGUCUCUGAUCUACAAGAAUAAGUCUAUGAGUUCCAUCGGUGCAUGGACAUAAGGUCUUGUAAGGACUAGCCAACUAAUCCCUAUUUUGUGUGAAUUUGAUUGCCAUGGCUGGAGGUAUGAUCUUGGAUUUUCAUUUUAUUACUUGUAAUUAUCAGAGAUAUUUAUCUAACAUUUAAGAGUUAAGCAUGAUCACAUUGUGAUUUAUUAUGAUAAUGGGAGUGCCCUACAUUUAUUUAAGAAUAAAGUUCAUCACUCAUUGGUAAGGCAUAUUGAUGUCUAAUUUCAUUUUAUUUAAGAGAUUCUAGAAGAAAGUCAUAUCUUGUUUUAGAAAGAUUGCUAAUGUUAAUGAGGUAGGUCAUAUUUUAAGAAAGAUUUUUCCUAAAGUCAAGUUUAGCCAUUGUUUAAAUGUGAUCCAUGUAGAAAGGAUCAAUGUACCUUUAGGUGUGUAGUAGCAAAAUCCUUAAAGAUUGUUUGGUUAGCUUCAUUUACAUUACUUAGUUAAAUAUUACAUAGUCAAUUACAUAGUCCUUUAUUAUUAUUUUUCAUUCUUAGUUGGUUUUUGUCUUGAAUUUAGAGUGAAGAAGAUGUAAUCAAUGAGUAGGGAAAGAGGAACAAAAAUGAAAAUAACAUUAGAACUAGGAAUUGGAGAAGAGGAAGAAGAUGAGGACAUUUCUAGCAAUGUUGCAUGUCAAUUUUUUGUUUAAUGAUUUCCUUAUAAUAGUUUUCAUAUUUCAUUAUCUCUCUCUAAACUAAACAACAUAUUUCUUAAAUAUUUUGAAUUCUUAUUUAUUUUUAAACUCUUUCAUUCUCUACCCUUUCACCAUUUUCACAUACCUAAAAUUUGCUCUCAAUUUAUUUCAAUAAUGUUGACAUAAAAGUAAAUAGCUAAAAUAGAUAAGUUAACCUUCAACCUAUUUUUUAUUUAUUUAUUUAUUUACAAACCAAAAUCUAGUAUUUUUGUUUAGAAACUAAAAUUGAACAAAAAUGUAUAAACUAAGAGAAAGAAAAAGUAAAAACUAGAGACUUGUAAUUAUAUAAAUGUUAAGAUUUCAAGUUAGUAAUUUAUGUUAGUAUUUGUAUUUUUUUCUUUUUUUUUUCUUGAUUUUUAUAUACCAUUUUAAUUAAUAUUUUCAAUUUUGUGAUUGAAGUCUCAAAUUUUUUAAUUUGUGUUAUGCUUAUUUUAUUGUUUCCAUGUUAAAAACCAAUGUGCAAUUAGUAUGACAUGUACACUUAUUAUUUCGAAGUGUAAUGUUGAUAUCUUAUUUUGUAAAGCCCAUGGCGAUCAAUCAUUGUCUCUCAUGUGUCUCAUUGAUGAUGUGUGAGUUUGACUAAUUAUUUAGCAUCAUGCCUCAAAGAUUAAUGUUACAUAUCGAAGACAUCUCUCUAAUAAACAUGACAUUCAAUACACUUUUCUUGGCCUUAAUCUUUGAUACAUGAUAGGUCCAUGUUCUACCUUCAUAUCUCCUAUGCCAUAGUGCUACAUUAUUUGAAAAUGAAUAUUUAUCUUCAAUAAGACCCUAAGUCACAUGGAUGCCUAUGAAGCAUGGAUGUUGCCCAUAGUGAAUGCCAGGGAGGGGGGUAAAGGUGUUUCUUACUCUAUUCUUCCUUAAGAUGGUAUCAUGUGCUUCUGAUAAUUGUUUUAUUCUUAUUCUAGAAAAUACAUGCUUCCUAAAAACUAAUAGUUUUUAUUGGUUUAUGAUCUUUUAUACCUCCUUCUAAUGUGUCAGCCUUACCAUAAUGCCUUGAUGUUAAUAAAUCUACCUAGUUCAUGAGCAAAGCUCAAGGUUUUGGAAUGGACUUUGUGUCCUUAGUGGUAAAUCUAGUUUCCCUACCCAUUAGCAUUUCAAGAUUAGUUUGAGCAUCUUGGUUUAGCAAUUAGAUCUUAUACUUACCAAGGUUGGAUUAACACACAUUGAUCUCAUUUUAGCUUAAAUGAAAGAGGUGACAAGUGUGUCUUCAUUAUAGGUGUCAUAUGAAGAAGUUUGUAUAUCCUUAUAGAAUAACUAAUAUUCAAAAUACUAUUUUAGAGCAUCAAUAAAAACUUCAUUUCUAUCCAAAUGAAAAAAAGAAGUGAUAUUGUUGUUCUCCUUGAUCUUACUGCCACCAUCUCUACCCAAUCAUCUACUCUCACUUUGUUUUGCUCUCAUUUUAAACUCUUGGGACAUUUAAAACUUUUAAGUUUUAGUUGUAAACUUAUAGAUACUUUUUUAGGAAAAAAAAAAUGGAAGUGAGAUCUAAGAUUUUGUUUUGAGAAAAGUAUUGAAAAAGCCCCAGGCUUAGAAACUUUUAUUUGCCUAUGUCUAAUAUGAACUUUUGAAUGAAAAAAACAAUGUUAUAUAAUUUAAUACUUGAAAGGAGUUAGAAGGUUUUUUCUAAUUUUGGAGCAUGAUGUACAUUAUGAGCCUAAAUCAUGACAACUUAAGUUGUUAGGAAGAUCAGUUGCUUAACAUGCCAAUAGUGUCUUGUUUAGUGGGGGGUUGUGUGUUUGAAUCUCACCUCAUUAUUUCCAUGAUUUACUAAAAUGAGGUUAGUUGCAUAGGAAAAUUUUUCUCUUCAUACGUGGGUAUGGGGUUGCAGUGAAAGAGAGUGUUAAAGAAUGGGAUCAAAUCUUAAUAGUUUAAGCUUUUAGAAAAAUCAAAAGUUCAAUAUGGCAUUAGAGUCUUAUUUAUUCGAAGGUUAUUAGUUUGGACCUAAAGACAUUAUUUCCCUAAUUUAUUGAGUAAAAAAAAGGCUAGAUAUGAGGUUGCUAAUGAGAAGUUAAUAGGGGUCCUGAGUCCAAGUCCUUCCCUCAUUAUUUAUCUAUCUAAUUAUUUAUGACCAUAAAGUGCUCCCCAUGAUAGGUAUGGGCUCACAUAUGAGGAGAGGAGGGGUGUUGGACCAUUAUAUAUGUUAUGUGCUCAAAUUCUAACAACUUAAUUAAGCUUUUAGGAAAAUUUAUUAUUUAACAUUAAUAUUGUUUUGUAAUCAAAGUAAAAUCUGUUGAGGAGAAGAAAAAUGGUAUUCUUCUAUAUAUUGAAAGAUACAGCAGAUGAGGGUUAUAUAUAACCUGUACAUGAAGUUAAUUUGGAAGAAACUAAUCACACUAAUCUAGGCUACAAUCUUGGAUGAUUUACAAUCAAAUAAAACUAACUUGGUAACUAGAAUAUUUUUAUUUCUAUAAUUGCUCCUUCAACAACUCACGUCAAUACUCCCCCUCAAGUUGGUGCAUAGAUAUCAUCAAUGCCCAAUUUGUCAAGUGAGUUGUGAAAUAUUUUGCUAGAGACAGCCUUUGUAAGAAUAUUUGCUAGUUGAUCUUCUGACUUCACAAAAGGAAAUUGAAUGACCUUGUCUUCGAGCUUCUGCUUGAUAAAAUGUCGAUCCACUUCAACAUGUUUGGUGCGGUCAUGUUGAACUGGGUUAUGCGCGAUUGCUAUGGCUGCCUUAUUAUCACAAAACAAGUUCAUUGUAUUCUGAGAUGAACACUUAAUUUCCUCUAAUAAUCUUUUUAACCAAAGUAGCUCACACAAUCCUUUAGUCAUGCCUCUAAACUCAGCCUCUGCACUAGAUAAAGCAACUACCUUAUGUUUUUUACUCCUCCAAGUGACCAGAUUGCCUCCCACAAAUGUGAAGUAGCCCGAUGUGGAUUUUCUAUCAGUAAUGUUCCAUGCCCAGUCUGCGUCCGUAUAACCGUCAAUGUGCAGAUGUUGGUUUUUCGUGAACAUCAGUCCUCUUCUUGGAGAAGACUUCAAGUACCGUAAAAUACGAACCACUGCACUCAUAUGAUCUUCGCUAGGACAAUGCAUGAAUUGACUCACCAAGCUCACCGCAUAAGCAAUAUCAGGUCGUGUGUGAGAUAAGUAUAUCAGCUUUCCCACAAGGCGUUGAUACCUUUCUUUAUUGGUAGGGGUCUGGUUAGGAAAUUCUCCCAAGCCAUGGUUUUGAACAACUGGUGUAUCAGCAGGUCUACAAUCAAGCAUUCCUAUUUCAGACAACAAGUCAAGCACGUACUUCCUUUGGGAUAGAAAUAUGCCUUGUUUUGAUCGAGCUACUUCAAUCCCCAAAAAAUACUUCAACCCUCCAAGAUUUUUCAUCUCAAAUUCAAUUGCUAAAUGCUCUUGUAAUUUAGAGAUUUCUUCCUCGUCAUUUCUUGUAAUUAUCAUAUCAUCAACAUAGAUUAUUAGAGUUGUUACCUUCCCCCGUUGGUGCUUUAAGAAGAGAGUAUGAUCUAAAUUACUUUGCUUGAAACCGUGCUUUCUCAUGGCAAGGCUAAAUCGUCCAAACCAUGCUCUAGAAGACUGUUUCAAUCCGUAUAAUGCCUUUUGUAACUUGCAAACAUCCUUCCCCUGUGUCGAAGAAACAAAACCCGGUGGAAUGUCCAUGUACACCUCCUUUUUAAGAUCCCUAUGGAGAAAGGCAUUUUUGACGUCAAAUUGGUGCAAUGGCCAGUCCAAGUUUGCAGCAAGAGAGAUUAGUACUCUCACAGUAUUUAAUUUUGCUAUAGGUGAAAAAGUUUCUUGAUAAUCUACCCCAUAUGUCUGAGUAUAUCCCUUCGCAACGAGCCUUGCUUUAUAUCUUUCAACUGAUCCAUCUACUUUGUGUUUGAUAGAGAACACCCAUCGACAUCCCACAGUUUUCUUUCCCUUAGGCAAUGGCACAAGCGCCCAAGUAUCAUUUUUUUGUAAUGCUUUCAUCUCUUCCUCUAUCACUUGGAUCCAUUUGGGAUUAUUCAUGGCUUCACUCACUGUAUCAGGAACACUAUCUGCAGAUAAUUUAUGAACCAAUGCCUUGAGAGGUUCAGACAAUUUUUGAGUUGAGAUAUGGUUGGCAAUUGGGUACUUUGACUUGCUCGUUCCAUGAUCGGGUGAAUAGCGGUUUGGUGGUUGCCCGCGGUUAUGCCUGAAAGGUAGUUUAUAGCCAGAAAAAAUAUUGUGAGGAGAGUUUAGAACUUGUACCUCAGGAAUAUUCUCAAGAGAUUGGUCUAAUUGUGGUACUGUCAAGUCAUGGAAGGGUUGUUCACUUUCAAUUUCCCUAACUUCUCCAUUUUGAUAUACUCUUGUUGGUUGUUGUUCGAUCUCUGCUUCGACAUGCUCAACAUUUUCAACUUCUCCUCUUUGAUCUAUCAGUAUUGCCAUUGGUUCUCUUGGCUGAACCUCCCUUAUAUCAUUUGAAGUUUCUUCGAAGCCUGGCCAAUUUUCCCAAUUCUGCUCUUCACUCGUCAUCUCCCCCUGAAGAGAGAAGUGGGAAGAUUGAGAAGUGAAGAAAUUCUCCUAUUCAAUAAAGGUGACAUCCAUGGUGGUAUAGAGUCGCCUUGUAGCUGGAUCAUAACAUCGGUAUCCUUUCUUGUGAGUUGCAUAGCCAAGAAAAACACAAUGGACAGCACAUGGAUCAAGCUUUGUCCGUUGAUUCUUGUGUAGAUGAACAUAUGUAACACAACCAAACUUUCUUGGAGGAAGCAUUAGAACUGAUGGUAAUGUCACAUGUUGUGCGAGAACUUGAAGAGGGGUUUUGUAGUGCAAAACUCGUGAUGGCAAUCGAUUCAUUAAGUAUACAGCAGUCAUUAUUGCAUCUAGCCAAAAUCGUUUAGGAACAUAAGCAGCAGUCAAGAAAGCUCGAGUGAUUUCCAAGAUAUGUCUAUUCUUGCGCUCUGCAACACCGUUCUGUUGCGGUGUUUGAGAACAAGAUGUCUCAUGAUGCAAACCAUGUUCCUGAAAGUAUCUGUGAAAUUGUGCAUUAUCAUAUUCCCCACCAUUAUCAGAUCAAAGAAUUUGAAGUUUAGCAGAAAAUUGUGUUCGAAUCAUAUUAUGAAAUGAUCGAAAUAUUUCAAACACUUCAUGUUUAUUUUUCAUCACAUAAAGCCAAGUCAUUCGUGUACAAUCAUCGACAAAGGUUACAAACCAACGAACACUAGAAGAAAUAGUAAUAGGAGCAGGGCCCCAAACGUCAGAAUGAACAAUCAAAAAAUGAGUGUCACAUUUAUUCAAACUGAUUGAAUAAGGUACCUGAUGACUCUUAGCCUGAAUACAAGCUUCACACUUAAAAUCUGACUCAUUAAACUUCGUAAAUAAAUCUAGAAAUAAACAUCUCAAAUACCGAAAUGAGGGAUGCCCCAACCGAUUAUGCCAUAACCAUAUCUGUCUUUCCUUAACUCCAGCAGAAUGCAUAUUAUUUGCUCGACCAUAACUAAAAUCAUCCAUGUAAUACAACCCUUCCCUUUUAGUACCACGACCAAUAAUCUCCUUGGUGAGAAUAUCCUUAAACAAACAAAAGUUAGGGUACAUUAGAGCAUAACAAUUCAAUUCCUCAGUCACUUGUCCAAUAGAUAACAAUUAAUUGGAAAGUGAUGGAACUAGUAAGGUAUUUGGUAAUGUAAAAGAAGGAGAAAGAGCCACUGUUCCAACCCCUGUUACUGGAUAUGUUACUCCAUUAGCAUUGGCAAUGCAUAUUCGUUUUGGUUGGGUGGCUUUAGAGAAGUCACAAGGGUCAAAGGUCAUGUGGUCUGUUGCCCCAAAGUCAAUGAUCCAGCCAUCAUGGUUCCCCGUUUUCGAGCAAGAAAAAACAUAACCUUGGUUACCUGAGUCAUUCUGAGCAAUCUGUUCACUAGUGGAGAUAGAAUAUUCUUGUUGUGGUACGAGAGAUAGUUGAGGCUCUACGCUCAUAAGAGCUGCACAACCAAGAUUGUCGCCUCCACUUGCUUCACGCUUUUUCUUUGCCUUGAGUUCAUGCCACCAAUCUGGAUAACCAUGUAGUUUGAAGCAUGUUUCUUUGGUGUGUUUUGUAUUCCCACAAUGUGUGCAGCCUCCUCCUUCCCCUUUUGGUUUUGUGGUUGUGUUAGGCUUUCCAUUUGAUGGCGUUUGAAAAGAUAAUUGGUGUUGAGGUUUAUGUUCUCCUCUUGAAAGCAUAGCACCACCAGAUAUGGUAUCUUCAUUCAUCAUCAUUACGGAUUGCCUCAAAUCCUCUAUUCAAACUUGCGCAUAAGCUUGUUCCACUGUUGGGAAUGGUUGUAUCUACAGCACAUCUGCUCAGAUCUUGUCAAGCCGAUCAUCAAGUCCGUCUACGAAAGUGUAGACUCUAUCCUCCUAUAAAAUAGAGUUAUAUUUUUGUAUAUUAAUAUCACAUUCCAUAGGAUUUGGUCAACGAAAGUCGAUUUCCCUCCACAAGCCUUGCAGAUUGUUGUAGUGUGUCUCGAUAGAUCCUCCUUCUUGUUUGAAUCUGGUUACUCUUCUUUUGAGAUCAUAUACUUGUGAUGUAUCAGUGCCAUCAAAGUACGUAAUAGCAAUAUUAUCCCAAACAGCCUUAGCCAUUGAGAAUUUGAUAAAGUUACUGACUAACUUUGGAUCCAUAGAAUUGAUUAGCCAUCCCUUCACCACUGCGUUUUCGGUUCUCCAUUUUCUGAAUGCAGGAUCUGUUUGCAGGGGCUGUGGAAAAUCUCCAUUUAUGUAUCCCAACUUGUCUUUACCUGAGAUAUACAUCUCGACAAUUUGGGACCAUAGUGCAUAAUUGGUACCAUCUAACUUGAUUCCAAUCUGUGUAGCAGGUUCAUGACUUGUGAUAUGGUUCUGAGUUUGGUUGUGGUUCAGUACUUGUGUCAUUCUUGUCAUAAGAUCUGCGAGAAUUGAACUCUCCCCUUCGUGUUUUUCCACCCUAAUAGGAGGUGUUUCCAUUUUCCUCUUUCUGUUUUUUUUUUUUUUCUGAAAUUCUAUGGCCCUAGAAUCUCUGCUCUGAUACCAUGUUGAAGAGAAGAAAAAUGGUAUUCUUCUAUAUAUUGAAAGAUACAGCAGAUGAGGGCUAUAUAUAACCUAUACAUGAAGUUAAUUUGGAAGAAACUAAUCACACUAAUCUAGGCUACAAUCUUGGAUGAUUUACAAUAAAAUAAAACUAACUUGGUAACUAGAAUAUUUUUAUUUCUAUAAUUGCUCAUUCAACAACUCACGUCAAUAAAAUCAACCCUAGUUAUUCAACAUAAUAAAAAACAUUAGUUUCCUUAUUGAAAAUGGUAAGGACUAAGUAAAUUGAUAUAAAAUAGAAUGCUUUAUAGUUUAUGAGGUGAAGUAUUAGCACUAUAAAGUUAAGUAACUAAUUUGCUAAAAUUACUAGCUAAAACUUGAAAAAUCUUAUCUAAGUGAAAAAUAAAAUAAAAUAAAACUCUUUAUUUUACAUAAUAGCAUAUCUAUAUCCCCUUAAAUUAUGAAAUUCAUGUUGUUUUUUCAACAAAAAAAAAAAAGAUAGAAAAAGAAAAAGAAAAAACCUAGAAAUGCCUACUCAAAAAGAAUAGAUUGAUACACUCCCUAACCAUAAAAUUGAGUUGUAAAUAUAAAUUAUAGUUCAUCCAAGUCUAUAUGCGACUUUUAGAAAUCAAUAGCUAGUUUCAUUUACACCAUUGGUUCGCAUUUUUUUAUUCCAUUGAAAAGAAAGCAAUAAAAAUGAAUUGAGACAAAAAUGAUAAUACAAUCCAUAAAACAUCAAUAGAUUUGUAAACUCAUUAUAAAGUUCAUAAAUUUUUAGAUAAAAAGAAAAACAAUAUAAAGAGGAAAAAAAAUUAGGAACUAUCAAGUUCAAAAAUAGAAUUUAUGGUAAAAAAUAAAAAAUAAAAAGAUAUAACAAACAACAUUUUAAAGUAAGGGUACAAUAGUUAUUAAAAAGAAUCUCAAUAAAAGUUUUCUAAAAAUUGAAAAGAGAGAGAAAAAGUUUUUGGUAUGCUUUUAUGGUUUAGGGGGUAAAAGUUCAUAAUACUCGUCAUUUUAUCAUCUUUAUAGGAAAAAAAAAUUAGACUCAACUUUAUCACAACUCAUAUGAGUUAAAAAUCUCUUGAAUGUAUUUUCUCUCAAGUUUCUAAUGGAUACCCCUUUAUCAAAGGUAUGGACAUUGAGCUAAAUUCACCAUUAAAAUUCAUCAAGUUCCUUUUUUCCUUUUCCUAAUUCAUCAAGCUAUAUUUAUGAAAUAUCCUAAUUAUUCACUUGUAAUAUCAUAUUGUCAACAAAUCCCUUAACAGAUCUACACCUAUCACUAGUUAAUAGAUAAAAUAACUUAAUAAUUAGUUUUAAGUUUUAAGGACUUUACAAGACAAGCCAAGAACCUCAGAUUGCUUGCACACAAUUGACAAAUUGAUUUGUUUUAAAAAGUCAAAUGCUAAAGAAAAUCCACAACACAUAUUGUUUUAAAAAUAUUUGUAUUUAUAUGACAAAAAAAAAAAAAAAACCAAUAGUUUAAAUUGGAAAAGUUUAUGCAAAUUAGAUGAGGAAAAUGCAAGCCAUAAAAUAACAUUAAACUGUUAUCAUUCUCUAAGAAACAUCAAGAACAUAUUGAGAGAACCAUUGCUUGACAUAAUAAAUUGGUCUUGAAAGGAAAAGAAAAUCAUCAAAGCAAUUAUAUUUGUGAUGCAUUCCUAUUUGCAAUAGGUUCCAAUAUUUGAAGCUCACAAAUUCUUCACAUUUGGAUGAACCUUUUUAUUGCAAACAUAGAUCAACCUUGUGGUGCUUACCAAUGGGAAAACAAUUAUAGUAAGAUAUGUAUUGCAAAUGGUGCAUGCUUGCUGUAAAAAUAAAAAAUAAACAAUGAUGAUUGGAUAAGGGAUAGAAAUGGAACAAAAGACAUUGAAUUGUUAUAUGAAUUAAUAUAUUUUAUGUACUCAAAUACAAAAGCAUAUUAUAAUAAUAUUCAUAAGGCAAAAACCACUAUUUUUUUUAUUGGGAAACCCAUAUGAGAACAUGGCAUGGGGCUCAUCAUUGCACACACCACAUUCUCCACAAAAAACCAUAGGACUAACACCAUGAAAACCCAUCAUUGGCACCAUCCUCUUGACUCUCAAUCCCUUAACCCUACACAUUUUCAAACCAAUGUCAUCAACCACUCAUAUCACACAACUCAUAACCCAUCUCUAAUUCCACAACUUUCACCACUGUUGUACUACCAUUCACAUCAUCUCUAUCUCUAAAAACCUACACUCACACCUCUACAAAAUGUCACACUUCCUCACCUUAUACAACACCACCGCCUUAUUAAUUCAUCCAUGCCUAUGGCUAACAUAAAAAAACCCACCAGCACCCUCAUAAAAAAACAAUACUAUUUCAAAGUUACACCACAUUAAUGUCACCAUGCACCUUUCCCUCCAUUGAAUAUCCCAUACAAUCUCUCAUUAUCACCCUCGUCAAAUUCGCAAUGUCUCUCCUAAAUCCUGUAUGACUCUUAGUUUUACCAUUUAUUAGGUUAGCGUCCUCUAGUUCUAAUCGCAACCACUCUAACUUCCAAAGAAAUAAAAUGAUAAAUGAGCAAGUCAUGGAGAUUUCUCUUCCUUACAACCUUUUGCUCCAAGUGUUUUGGUACCCUACUAUUUGCACAUAUAUGUCUUGACAUUAACUUCUACUCAAAUAUAAUCUCUUCUUGUUUUCAUGCUUACCUAUUUUAUACAUCUUUUUUUGUAGAUUUUUUAAUUAUUUAACAUCUUAAGGUUUGCUUUGGUCAUGUUGUAUUGUUUACUUUGCACACUAACCAAAUGUCAAGGCCCUUUUACAUACAACUGGUUCUACCUUAGUCUUUGCAAUACCUUCCUAAGGUAGACCAAGUGAUCUUGUAGAGUGUAGUUGUAGAUCACUAUAUCGUCCAAAUAAUACACCACAAACGAGUCUAGGAAGUCAAAUAAGAUGUUGUUUAUGAGGUUGCAGAAAGCGGCAAGGGCAUUAAUCAACCCGCAAUGCAUGACCAAGAAUUCAUAGCUACCAUACCAAGUCAAACAAGUUGUCUUUGCAUCAUCUCUUUAAGCAAUGAAAACCUGUCAAUACCCUAAUCAUAGGUUUAUCUUGGUAAAAUACUCCACUUCACAAAUUGAAGAAGUUUGUGUGUGUGUGUGUGUGUUUGUAUAUAUAUAUAUAUUAUGCCAUAGCUUUACAUGCCAUCUACUUGUCUCCAUUUCAACAUUUGAUCAUCACCCAUGGAUGCAUUAUUCUAACUAAAUCCACUUCUCCUUCUUUCAUCCUCUUUCCAUUUUGCAUUAGAAUUAAUCCAAUUAACACCACAUAUUGCUUCUCCGUUACCCCACAUUGGUAUAUAUGCAAUGAACUUUUUGGUUUUAGCUCCAAUGUUUUAGCUACAAUUAGGGCCAACUUUAUAUUAUUAUGUACCUCAAAAUUAAGCAUUGAAUAAUGCACCCUACUCAUCUCCAUUUGGUUCAAAUGGCUUGUUGUUGUUCAAAUUCAUAGUCUCUUCAAUAUCUUGUAGUUUUCAUGAAUUCCAUUUGGAAGACCAAACUACACAUGUAUUUUACAAAUAGUAAGCCUGAAUUUACAACCAACGAUCUAACAACUACACAAAGAUUUAUAAUUUCAAUAAAAUCACACAAUAUUUAUGCCACCUAAUUCAAUAUUUUGAGCACCAGGGAGUGAGAAUUAAUGGUAUUAGAAUAUUUAGGUAUCUUGCAGUAUGGUUACAAGUUAGUUAAAUAAUUGUUAGCUUGUUAAAUAAUCGUUAGUUGCUUUUUCUAUUUUUUUUUUUUUUGUUUGCAACUGGUAAACUAGUAGGUUGUGAUAGCUUUUUUACCAAUCUUUAUUAUAAAGGCUUUCUUUGUAUUACUAAAACAUCAAGUGAGAAUAUUCUAAAAUUAUCAGAGAACUCAUUUUCUCUUCUUUCCUUUCUCUAGUCAAUUUUCUAAUAUGGUAUUAGAGUCAUUUCUUUUGUCUCUGUGACUUCUCUAACUUUCCCCUCCCAUUUAUCUAAUGGCUUGCGGUGGUGGCAAUGUUAAUGCCAAUCGAGCAGUAGUUAGUACUCCUAAUUCCUCUAUAAUGGAAUAUUCGAGCAGUCCAUUUUUCAUCCAUAGUAAAUAUCACCAAGGCUUGGUUCUUGUCUCAUAUCAACUUACUGGAGCUAACUAUAAUUCCUAGAGUAGAUCUAAGCACAUGGCUCUUAUAGCUAAGAACAAGAUCAGCUUGGUUGAUGACGCUUUUCUUCAACCUCCAACAGACAAUCUCAUUUCCUUUGUUUGAAUCCAUUGUGAUAGUAUGGUUACAUUUUAGAUCUUGAACUCUAUUUUUAAAGAUAUUGUUGAUAGUCUUCUCUAUGCUAAUAGCACUUUUAAUGCUUGGGUUGAUCUUUAUGAUUGAUUCCACCAAAGCAAUGUCCCACAAAUCUUCUAAAUCAAGAAGCACGUAGUUGUUCUUGAGCAAAGAUCUAUGGAUGUCAACACAUACUACACUAAGCUCAAGGUCCUCUAGGAUGAGCUCAAAAAUUAUCAACCCAUUCUUGUCUAUCACUAUGGAGGCACAAAGUCUUGGUUAGACACCAACAAUAGGAGUACAUCAUGCAAUUUCUUAUGGGUUUGAUUGAGUCAAAUGCUCAAACUUGAACACAGAUCUUAAUGAUGUCUUUGCAUUAGUUGUUCAAGAAGAAUGCCAAUGUACUAUCAAUUAAGGCUUUUUUUUACUUACCGAUUCUCUUAUUCCCAACAUUUCAAAUUCCUUUACUUUUGUUGCAACAACAAAUUUUUCUCGAAAUUCAACUUUAAAACCUAAGCGUGAGUGACCCUAAUGUUCCCAUUGUGGCUUGCAAGGACAUAUUGUAAAUAAAUGCUAUUAGUUACAUGGCUAUCAUCCUGGCUAUAAGUCAAAAUCAAAGAAACCUGAAGUAAAAAAUUCAAGCCACCUAGGCCAAUGCAACUAUUAAUGAGACUAUUAACUUUGAUUCAUCCCUUGGAUCUCUUACUUUAGCUCAGUGUCAUCAAUUGCUUGCAUUCUUGAGCUCUCAACUUCAUACCAACUUUCUUAUUAUGCUAGAAUCUCAAUAGCUAGAACCCUUUGUUUCCCAGUUCAAUGGUAUACUAUCUUUUUCUUCUAUAUCAUAAUUUUCCAAUUUCUUUUUCCAUCUGGAUUUUGGACAUAGAAGUCGCACAUCAUGUUUGUUGUUACUUAAGCACAUUUACACAAUCUACUCCAGCACAAAAUUCUUUUGUAACUUUGCCUAAUAGUCAAUCUGUUGUUAUUAAUCGUAUUGGUUAUGUAUUUUUGUCUCCUGAUCUCAUCCUUAAUAAUGUCAUGUUUGUUCCUAAUUUCCAUUUCAAUCUUCUCUCUAUUAGUUCUCUCACUCAGAGUUAUAAAUCUUCUAUUAAUUUUAUGGUUGAUUCUUGUACUAAAGGCCAUACAUGGACCAAAACGAUUGGGAUGAGUAGAAGACAUGGCAGCCUAUACUUCUUAAAUAUAGUCAAUUUUCAUGCCACUACACCACAAAUUUUCAGUCCUUGUAAUAAUGUUUCUUUGUCUCAAAAUGAAAUUUGGCUUUACUGUUUAGGUCACCUUUCUUAUGUAACGUUACAAACACUCAAAGAUGAAAUAGAAGUUAAACCAAAUUUUGGUGAUUCAAGUCAUUGUUUAGUUUUGCAUUUAGUCAAACAAUGCAAAUUACAUUUAUUUCUCACAAUUAUUUGUCUGUUUUGCCUUUUCAACUCAUACAUUGUGAUGUUUAGGGUCUCCUUCACACAUUUACCAUUGAAGGUUAUAGAUAUUUUUUACUAUUGUUAAUGAUUGUACUCAUUUUAUUUGGGUGUAUCUUUUGCGUGCUAAGCCUGAUGUUACCGAAGUUAUUCCUAAUUUUUUUUUUCUCAUUGAUUCAAACUCAGUUUAGAACACAAAUAAAAUUAGUUCACUCAGAUAAUGCUCCUGAAUUGGCAUUUUUUUUACUUCUUUCAUUCAAAAUGAGUCAUCUCAUUUCAUUCUUGUGUUGAUUAGCCUCAACGGAAUUCAAUAGCAGAAAGAAAGCAUCAACAUAUCUUAAAUGUUGUAUGGUAUUUAUGUUUCCAAUCGCAUAUUCCAUUGGUUUAUUAGGGGGAUUGCAUUCUUAUUAUUGUACACUUAAUAAAUAAAACUCCAUUCCCACUUUUGUCCAACAAAACAACAUUUGAACUUCUUUGGAAAAAGAAGCUUGCAUAUUCACAUCUUCGUAAUUUUGGUUGCCUAUGUUAUGCAUCUACUUUAGAUCGUCAUAGGACAAAUUUCUCACCUCAUGUCAUUCCUUUUGUCUUUCUUAGGUACCCACCUGGUUAUAAAGAAUACAAAUUAUUGAAUCUAGUCACUAAUUCUGUGUUUAUCUCCCAUAAUGUGGUAUUUCAUGAGUCUAUAUUUUCUUUCAAAACUACUCAAACUUAUUCUCCUCUUCCAGAUAUUUUCUCCGGCUAUUGGGUGCAAAUAGGUGUACAAAAAUAAGUAUAGAGUUGAUGGAACUAUUGAACAAUACAAAGCUCACCUUGUAGCUAAAGGCUGCACACAACAAGAGGGCAUAGACUAUCUAGGUACCUUCUCUCAUGUUGUCAAAUUGGUUACUGUUAAGGUUUUGCUUGCUUUGGCUACCAUUAAUGGUUGGAGUCUUCCUUAGUUGGAUGUCAAUAAUGCGUUCUUACAUGGUGAUCUUUUUAAGGAAGUUUAUAUGACUAUGCCUCCUAGUUAUCACUUAAAGGAAAAUCAUUAUCCUCACACUCUGUUUACAAAAUUCAGAAGUCCUUGUAUGGCUUGAAACAAGCAUCACGACAAUGGUUUUCCAAACUCUCCAAUUUCUUACUUGUUAAAGGUUUUUAAACAUUCUAAUGCAAAUCACUCUCUUUUUGUCAAAGUUGUUAGUACUUACUUCAUUGCUCUAUUAGUUUAUGUGGAUGACAUUGUCAUUGUUAGUAAUAGUGAUGAGCAAGUUGAGAAAUUAAAAGUUCUAUUUAGGAAAGCUUAAAUACUUCUAGGGCCUUGAGGUGGUGAGGUUUAAUAAGGGAAUUUCCCUUAGUUAGCACCAUUAUGCCUUACAAUUACUAUCAGAUGUAGGCUAUGUUGGUUGUAAAACAAGGAAAACACUUAUAAAUCCAUAGAAGAUCUUUUAUUUUACGGAAGAAUGAUAGGCAAAUUGGUUUAUCUAACCAUAGCAAACCCAGAUUUAUCAUUUUCAGUACAUAAAUUCAAUCAAUUUCUUGCAAAGCCUAGAGUUCUUCAUAUGUGGGCAAUACAACAUGUGCUUCAGUACUUGAAAGCAUGGUUUGAAAUAUUGGUAAACACGGAUAUAUCGAUACUUGGAUUUUAUGGAUAUAUUGGAAAUAUUGGUAAAAUAUCGGUAAAUAUUAAUAAAAUAUCGGUAAAUAUUGGUAAAAUAUCGGUGGAUAUUUUGACAAAAAUAUUAGUGAAACAAAAAUUAUUCAAAAUUCAUGGAAAUGUUUGGAAAACUCUAAAAAAAAAAUGAUAAAAUAAGCAAGAAUACAUAUGUUAAAGUUAUUGUAAGUGGAAUUGACAUAAGUAUGGUCAAUGAGAAAAAUAUUGAGGGAUAUAUCAGUCUUAAUAAUUUAUUAUUUAUCUUAUCAAAUUAAUUUUAUUUUAUAAAAUAUUAGAAGUUCAUUAUUUUUUUAUUUUAGUAAUUUUUUGAAUAAAUUUAUAUUUUUAAUAUUUUUAAAAUAAAAAAAUUCAAAAUCAAUAAAAUUAAAAGGAUAAACAUAAAAAAAAAAAAAAGUGAAAUGAUAGUAAUUUCUAAAAAUAAGAUUAAUGAGAUAAAUGAUGAUACAUUUAAUAUUAAAACUAUAAUUUAUUUAAUUCAAAUACAUUCAACAAUGUAAAAUAAAUUAUGAUGCAUAUAUAAUUUUUUUUAUAUUUAUAUUUAUUUUUAUAUAAUUGUCAUAUAAAUGAUAUAAAAUAAAAUAAAAUAAAAGACUUAUUAAGAAAAUUAUAAUGAUGGUUUUAUACUUUUAUCAAUUAAUUAAAUUAAAUAAUUAGAAUUAAUUUAUUUAUUCUUUUAAUGAUGAAUUUUAACAUAUUUAUUGUGAACAUAUAUUUACAUAUGUGGACUUGGCCCAAUAGUAGCCAGGCUUCACCCAAGCCUUUUGGCCUGGGUUUGAAUCCCCUUGGAUGCAAUAGAAAAAAAUUUGAAGGAAUUUACACGAAUAUCGGCAUCUUUUCGAUAAAGUCGAUUGACUUUCAGUGUGCAAUAUCAUGUCAACUCUCCUUGAUAUUUUGACGAUUGACUUUCAGUGUGGAAUAUCUUGUUAGCUCUCCCUAAUAAGCAAAAUAUCGACAAUAUUUCACCAAAAUUUUGCAACAUUUCAAUGUGGAAUAUCAUGUUGACUCUCCCCAAUAUUUCAACAAUUGACUUUCAGUGUGAAAUAUUGUGUUAGCUCUCCCUGAUAAGCAAAAUAUCGACAAUAUUUCACCAAAAUUUUACAACAUUUCAAACCGUGCUUGAAAGUUAUGCAGGACAAGGUUUAUUUUAUUUUAUUUAUUUAUUUUUUUCAUUAAUAGAGUUGAAAGGGUUUGUUGAUUCAAAUUGGGCAACUUGUGUGGUCUGUUAGUGGGUUUUGCUUUUUUUUUUUUUUUUUUUUUAAUUAUUGGUGAUUCCUUAAUUUCCCAGAAAUAAAAAGGCAGCAUAUAGUUUCAAGAUCUUUUGUUGAAGUUGAGGACAGAUUUAUGGCAAAUGCAACAUGUGAAUUGAUGUGAUUACUUUCUUUAUUUAGAGAUUUGCAUGUAUCUCAUCCUAAGCCUGCCUUGCUAUUUUGCAACAAUCAAGCAACUCUUUAUAUUGUAGCUAAUCCAAUUUUUCACAAGCACACUAAGCACAUUGAGAUCGAUUAUCACUUGGUUAGAAAGAAACUGUAAAAUGGAAGCUUGAAGACACUACAUAUUUCAUUUAAACAUCAAGUGGGGGACUUGUUGACCAAACCUUUUUCUUCACCUCAAUUUCAUUUUCUUCUUAGUAAAAUGGGAAUUCACAACAUUCAUUCUCCAUUUUGAGGGGGAGUAUUAGAAUAUUUGGGUAUCUUGCAGUAUGGUUACAAGUUAAGUAAAUAAUUGUUAGUUUGCUAAAUAAUUGUUAGCUUCUUUUUCUAUUUUUUUUUUGUUUGCAACUAGAUGUGUCUAUUCAAUAACUUCAUAUGGUUAUAGUUAAUUAAGAAUCCUUUACGUAAUAACUAUUAAAAUAAUUUGUUUCCAACUUUCCUAUUAAAUUUUCUUCUGCUUAGUAUUUCAAAAAUUAUAGUUCAAGAAAGCUCUUUCGAUUUCUAUGUUGCACUGUAUCUUCUUAUAUGUUAGUACAAAUCAUACUCCUCUUUUUACCUCUUCAAUGAAUCCUUUUAGGAGUAAGACCACCAAGUGAGCACCCUUAUAUCGAUCCACAAGCUUUUUAUUACAUAUUUUUGGUUUGUGCACACCACCUCAAAUUUAAGUGGCCCAUAAAUUUUAUACUUUGGAUACCUUACCAUCCAAUCAUAAGCAUAAACUAAAUUUGAAAGGAUAAGUUUAGUUUAUUUUAGAGAAACUGAGCUCCAAGUCCCCUAGCCAAACAUGAAGUUUUGAAGCAUGAAAUUUUUGUGAUGGAACAUAUUUGCAAUCCUUAUUAAAUUGACCAAUUGUGUUAUGCUAAGAAUGCAAAUUAUGCAUGGCAAAGUGGUUAGAAAGUGUACAAAUGCACCAUCUUUUUACUUGUUUUUUUACUCAAAUUUCUCUGUCAAUUUUUUUUUCAUUCUUAUCCUUCUUAAUUGAGGCAAACAUGUUUUGGCUAGUGCUUUCAAAUGCCUUAAAUAUAUUCUUUUCAAUAUUGUAAACAUUUGGCUUGGUCAUUGUUAUAGUUAUCAAUUGUGUCAACUUUUACUUUCUCUCAUCCCCAAUUACAUAUGCACUUUGUAGUUUUAAAUUUUUUUUAGUGAUUAAUCUUAGUUUUUAUCUAAUUGUUUGCCCUAUAGUCUCUGACAUAACUAUAAGUGGAACAUGCACCUCUCACAAACCAAAAGACAUCACUUGUCUUCUUUAAUUUAAACAUUUUUGCAUCUGUGUAAGAUUUGAAACUAGAAUUUCACAAUAUCUCAUAGUCAUCUUCUCUAGUUGUUUCUCAAAGCUCUCUUCAAGAUUUAGUUCAUGUUCAAUUACCAACUUUGAGUUUUCAAUUUUAUUUUAUUUUUUCCUACAAGUCAUGAGGAAAUGAAUUUCAACUGUGUUUCAUCUAUCCAUCUCUCUUAAAUUGUUUUAUUCAAUAGUUACCAAUUGUAGAAUUGUUUUUAUAUAUUCUUUUCAUAGAUAUUGUUAAUAAAUUAUGCUAAAUGAGUAGCUUCCUGAUGUGGUGAGAGCUAAUUUUAUUAUUGCUAGGAUAAUAUAUUUUUAACUUUCUUGACUUUUUCCGAAUUAUAAACCACUCAUGCUUUGACCAAUCUCCAUGUGUUUUUCAUUUGUUUGGAUUUAUGGGCUUUUGAUUCUAUUUAGUGAAUAGAUAAUAAGGAAUUAAGGAUCUGAGAUUGACAUUAUUUUAAGGAUGUUUGAAGAUGGCAUAGUGAAGUAUAGAAUAUUGUUUUGGGUUGUAUCUCCUCGUUUCUCAUACUUAUGGUGGACAUUGAUGAGUUGGAUUAUUUGAAUGAAAUGAGCUUUGGAAAAAUACUAGUAAUUACAUGAAUUGUUGCAAUAUAUUUGAGUGAAAAUAUUAUGUUAGUGUCUCUCCAUGUCACUAAUUCAAACCUGUGACUUUCCAUUGUAAGUGGUAGAAAUAUAUCUUUUAUUUUCUAGAAAACAUUACUCUAACUUGUGAAAAAGGUUCUUAUGCCUCCAUGUUAAAUGUUAUAUGAUGGAAAAAACCUGAAUCUCUCUGUUUCCUCAAUCUGGAUCAAGUUAGGAAUAUGCAUAACUAUCCUAGGCUUUUUCUAAAUUCUAUGCACAACAAAAAAUUAAUUUUUUUUUAUACUUUAUAAGGAUCUAGAAAGUGCUAACGAAAACUAUACCUCAAAUUCGAAUGUUCCCGAGUCUUUCGCCCGAUGACUCAAACCUUGAUCUUGGCACACUUCUAAUGGGGAGGAAAUAAGGGUGGAGGCUAUAGUUCUCUAUCUCUCUGGAUGGUGGAAGAUAAAAUCCAUGGAAACCCUAACCUCUAGGGGGUAUUUAUAGGGUUCCUAAGUUGGCUUAAGUGACUUGAGCCCAUACAGACUUAGGUCACUUAAUCUAACCAAAAAUGAGUUCUAAUUAAUUAAUUAACCCAAUAAGGCCUACUAAUUAAUCAAUUAGCCCAAUCAAGAGACCUUGUUCACUUACCCCUAUACAACCUUGCGUAAUUAUCAAAAUGCCCUUAUACACAAAAGUGAACUUAGAGUCAAUUCAACCCUCAUAACCCAUGCUAACAAGGUGUAUGAGUUCAAAGCGGGGACCAUUGGGACCCAUAGAAAUACUGACUCCCUCAAAAUCCAAUUCUAAAGUUGAUUCAAUAUCACACUACAGAGAAUCAACUAAACUUCAAUAUCCUAUGUAAAUAACAACGAGACACUAAGUGAUCGGGUCUAUGACUUGCUAUCCAUUGUGUUCAGUCUCCCCAUGAACUAAUGUCUGUCGUUUAAUAAGGUGAAAGCUAUUAGUCUUUCAAGACUACCUCUACCUCCUAUUUUGUGUUCAAUUGACAUAUCUUAGUUCUCAAAUUGCCUAUGUCAAGUUCCAUUUAAUGAACUACAUGACCAUAGUUUCCAUGAAUAUACCUCCUUAAGAUCACCCAAGGGGACACACUGUCUCAAUCCCAAGAGAUAUCAUAGUGCCUCUAUUGAAAAUACCUAUUACUACCAGCUUCUACCAAUAAUGAUCUAAUCCAUAUGGAAUAUAUGAUCAACUUCCGAUUUCACCCGUAGGUCAAAGUCAUUGCCAACUUUAGCACAAGCUCAAUAUUCUCUCAAGGUUGAGAGACAACACAAUGAAACAGCUUGGUGAGGUCAUGACUCAAUAAUAGCCUUAAGUCAUGACUCACCAUAGGUCUUGUCCAAUGUGUAACCAUACACACUAGUGCACUCACCAUAGGAAACCCAUCCCGAUAACCAAGACCAGUGAUCCCUCCAAUUAGGAGGUGGUGCACUACAACCUUUAAUGGGUUGCCUAGACCCAUGAACCAGUUGUGAACAAGUCAUCUAUUUGCAAAGAACCCAUGACUUAGAUCUCCUGUGCAACUCCUAAUGCACCUAAGUCACGUACAAUAGAAAAAAUGCAGACAAAAAGGCUCAUAAAGUAUAAUAUAUGGAAUAAGAAUAUAUAAAAGUGAAACUGGAACAUCAUUAAAUAAAUAAUGAAUUCUAAGUUUAUUACAUCAUGUCAUGCUUUUAAGGGCUUUAUCCUAACAUUAUGUAUUUGAGAUAAACAUGAUAUAAUGAGAUUUAUAUUUCUCUGUUAUAAUAUUUCAAUAAGUAAUUGUGUUUUAAUUUUAAUAAACUAUGCUUGCAUGAAACAAUUCAAGUAUCAUUGGCAUCAUUGUGAGACAAAAGUUUCUCUUAUUACAUAUUAAAGAGAUUUAAGUUAUCAAAAAGUGAAAACGGUUUUAUCUAGGCUAGUUUCAAGUUGACAACUUUUAAAUUGUUUAUCAUGUGAUAAAGAACUUUUCCCCACAAAUGAUACUUGAAUUGUCUAAUUAAACAGUGUAGGAAAACAUAAUAUCUAUGAAGUUAAUUGUUUGUUCUUAAUUCAAUUUUUAUAAAUUUUGGUAGUCUUUUCUCUUAUUCUCUGGGUGCAUAUUUGGAUAAAGUUGCAUAGUAUGUCUUGUCCAUUUUACAUACUUAGAGAACUAUAGGGAAAUUCUACUAAAAUUUCUUUAAAAUGAAAUUGACCACAUUGGUCAUUGACACAUAGAGAUUAUGUAUUUCUAUAUGGGAUAGGAACUACUACUGAAUUUAGGAUGUUGGAGAUGUUAGAAUGCAUAAAACAUGCAUCGAAAUUUGACAUACUCAAAUGAUUUUCUUGUGUUGCUUAAGGAGUUUAUUGAGAAAAUUGGUAUAGACAAUGUUUGAUGCAAAGGUCAUGGACAAACCCAAUAUAAUAAUAUUAAUAUGAACUAGUUUUAUUGAGGUUAUACAUCCCUUUUAAUGCAAGUAUUCAUGGUCAACAACAUUUAUAACUUAUUAGUCACUACUACAAAUAAGAUAUACCAUGACCUUGUUUUUUCCCUGGCACUUUUAAAAAUGUUAAUAAUUAGCGUGAUAUUUGAAAAGUGUAGAUCUAUCUUCAUAGAUCAAAAUGGUUAGAACAAUGCUUACUCUUUUUCUUUUAAAUUUGGCAUCUUAACAAAUGUUAAACUACAUUUUCUUGAUUAUUAUUUGAACAAAAAAAAAAAAAGAGGUUGUUAAACGAAUAGCAUAGAAAAUGUUGUUAUUUUCUUCAAUUUGAAGUUUGAUCACUAUUGAAAGUUUGUUCUUAAAAAAUGGAUCGUUUGUGGAUUUCAAAUGAUAGAGGAUUAAAGGAGUAUGAGGAUGGGGUAGAACAUUUUUAUCACAUUUGCAAUAUAAAAUUCUGCAUAUAAAAACUCCAUUAAGUGUCCAUGCUUGUAGAGUGGUAAUAUGAUAUUUCAUACUCCUCAAAGAUUUCCUCAAAAGAUUAGAGAGCAUAUGUUUUUCUAUAGAAUUAAUUAGAAUUACCAUAUAUGGUAUUGGCAUGGGGAAGCAACUCCAAGUGAACCGCCAACUAGAAGGGUAGAACAUUAUAAUAUGGUUCAAUUUAAUGAUGUAGAUAGUACAAUAGAAAUGGUUGAAGUUGUACAAGUUGAAUGUCAAAAUGACCUAAAAUUGCUUAAAAGAUUACUUCAAAUUGUUGAAAAACCUUUUUAUAUCAUAGUUGUAGAAAAUUCACACAAUUGUUUGCAUUGGUUAAAUUAUACAACUUGAAAACACACUAUGAGUAGUCUGCUAAAAGUUUUUCAGAGCUUUUAAAAAUGCGUAGAUAUAUGCUGCCUCUAAAUAAUGAGUUACCCUUAUCUAUGUAUGAGGCAAAAAUGGCAUUGAAUACAUUAGGAAUGGAAUAUGAAAAAAUACACACAUGCCCCAUGAUUGUAUACUUUAUAAGAAUAAGUUGAAAGAUGCAUUUCAUGUCCUAUCUAUGGAACUUCAAGGUGAAAGGUAGAUAAUAUAGGAACUAAAAAAAUGACGAGAGCUCCUGGGAAAGUAAUGUGGUAUUUUCUUCCAAUUCCAAGAUUUAUAAGAAGGUUUCAAUCAUCAAAAAUCGUAAAAGACCUCUUAUGGCAUACCUAAGGAAGAGAUUUAGAUGACAAAAUGUGUCAUCCGGCUGACUCUCUAUCAUGGCUAAUUGACCAUAAAUGGCCCAACUUUGUUUCAAAACCUAGAAACUUGAGACUUCCCAUUUUAGCAAAUGGUAUAAAUCCUCACAAUUCAUUGAUUAGCAAAUAUAGUUGUUUGUCCUAAAGAGCUUGAAGCAGUAACUAUGGACAAUGUUUUUUUUUUAUCAUAAAGAGCAAGUUAUGGGCUACACUAUGGCUGCAGAUAGAGGUAAAACCUUUAACUUGUUUUUAGUUUGAUUUUUGUUUUCUUUCAUAAUGGAAAUAGAAAAUCAUCUAAACGAAUAGGACCUUAAUAAUUUAUUUUUUAUUCUACAAUUUAUUUUUGAAUAAAAUAAUUUAAAAGAUUUCAUUCUUAUAUUUGUUAGACUUUUUUUUUAAUGAAGAAAAAAAUAGUCUCCCUUUUAGCAUAUAUAUUAUAUAUGAUUAACAAUGGGUAUAAUAAAAUUUAUUUAAUAAAUAAUUGAUGUGACAUUCUAAAUUGAAAGUCAUAAAUUAGCUCAUUUGUUUGAUGUUGUCCCUAAAACUACAAGACCUGAUUACAUACUUAGAUUUUGUUCUUGAAAUUUAAGAGAUAAUUGAUGUGACAUCUUGAAUUGAAAGUCAUAAAUUAGCUUAUUAGUUUGAUGUUGGCACUAAAACUACAAUUCCCAAUGACAUAAAUUUUGUUCUUGAGAAAUGUCAUUAUGGUUCAUAGUAAGGCUUAGUUUGGUGUGUCAGACCAUGCAUGCAUGAUAUCUUUUCACAUUCUCUUGCUUUUUGACAAACAUGCUACCAUACUCAAGGUGUUUGUCAAGGCUCAUCUUGGACUACUCAAAACUUUAGGGUCCUUUCUUUGAGUUCACAAGCUUCUUUCCCCUAGUGUUAACCCCAACUCCCAAAAUCCACUCCUUAUUAGUGCACUGACGAAAUCUACAAAUGCACCAUAAAGUGAGAAUGACAUCAUGAAAAUGUAUUAAUGCAUCUUAGAUAUGGGAACUUAAAAAAAAAAAAAAAAUCUAGAGUUUAGACUUGUUUCUGUUAAUUAGAAAUUACUAAGCAAUGAAUCUUGCUAGUGUGGAAAGCACCAAUAGAUUGACCAAGGAAGGUAUAUAUAAAAAAGAUUGACAUUGUCAAUUGGGAAAAUUCCUCUGCAAACGCCAAUCCUAUCUUUCUAACCAUCAUGGAUGUUGAGAAGUAGAUAUCGAUGACUAUGAUGAGGAUCACAAAGGAUUAUCAUACCAAGGAGUUAGACAUUUGUUGGGUUAUCAACAAUUUUAAUGAAGGUGGUAUUAACUAUUUGGUUGUUGAUAGUGUAUUGCGUAGUUCAACCAAGCCAAUCUGCUCCUACAUUGAGAUCAAUCUCGAUGAAAAGGUAGCAUAUAUUUUUCAUUUCCUAAUUAUAUCAACUGCUUCAUGGUGCCUUUGUCUGAUAAGCUUAACAGGUUCUUCUACAUUUCCACCCUCUAAUUCUCUAAAGUUCAUCAUGAUAGGGUUGAAAUUUCAUCAUCAAAUCAAAACACAUCCUCCUAUAAGAGGCCUUUGAAUUCUGAAAUAAUCAAUUCACUUGAUUCUCAUAUUGGCAAAGACAAGCUUACACUAUUGGAAAGACUACCCAUCACCUUUGCCUUCCCAAAUAGAAAAGAUGAGAGAUAACAUUUCACAAAAUCACAAGAAUUAUUCAAGUUUGGAAUUCAUAGGCAUUGUUAUUGAAUUUCAUUUGUAUAAAAUUGGUGUGUUGUGUUUAUUUUGUUGGUAUUAAAAUUGAAUUUUUUUAAUUGCAAAUUGAUGAUUUUUUUUUCUCACAUUUAUACCCAUUAGAGUUUCUUAUUAGGGUUUGUGUUUGAAAUUUGGAGAAAGUAUGGUGCAAUUGUUCACCAGUGUGGUGUACCAUUUUGUUUGUUGUAUCUGAUCUUUGGGUAUUUGAUUUAAUUUUAUUGUUGUUGAAAUUGAAAGUUGAAAUCCAAGUUAAAUGUUUAACUAGAUAUUUGUAGUUGACUUGUUUGCACCGAUCUUGAUUGCCCAUUUCAUGGGAAUAAUUCAUUCCAAUUUUCCUUCAUGAUUACUAAAAAUAUAUUGUAGGUGAAGGACUAUUAUGGAGUAUAUUUAAUUCACAAGAUUGAAUAUUGAACAAAGAUAUGCCUUAGGUCUAGCUUAUAUGGAAUAGCAUAUCUUACAUUUAGUUAAUUAAAUAUACUAUACAAAUUUUGGUUAUAUAUAAUAUCUAUGUUACAAAUUUGGAUAAUUCGAAGUCUAAGUGACUUCAUAUAAUUAUUGUUACAUCUUAAAAAUGAUUUCACAAAUUAGAAUUACAAUGACUCCUACAUAUCUUAGAUUCUAACUCAAAUUCUCACUUGAUUUUAUUUUAUUUUUAUUUUUUUGUUUUCAAUCAAUUAAUAAUAUGUUAUGGGCUAGUUUAGCUUAUAGUUGAGAUGAAUUUUAUCUAAGAGCACCUCAAUUUGAACCAAAUUGAAGAAAAAAAUGACUUAUUAUACCUUAUGAAAGAUAAUAUUAUUAAUUUCCAUGUUUUUUUUUCAAAUAACCUUUUCAUGACAUGAACUUAUAUGGAACAUUGUUGUAUUAAUUGAUUAGGAAAUCACUAAGCCUAAGAAAGUGAGAAAAUUUAAAAGGGAAGGAAUGUCACCAUUGCAUUUUAGCACAAAGGAAGAUGAUCUCUAGCUAUGACGAAAAUUCAAGAAAUGAACAAGUUCCAUUAAAGAUGAAGGCACAAUUGGGUGACAUUUAAAAAAAAUGUCAAAGGAAGUUAUUGUUUUAGCUACGGAUAUGUUCUUUUUUUUUUUUUUUUUUAGACUUCUUGUGUUACUCAUAUAUGUAAUAUGCAAUGUGAUUUCUCUUUUAUAUUAUAAAUUUAUUACUCUUAGCACUUCAUUUAUGGGAUAGAUGAAUAAUAAUUACUUUAAUUUUAUUUAAUUGUUGGAUAGUUGUUGGAUGGAUAAAUAAUUGUCAUUUCUUUAUAUUUGAGUUAUUUCAAUAUCAAAUGCCAAUUAAAAUAAAAGAGCAAUAGGUGAAGCUAAUUUUAGAUUGUCACAAUCCUUGGCACUUCCACUAAGUGUCAAGGUUUAGAGCAAUCAACAAUGGAAAAGGUGAACGAUGAUGCUUCCAAAAAGCGUCAAGGUUAUUUCAUCUUCAACAAUACCAGUUUUUGUAAGUGUCAUUAUUUACAAAAUCAACAAUAACAUUGGCAAAUUGGUACGCCUCAAUGCUUCUAAAAAACAUCAUUAUUUGUUCCAUAUUUACAAUGACGCUUUUAAAAGUGUCAACAUCGCUAAACACUCUUUACAAUGACACUCGAUUUCAUGGUGCUUUUAAGAAGUGUAAUUGUUUGUAAAAACUUAUUAUGACAAGCUAAGAGAUGACACUGCGGAGAAGUGUCAUUGUUUGUCUUUCUUGACAUUGUUUGUCUUUCUUAACAGGUAAAAAGUGUCAUUAUUGAUCGAUUUUUCUUAUAAUGAAUCCAAUUGGUUGUGAUUGAGUUAAUGAAAUGAUCACCAACUUUUUUGCAACCAUACAACACUACAUAACCUUAAUACCUAUUGUUCAUUAUGAUGUUGUAAGAACAUAUGCCUUUAUGUGACCUAUUAAAUAAACUGGUCUUAUCAACUGAAAAAUGUUCCUCUAGUUAGUAAAAACUUCAUUCAUGUGGUCAUUUAUUAGCAUCAUAAUAAUCCAUAUUACAAAUAUUUAAAAACAUUAAUGCACUAAAACAUUGAUUUCAUCAACAAAAAUACACUCAUUCUUUUAACUUAUAGCAUUCAAAGAUGUUUAAAAAUAUAUAUGUACAAUAAAACAUCAUCAAAUUUAUUAACAAUUAAACUUUUAACCCCAAAACAAUCCGUUACUUUAGUAGAUAAGACACUAUUUGGAAUAACAUUAUUUUUAGCUCAAGUUAGAAGUUAAAAUGAUAAGGUUAAAAGAACAAAACCAACAAAAAAAAAAGUUAUUUUUUGUCAAACUUGACACUAGUUCAAGUUAGAUAAUGUAGCUCAAUGCCCUAUUGAAUUGAGUCAUAUAACUAAACUCCCUAAUUAUUUAUUAUGAUACACACACAACCUUUGGUUUAGUAUACAUGAUUAAAUUAAAUGCCCAACCUAGUUUGCAAAGCUAAAUUGGAAUCCCAAAUCUAGUUCAUCAUAAAUACUCUUCAACUGACUUGCUAUGGCAUUCAAAUAAGACAAUGACAAUGAUAGAAAACCAAAAAAAAUACCUAAUAUAUAAUUGAAAACUCCUUCCUAAAGGAGGUAAAAAAAAAUCAUGAAGUAACUUUCUUCUAUUAAUAAAAAAUGGGAAUACAAUGAUCUAUAUAGUGUUUUAACUCGAAACUUAUGGUACUACAAAUAUUAAAGAAGAAAUUUAAAACACACACACACACAACAAGCAUGUUGUCAAGCUUAUAAAAGUUGGAGAAAUCUCUGCAUACAAGUGUUCAAAACAUGAUGGAGAGUAACCUUGAUAUUUAAGUCAACAAUAUACAAGGAAAGACAACCCAAAAAGGUACAACUUUGAGAACAAACUCUCCUUUUUGCUUUUUCACAUAACCCCUUCUUUUUUUCUUUUUGAAAACUUCUCUCAUUUCCUCUAAUUGUUACACUAUACAACAAUCCUAAAAAAAUAGAGUUUAAAGGUCUGUUUGAUAAUCGUUUUUAAAAAUAAUUCUGAAAAAUAGUUUUUGAAAAUUAUUCUCUAAUGUUUAAUUUGUAGAACAAAAGUUUGUUUGGAAACCUAAAAUAUUUUUAACAUGUUUUUAAUGUUGUUAAAUAUGUUUUAAAAAUAAUUUUAUGUCUAGUAUUUUAUUUUUAAUCAUUCUACAUGUUUAUAUAAUUAUUUUUUAAAACAACUCUAAAAAAAUAAGUGAAAAUAACAUAAAACAAUUAAAAGAUGUUAUCUGAAAACACCUUAUUUUAUUAUAACAAAAAAUAAAAAGCGGUUUUUGGUUGUCAAACAUGUUUUCUUAGUUUUUUAUUCUGAAGAAUAGAAAAUUGUUCUUGAAAAUAGUUGUAAAACAAGAAUCUUUUCAUAUUAGUCUAGGUAUCACAUUAGUUAUUGCCCAUUUUAUGAUUUUAAUUAUUGCUUAAAAACUAGUCUUUCAACUAAAAAAGAAGGUCCACUACUUAUGGGUCAAACCUUCAACUUUCAAACCCCAACACAAAGUUAUAGUCAAGACUAAUAUUCACAUAUUAGUAUUAAUAUAGUUCAUUAAAUAUGAAUUUCUAUAGAAGGCAAAAUCAAGUUUUUAGGGGAAGUAACAUUCACUUUCAUAUUAAGCACUUUUUAACUCAUAAGUUAGUACUUGUAACAAAAUUUCUUAAUAGAGACUUUAAUUGAGUUUUAAGAAAAAAAAAAUUGUUUGUAAAAAACCAAUUCAAACAAAAUCUAAAACUAAUAUUAUUAUCUAAAAGGCAUAAUGAACAAAAUAAACCAUAAACUAAAGUGGUAGUGACAACCAGUAUGUAGCGUCCAUGAAUAAUUGAAAAUAGCCUCAUUUUCUAAUGACCUCGGACCUAGAAGCUCUAAAAUCCUUGCCUAAUUCUUUGUGAUGACUUUAGUUUAACCUUAAUGGCGAGGGCAAAAUUCUAAAUAAUUUUUGUCACAACUCAUAAAUUUAGAAGAAAAAAAUGAGAAUAAAUGGAAUCCCAAACAAGAAAUUGUUAUUUUUCUCUUUUAUGACAAAAAUCUACUACUAUUAUUUAAUAACGUGGGAAUUGUUCUUUCAACUUUAAUACCAUGUAUGACAUAACUUUAACAACCUUAAUUUAUAAGAUUAUUGAAUUUAAAAGGAUAAAACAAUUACAUAUUCAUAAGAAUCACUUCUAUUUUUUAACAACAAUAAAUUUCAUUUUUUGGACAAAAAUACCCUCCAUUGUUUUUAUCAACAUUUCACAAUCGAACACUUAUUGGAAAAAAAAAAAGGUAUAAGGGUAGCUAUAUUAAAAUGAGGUUAUAAUUAUAAUACUCAAUAAGUGGAGAUUGUUUUUCCAAAUAUUGGGAUCAUCUUAUCCAUUUGACACAAAUAUUUCUAAUUUAUAUUAUAAUUACUCUUAUAGUAAGAGAAAAAGAGUAAUUUCACAUGAAAUGGACCCAUAAACAUAGAUUUAUUAUGAGGCAUGUUACUAUAAUAAUAAUAGGAAAUAAGACGAGACAUGUUACCAUAAUAAUAGAAAAUAAGAUAAGUAAUUCAAUACUUAAUAAAGGUCUAAAACAAUUAUGCUUCUCAUUAAAUGAUAUUAAUGAUGGAAAAAAACUAAGGGGUGGUUAAUAAAACUUAAUAUUUAUUACUUAAGGAUUUAAGUUGACUUUAAAUUAAAUUAUGCUUAAAUUGUUAAUUUAAAACUUAUUAAUUCUUAUUUUAAGUAUUAAGACUAUUUAAUAAAAUUAACUUGAAAUUUAUUAAGACUAUUUAAUAAAAUUAACUUAAAAUUUCUUUUAAAUUGUCAAAUCGAUAUAUUUAUUUUCUUAAAUUAUAAUUAAAGUAAAGGACAUCAAGUAACAAUGGAUGUCAUGGAAUAGUGAAAGAGAUCUUAGAGGUAACGAGACAAAUUAUGGUAAAAAAAUGUUAAAUAAAAAUAUGAACUUAAAAAUAAAUUAAUUAUUUAUAUUUAUUACUUAAAGUUGUUUUUUAUUUUAUAUUAUUAAAUUAUUAAAUUAUUUUACUAAAUGUGUUUAAUUUAUUUAAUGACUUACAUUAAAUUACUUUAGGCUAUUAAAUCGGUUUACAAAUAAUAUCGAGUAGGCCCACAGACUGGAGAAUAUUGCUAUCAUAUGUUUUAUCACUACUUUCAUGUAUUAAGGUGCCAAGAAUAAUUCACCACAAAAUAUAUGAUAAGUUGAUAGUAUAGGAUACAAUCUAAAAAAUGCACUUGAUUUCAUCAUCUAAAUAAAUGCUCUUGGCAAAAUGGAUCAUCCUAGCUGAAACCAGAGCACAAGCCGUCAUGGACAGGAGGCAACGGAGAAACCCUUCUGCUUCUUCUUCUGCCUUUUCAUCUCCAACUUCAUCCUCAUCGCGUUUCCGCUCAGAGAAAUUCUCCUCGAAUCCCCCAAAAACUAGUAACUCCCUGGAGGAUGCUCACCAAUUGAAAAGCAAAUGUGGGAAGCCACAAAGACCAGAGCAAGAGGAGGAAGGAGAGCAAGAUCCGAACAAUCUUCUCUCCUUAGUUGGAACUUGCCCAUUCAUGUGCCCUGGUAAAAAUGCGUGCUUAUUUUUCCAUUUUUUUUAAUUCUAUUUUCCUGUUAUUCUGUGUUUGGUUUCCGAGAAAUUGGAGGAAAACAGUAGAAAAGAGAAGUGAAUCUGGAAUUUCUGUGUCAUUUUUGUUGCUUUUACAUAAAUUUUACAAAUAAAAUUGAUAUUUCCCCCCUUUAUUAGAUACCAAUCUGAAGAAGACGUAGGAAUCCCAAAAAAAAAUUCGCUUUUGCCUUUACUUCCCCCAAAUCUUUCAUAAUGGAAAAUGGACUUACCACCUCUUUUAUCACUUUUCCUUUACCAUGUCAGGUUUACAUGUAAUCAAACACUGUAUUUGGAGUAGAGCAUUUAUUCUAAUGUCAAAUGGUGUUGAAAACUUGAAUUACUGGAUCUUAAGACUCCAGAAGAAAUUUGAUUGUUUAUGAUUAUUGCUCCAUGAGAAGGGAAAGGGAUUUCUUUUGUUUUUGCUCACAUACAUGGCCAAAUUGAUUUAUCUCCUUCUCAUACGAACAAAAUAAGGACAUUUCUUGUCUUGCUGCCUUUUAUGCCACCGGUUCCACAUGCUGAUGUGACAACCCUUGUGCUAUUCUGUACAAAUGGUAGGAAAAUUCUGGUAAGACUGGUGGCCAGCCUAUCAUGUUCAGAGAAUAAAUUCAUUGUAUAUCUGGAAUUCACUCUAUAUCAGCAUAGGGUGUUGAUAUUGAUUAUAAAUGACUAAAUUCAAUUUAUUAUCCUUACAUUAGGGAGUGCUAAAAGGAUGCAAAUUGUUCAUGUUAUACCCAAAGACAUACAAGUGAUGCUAGAGAUUUUCACAAUGUAGAUAAUCAUAGAGUAGAGAUGAACACUAUGGAGUCUUUUGGCAUGUGUUCAUUCCAUGUAUGGGAACAUGCAUUGGAAGAUUAUGUUUCCUCCUCCCUCCCCUCCCCUCCCCAAAGUAAGUACUAUGUUGUCAUGGCAAGAACUUUGGUGACAUGCUUCUGAGUGGAAUAGCCUCCUAGAAGUCCAUUUAUGUGGCAAUUGGCAAGUUCUUCCAGUCAAUGAGAACUUUGUGACUGUCUGAUUGUUGUACUAAUCAUCAUCAGAUUUUUUUUAAGUUCAAGUUGCAAAUAGCCUUUCACAGUUGAAGGUAGCAAUGAAGAGGCCUGUUGACAUAAUUAUUUCUUCUGCUUGAAUGGAUUAAAAUCAGAUACCACACCUUCAGCCUAGAAAACUAUGGACUUUCCUAUGUACCUGCAAUUGGCUGAAUACUGGUGUGACACUGACCAAAGGCUCUCUGAUGCUGUUAUUAAUUUCCCGAGCAAAUAAGAGAAAACAGAGAGGUCAUAAUGUGAAUCAGUUACCUCUUGAGUAGGGAUGAAGGCUUUUUAUACCUUUUUACUUUCUGGUUAGGCCUUGGAAGCACUUCUGUGAACCAUGAUUUUGUACUGUAAAAUUAGAUGGGAUGGAUAGGUCACCUUAACUCUACUUUUGGAAGUGAUUGGGGAGUGCAUGACCGUAUGAAUAUUGAUGUAUUCUCCCCAUACAGAGCCCAACUUCUUUUUGAACUAGGAAGCAUGAAGGGUGGGUGCAUGUGGGCUGAGGAAGGAAGAUUUGACUUGUGUGCUGCAGGCCUGCAGUACCAAUUUGUUCCAGAACUUGAUAAGGCCCAUAAACUGGUAGGCAAGUUUCAUUAUUUGGUCACCACUGAAUUUCGGCAGUAUGGCCACAAGGAAGGUAGGAAGGAGAGGGAGAAGAGAAAGCCCCAAUUGCCAAUUGCAAUCUUCCGGUUGGCACAGUGCUCAUUUGCUGACAUUUCCAUUUGAUUUUAACCUUGAAACAGAUACAGCUUAACGUGAUGGACCAGUUUUUCACAAUCUUGUGAUUCAUUACCCAACUUCUAGUAACAGUUUCUCAGCAGAUGACUCACCCAUGACAGGCUGAUGAUGUCUGCACACAACUUGAAAGGUAUUUAUGCCAAGGUGUGAAAGGUAAUAUUGUGACACCAUUUUUCCUAUUCCAGAAAAUGUACCAAAUGUAUGGCUGGUUCUUGACCAAAAAAUGCUGGCAUUGGUCACCAAGUGCUAGGGUGAUUCUUGACAAAAAAUGUCGUAUUGUUCAGAACAAUGAUUUACAACUUCAGAUUGGCCAUCCAGUUAAUGAUGAUAAGCACUUGUUUUACAAAGUUCAGUGUCAUAAAAGCAAAAUAAUUUUGUCAACAAAUAUGGGGAUAACUUUAUCAUAAUUACUACUUAUGGAAUUUAAGGAUAAGUUGGGUAAUGUGAGAAAGUUUUGGUCAGAGGAUAUGAGGAUAACUUUGUUGCAAUUGCUAAGCUACACGUCCUAGGACUACUAGGAGAAAAGUAUGAGCAACAGAAUGAAUUUACAGUCCAUCCCCACUAGCUGCAUGGAGAGGUUGGGCUUAUUGCUGCUAUGGUGGAGGUCACCUUCUUGUAGACUUUGAAAUGUGCAAAUGAAGAGGCAGAUUUCUUAGAAGAAUGGGUAGGAUUCAGCUUGUGGUAGAUAUUGAGCUUAUCGCCUCUAAUUUCAUGUCUUCUCAAUGUGGAUUUGAGGUUUAACGAGAUUUUUGGGAAAUCAUUAAGAUUAAAAGUAAUCGAAGACUUUCACAUUAAUGAGGUAAUGAAUAACCACUGAUACUUCUUCACCCCAAAGUUCCUUCACAAAAAUUUGGUGAGUGAAGAACUAUUACUGAGUUGUGAAGCACCAAUUCCAGCUUCAUUAUCUUGAUCUUCAGAAAGAGGGAUCCAACUUGAUUUGGGAUUUUAUACCUGUCAACCCAGUCACUGGUUUUUAGGAGAAUACUUCCAAUUUACCCUUGGGUUGCUUUAGAAAGUUUCUUAAUAGUGCCAUCUCUCUAGCUUAAGGGGCUUUUGUUAAUGGAAGGCAAAUUCUAGAUGUGGUUAUCAUUAGUAAUGAAAUCCUAGAUAAAAAAUUCUGUUCUAAGGACGAAGGGAUGGUUUUUAAAAUAGGUUUUGAGGAAGUUUAUGAUCACAUAGAUUGGGGUUUCAUGUAUGAUACAUACUUUGAAUAGGGAAGGCCCUUGAACCUGGAUGGCACAAAGGGACUGGAUAUUUUGAGGUUGUUUUUCAAACUGCAGACUCUUUAAUGGUUAUUGAAGCUGAGUGAUUAGCACUCGAGGAAGAUUCGGACAUGGUUGUUUGCCUGGAUGUAAUGAACCUCCAUAUUGAAGGGGAUUCCUUUGUUAUUGUCUUAGAACCUUCUUUGAAGGCAAAGGUCCUUAGUGGAUUGCUCAUCAGAUGGGGUGGCUUCAUAAUCAUGCUAGAGACAUUGCUUGUUCUUCUCUAUUGAGGCCCAGAUCAGCUAGCCAGGUGCAUGGCUAUAUUUUUCUUAUAGGGAUGCUAAUAUCUGAAAUUUUUUAUUGAGAACACUUACCGCUCUUUGAUUGGUUUGAGGCAUGGAGCGGCUUUUCUGUUCUCUUCUUGCCAUACAUGCAUAUCAUCCCUCUUUUUUUAUCUUGUUUAACUCAAUAAAUUCUCAUUUGUUAUAAGGAAAAAAAGAGAUAUUAUGUUACAUGAUGGAAGGACUUUAUUCUGUUAUGGAGUAUGCAAAACCUAGAUCUAUUAGCUAGAGCUAUACAGUAGGCUGUUGGGUUGUUCAGUAUUGUCUCUUUUUUGGAUAGGUUUGGCCAAUGCCCCUUGAUGUUACUUUUUGGUGAUGUAAUUUUCUUUGAUUUUUCUUGAAAAUUCCUCAUUUUUCAAGCUUGCUUGUAUAUCUUUUCUUCUUCCAUUAAUGAUUGUUUGAUUCCUUACUAAAAUAAAUAACAAAUUAUGAUGGAAAGGAUUAUGUUUAUGGAAAAUUUUGAGAUUUUCACCAGAUUAGAGUCUCCGAAGCUGGUAUUUGUCUUUACACAGAUAAUAGGAAUCAUUUUCCCCCCAAACUACAUAAGACAUGUCUGCUACUUGGUAAUGUUCCAUUGGCAGUUAUAAACUCUCCUGUCAAAUGUGAAUCUGUUGUAGCAUUCCGAAUGGUGUUGUGUCGUACAUAGAUUGGUAAUUGAGGACUUUAUUAUGGAUUUCGUCCUGUUUUGGUUGUGCCAACAAGUUCUAUCCUGUUCUUUGUCUUGCUGAUUUGCGUGGUUGUGCAUCAUGUUCCUACCAGCUGUAUAAUUAUGCUUCUGGAGCAUAGUUAUUCUGGUUUUACCAUCCAGAUGAUGGUACUAAAGUAUUUGUAUUCUAGAUUGCACAACUCCUUAUAUGGGAUAUUUUUGCAUCAAAUGCUUAGUGAUCAAGAGAACUCUCAUAUUAAACACAUUCAUCUUCUAUUAAACUAAAUUCCUUAAGUCUGCAGUCUCACAACUACAUCAUACCAUUCUUUUCCUUUUUUCUUCCUUUCUUGCUAUUACAGGUUGGUUGCCACUAAUAUAGUAGAAAGCAAAUUACACGACCCUGCUUCCAUAAGACCUUUCUUAUUCCAUAGGUUGAAAUAGAAAAAACACUCGAUGGGACUAAUGCUUCUCUUUGCAAGCAAGCAAAUUAAAAUGUUUUGAAACCCAUGCUGCCAUGAUCUAGCUAAUUUGCAUUUUAUAUGUCUACUCCUUUCUAUUUACUCAAAUUGUGUAUUUCUUUUGCUUGUAUUUAUUUCCUGAUGAGUUUAUUCUGAUUCUUUGAUCAGGAUUUCUGCAAUCACAUUGCUUGCUAUUGAAUUUUCAAGGGCUUAAUAUGAAUUAUUAAUAAAGAAGUUGUUUAAUUAUUUCAGCAGCUUAUACUUUGUAAUUUCUUUUAACAACUCUUAUCUCUGAUGUUCAUUUGUAAUAAAUAGCUGGAGAAAGGGCCCAACGUGAACGCCUUCGGGACUUAGCUGUGUUUGAGAGGUUACAUGGAAAUCCUGGGAAAACAUCUCCAAGCCUUGCUGUCAAAAAGGUAAACCCUACAUCUCAUGCCUCUAUACCGCAUCUUAGCUUCUCAUCUUGCAUCGGACAAUGAUACUCUUAUUGAAUCAUCUUUACCAUAUCAGCCAUCAACAUGUGCACUUAUUGAGCACUAAUUCAGGCACUGAUACUUGUGCUUUUGUUUUGUUUUAUCUUCUCUUGUCUUGUUUUGUUAUGGAUGUGAUUGUGUUGGAUGACCUGUAUCUGUGUUAGACACCAAAGCCUAUCUUAAUGGUACUGUAAAGUAAGACUAUGCUAAUAAGCUAUUGAUCUGUUACAGGGUUUAUGCCAAACUGAUUUUUUAGUUUCUCUAGUAGAAAACUUGUUUUUUCCCCUGUUAUAUCGGUGCUAUUGUUGGAUUUGUGUUUGUUGUUGAUCAAGCAUUUGCUGAAACUUUUUUUUUUUUUUUUUUUCCUUUGCUUCUUGAUGUGCAAAGCAUUAUUGUUUGAAUUUUAAUGAUCCCAUUUGAUUCACUAUUCAAUAUUUUUAUUUGAUAUUACAUCUAUCUCAUUUGUUUUCUUUUCUUAGUUUUUAUUUUUAUAUUUUAUAUUUUUAAUUUUUUUUUAAUUUUUUGAAUUAGUGACAUUUGAAUUUGAUGGAGCCACCAUUAAUUUAUUUUUCCUUAUUAUUGUGGGGUGUGCUUUAUUUUGUUCAAUUGUUGUUGCACUAUUAUUAUCAUGUAACUUUUUUUUUUCUUUUCUUUUUUUUUUGUUUAAUCUAUUGUUCCUAUGAGCAUUAAAUGCUCCUAAAAUGUAUGGAAUAGGCUAAACCUUUCUAUAGUUUUUUUAAAAAAACUCAUUUAUUAUCUAUUUUCUUGUGCUCAAAAAAUUAUAUUUUUUUAGUAAAAUUGAAAAUUUAGGGAGCGCUUAGGCCCCAGCGGCUCAACCCCUUGAGGGUUUAUGCCUAUUGUAGCAAGAUGUGGACCCCCUUGCCUCUUAUGCUUUUACCUUAUGAAACUAUACCAAGAAAAAAACGCCACAACUCCCUGCUGCCAUCAAAGGAUACUUCAAAUUUUGCUUGAUAUCAAUUUUAAGGCUAAUUAUCAUAGGCUUGUCAUCAUGUCACUAAAAUUGGUAUUGUAACCAAAGUCCUAUUGCGAAAUCUUCAAGUUGCAGCUCCUUUUUUUCUGUUGGCUCUUGUAUUGUUAGGUGGCCGCAACCUGUUGCUUUACUUAUGCUUUAUGAACUACUCCAGUUAAAAUAAUGCUUCGAGUAGAUGCUUUUUGGAUCUUGACUCUAGCAAGAGGCUUAUAUUGCAAAUUUUUUUUGUGGAGUCCUAGAUAGGUUAACUAGGAAGACAAUAGCUUGCUUAAAAGGAUUGCCACCUCUCCUGUUGGGUUUGUAAAAAUUUUGCUUCUCCCUUGACCUUGGGAGUCCUGUGGUUUCAAUUUUGGGUGUGCUCUAGGUUGUAGCCUGUGUUAUGCUUUCUAAAUGGUAAUCUUCUUGUUUUGGUUGGGAUGCUUUUGUUUAUUUUGCUUGUUUGCUUUCUUUGUUUCUUUAUAAUUGUGGCUAUAGGAUCACCAAUCAACUUUAUAUUUUUUGCAAAAACUGUUUAUGUUUCAUAACGAAAAAGGAAAAAACAAAGGCAAGUUAGCCUACAAUAGGUUCUAUCUUGUUUCUUCUUUUACCAUUAGUGUGGAUUCGAACUCAGGAAAAGGCCUUCAAGCAAGUGGCAUUUGUGUUUUUUAAACAUAUAUCUUUGUUCAAUCAUUGUUAAGUGUUUGUUGUCUUGUCUGUUCUUUUGGUUGUUUUUGUCUUUGUCAAAGUGUAUAACUGUAAUAUCCUACAUCGUAUAGAAGAAAAAGUUUCUAGUGCUAUAUAUGUAUGAAUUUCUUUUAAUCUUGUUGAUUCGUUUUUAAGCCGUGAGGGUCGCUUAGGCUCAAAACAAAUAAUAUCCACACAACUGGGAGCAGGUUGUUACAAAUGGUAUCAAAGUCAAUGCUCGACCUUGGUGGGAGAGUUUGUUUGGCCUGAAAUGGGUGUCCGUUUAUUUGACCCUACAAUCCUGUUGGACACAACAAGAACGUUGUGUCUGCAUGAGAGAGAGGGUGAUUGUAAUAUCUUACAUUAGAUAGGGGGAAAAGUUCCUAACGUUAUAUAUAUAUAUAUGUCUGUAUGUAUGUAUGUAUGUAUAUAGACUCCUUUUAACCUUGUAAACGUAUUUUAAAGUCAUGAAGGCCCCUUAAGUAUAAGGUGGAUAAUAUCUAUACGGUUGAGUGCAGGUUGUUAAAAUAAUUACUUUUAACUUUCCUUCCAUAUGUUUAAUUGCAUAACAUUAUUAUAGCAAAAUAUUAAUCUAUCAUAAUGCAACGUCUUGUAAAGCUUAUGUUAGGUGUCAUGAUUUUAUCUCUUGUCAUUUUUAUUAUUUUGAUUCAAUAUCAUCUUAGCUUAUAAUCAUUUAUACACUUGAUGCAUGAGAAAUGAAGAUGCUAUAAAUUGUAGGAUUCUUUUUCUCCAAUUUGUUCCUUGAUAUUUUAUAAUGCCAUGAAAUGUCUAUAUUUUGAUGCAGAAAGCCGUUCACCCUCCAUCUCUCUCACUAGUUUUGCAGAACCAUUGCCACUAAGCACAUGCAGGCGUCAGAUGUGCGGCCACUUCCAGUGUUGGAAGAGACUUUGAACUACCUAUUAAACCUGUUGGAUGCCACGGAACAUCCUUUUGAAGUGGUUCAUGAUUUCGUCUUUGAUAGGACAAGAUCAAUAAGACAAGAUCUUAGCAUGCAGAAUAUCGUUAAUGAUCAAACAAUUCAUAUGUAUGAAGAAAUGGUAUGAAUUUCUUGAAACAUAAUCUCAAUUACCUUUUUUUUCUGAGCAUUCAUCUCCUCAACAUACAAUAAGUUAGCCAACCCAUUGCUAAACACUCACCUAGUUGGAGAAAAUAAUCAAAGUAUACAAGAUAUAAAAUGUUGAAUAAUUGAGUCAUUAUCCUCUCCUUUUGCUUUAUUGAAUAAGAUAAUUUAUUCAGUGGAGUCCAAACGAGGUGAAACUGUGAUCACACUACUUGAAGCCUACUUUACAAUGGAUAAAUGAAUGGUCUGAUUCUAAAUCUUUCUUGGCACAUUAGUUAUUAUCCAAUCCGUUCUAAUUAAAUUAUCCACUAUUAAGUGUCUAUUUCCAGUCACCCUCCAAGUUAUGAAAGACCCAUAGAACCAAAGCAACUCACACCACAUGUGAUGGGAAUUGAUGCUCUCUUCCAUAAUGUCAAGUUUUCCAGUACACUUGCUGACUUUGUAGAAUAUGCCUACAAAAAGGGCUGCCACCUCCUAAUUCCCAAUCAUAGAAGUUUCUUAACCAUAUUUCAAAAGCUGUAUUUCCUGUUCCCCCUCUUAAAGUUUUUUAAACCUAUAUCUCUUUAUCCUAGUAAUUUGGAAAAAUGAGGAAAUUAUUUAACAAGAACUCCAUCAAUUUGUUCCUUAAAAUUUUCUAUAGUUUCUAUCUCUCUCACUUUUGAUUCAAAUUCUUGAAGCAAAGGAACAAAUUCAUGGCCAGUAACAAUUUUAGCCAAGCAAUAGAAUGCACAACAAACAUGCAUAUGAAUGACUUGUGUUUUUUUAUGAUAAUUGAUUAGAUAUUUUAAUCUCAUCCUAAAACCUUGGAGUUAGCUAAAAGCCGCAUCUUAUGUUCUGACUUGUGGUUUGUUUCAUAAUAUAGGUGAAAUUUCAUAUUAUAUCCCACCACAAGCUUCGCAGUUGUAGUAGCAAGCCAAAUUUUUCUUCAGUUCAUUACCUCAAUAUGGAGCAGCUGAAAAAGUGUCUGAUAUCUCUAUAUGCUCUAUACGAAGAAAAUCGAAAUUCAAAUUCUAUUUACAAGAAUGAACCUGAGUUUUGCUCAUUUCACGUUCUUCUUCAUCUUGGCUCUAACAACCAACCAUUGGUGGAUACUUGCUUCCAUUGUUUGUUUGAGUUCAUCUUUUUCAGUAUCUCUUGUAGCCUUGUACUGGUUUCUGAAUAUGUUACUAUUUCUGUUCUGAAGGGAGAGUCACUCUCUUUAUGGUUGGGUCGUGUACCUUCUCUCAUUUUGAAGUCAAAGGAAAUGUGUUUUGCCCGGAGACUUUUAAGGUGACCACAAAGCUAUUAUAGAUUCGAUUUUCAAUUGAUUUUUUUCUCUUCUUUUAGUACCCAAUGUUCAAAUUUUUGUUUUCAUGAACUGAAAGAUCUGUCUUUUCUUGUAACAGAUUAUUUCGGAUGGGCAAUUAUAAGCGUUUCCUUUGUACUACAGCAACUGAGGCAUCUUAUUUGCAGUACUACAUUAUUGAACCUUACAUCAAUGAGGUUGCUUAAAUAUGUUGAUUUUGCUAGAUUUUUCAGUUUGAAAAAUAUAUGCUUCUUUGUUCAUUUAUUGUUUUUCAGUUUCAUUUCUGAGAAUAUAUCUCAAAUCUAGACUCGAGUACUUGUGCUUUUGGGUUUUAUUUUUCUUUCAUUUUUGUUAGUAGUUGUACUUCAUUAUUCUUAAAUUUCUCACCAACUGUUUCUUUAUGUGGUUUAUUGCUCCUCACUUUCUUCAUUCAUCUGAAGUGUUCAAAUUCAAUUAGCUUGUUUCAUAAACUAGUUCUUAUUUAGAAGUUCUUCUCAACUGCCUUUUUUUAGUGCUUCUAAAAGACAUGCCUGAUUUAUAUACAUUUUUGUUGGUUUUCUUUUGACCGUAAAAGGUUCGAGCAUUGGCAUUGUCAUGUGUAAAUUAUUGUGGCUACAAACUUCAUCCAUAUCCAAUUGCACACUUGUCCAAACUCUUGAUGAUGAAGGUAUGAUUGCAUUUACUAGCAUUAAAUUGCUAAAAUUUGUCAUCCAAAGUUCCAAUUUCUUUUGAACCUUGAAGACUUCAUUUGCAUUCUUGUAGGAAUUAGAUGUGGAAUCAUUUUGCAAUGCUUGUGGUCUUGAGACCAGCACUGGUGAGCGGGGAAAUAAGUUCUUAUCAACCAAGCAAACAAACUUCCAUUAUCCCAAGGAAGUCUUUCCAAGCUACUGCCUUCUGAGUUUGGAACACUUUUAGAGGUAACAAUCAAUUGGAACUAGUUACUCUUUCAAACUUCUUAUUGUACAAAUAUAACCUGCAUGUGCAACCAUUUCUGAUCCCAUAAUUUCAAGAAUUUAUGACACCUUCUAGUGGUUAGUUUUUCUGGGAAUAGAGUAAAGCAAUCUAUUCACUCCCAGAAACUAUCGUCAGAGGAACAGUAGAUAACCCCGCAAGACCAAAUUUAUGUAUGUUGCAUGGAGAUGCAUGUUUUCUGCAUCCCAAUCAUGCAGUGUUGUGUCAAAUGGAAUAAUAGCAGGUGAUGAUAAGUGGUAUUUCUAAAAUCUUCUAAGAGUAUUCCAUCUAUUGUAAUAUUGUUUUACUUAAAAUUGUCUUUUUGAGUCUUAUGUGUAAAUAUUCGAGUUGACCUCUUGUAAGCUAUCAAUUGAUGUUGUAACUUAACUUGAAAGGGAAAUUCUAUAAAUUUAGCCUUGGUUUGGCUCUUGGAAAGCAAAGAAAAAUUAGGUUAGUGAGUUGAUUUCUUCCCUUCCCAUGGAUGUAAGCACAUUCUUGAAUCACGUUAAUUAUUUUUUGGUUUAUUUUGUUGUUUUGUUGUUUAUUGUUCAAUUGUCUCCGCAUAACAAGUGGUAUCAGAGUUGUUUCCGACACACUAGAUGAUUCUUGUGCUAACACAAUGUUUGAGGCUAAAUAUAAGAUAGUAAAAGUUUCUAAAAUAUUUCCCUAUGACAGCUGCCAAUAAAGAAUGUACUUAACAGGAAGUUUGUAAGGUGUUACAUGGCAUGUUGAACAAAAUAUCUGAAAUAUUUGGGGCCACCGAUCCAACAAUAGCAGAUUAUAACACAAGAAGAGACCCUCUAAUCACCAUUUUUGCUUUUGAUUCUUCUUUACAAAGCAUCAUCUACUUUAUACAAAAAGACAACCCAUGGCUGAGCCCACAUUAUUCUCUACAUAUCCCAAAAAAGCCUUACAAAUUUUAGGGCAUGACGCUCUUUUUGGGGGUAUUUUUGGUACUAAAUUUGUGGUAGUCUCUCCAAUACCUAAACUAACCUCCAGAUUUUAAGGCAUGGCCCACUCUUUAAGGUGGUGUUUUGGGUACUAAUUUUUGUUAGGAGAGGUUUUAGUGUGGAAACUGGAGGGCUUUAGACAUGUCGCAUGUAUUUUCUUUUGCAUGCAUUACACAUAGAUCGGAGUUUUUGCAGUUACUCACACUUUUUGUGCGUCCAACAACACUAUAGUGCCACGUCACCAUAUGAUGGGCUCUUUAGUCUUUUCAAACCCAAAAAAACACCAAAAAAAAAAAAAAAACGAAUACUAAAAGGAGUGCUAACUAGCUAUGUGAAGGUGAACUUUUAUAGCUAGCUUCUUAGAGGGACCAUGAUCGCUUAGGCCAAGGAAGUUUGAGGUGAUAAUAGGUCUGUGAUGCCAUUAGAUGUUUUAAGCACAUGUGCGUUACACUAAUGUAUUCAACGAGUCUAUAACCUUGACCGACAGGUCUGGGUAAUCUUUGAAAUUUCAUUGUGAUGGGAAGGUUCCAUGCGAACAACACUUGCACAUGGGUUAGUCAAUCUUAAGAGACGGGGGAAGCCCGUCUAACAACGCACAAUGUGCGAGCUUUGAAAGGCAAUCGGGUUAACAUUUCUGAAUUGGGACAUGACAAUGACAACAACAUUAGGUAGUCUAGAGAUGUUGUCAUAUUAAUUGUUAUCAAUAUUUUUAUUUAUUCAAUAGAAAUUGAGGAUUAAAAAAUACCACAAAAAUUAGAAAAAACAAAAUUAAUUACAUGGCUUACAUUUCAGAUAUUUAAUAAAAUAUUGUAUGAAAGUUGAAUAUCAUACACUAUUAAAUGGUUGGAUUCUCCUCUUUAUUUUUUUUAAUUGUCUCAUCCUAUUAAAUUACUCAUCUAAUAUUAAUUUAUUUUAAAGGUAAAAUUAAUUAUAUUGUAAAAACCUUUUAAUUUACUAGAGUUUGUGCACAACAUCUAAUAUAUACUUAAAUACUUUUCCAUGCUAUAAUCCUCCAACUAAGAAAUGAAAUCAAAACUUAAAAAUCAUUUAUAUAUAUAGAUAUAUGUGAGUAAGGGAGGAGAUCCAACGGAUCUGUGCGCGAGCGAUGGUGAGAAAGAUUUCGUUGGCCUGGAAGCUCGUACCAGCCGGUGGAAGAGAAGCUUCGAGGUGGAGUCGAAGACUUUUGAGAUCGAGGUUGAGAGACAAAAAGGCAAAACGCAAGUCUUCAUUGAGGAAAGGAAAAGAGGGGUUUCCUCGUGGAUUAAGAUGGGGCCGGAGAGCCUAGGGUUUGUUGUGGAAGGGUUGGCUUUGUGUAUUAAGGAUACACGAACAGGCAGAUGGGUCAGAAAUUGGAGGGAGAGAGGGAGGAUCUUUUCAUUGCUGUGGGAUGAGAAUAAGGGAGGAAGCUUUAUCCGUCUGGGUGUAGAGGAUCUGGAGAAGAAGAGGUUUAAUAUUUUUAUCCCCAAAGGAAAUGGAGGGAAAGGGGGAUGGAUUGCGAUGUUGGAAACACUUAAGGCGCUGGUCGUUACUACGGAGAGGAAGAAAUGUCAGAAGGAGGAGAAGAUGCCGGUGGCGCCAUGUUUGGGGAGUAGCUACGCGGAAGUGGUGAAGGGACAGAAAUGUAAUGGCCGGUCAGUGGCUAGGGUAGAAGUAAGCCACAAGGACCUAUGCCAAAACCUAAAAAGGCUGGAUCAGUGCAUUGUUGGAUUGUGGGAUCCGAAGUUAGUCAAGGGGGAGGAUUUGAGGAGUUGGGGGAACCAAUUGGCUCGAUUGUGGGGGUUGAGGGGUAAUUUAGGUUUGGCUAAGUUGGGAAGGGGUAAGGUGUUGUUAGAGUUUGAGAGGAGUGUUGAAGCCGAAAAAGCCUUAAAUAUGGGAGGGCUUUUGGUAGGGAAGACACUGCUGCGACUGGAGAAGUGGAACCCUAGGACGGGGUGUCUGUUAGAAGGAGAGGAGAAGAGUGAGGCCUGGGUGAGAAUUGUGGGGCUUCCCAUCUCGUUGUGGGAUCGGGACAUCUUUAGAAAGGUUGGGGAGAAAUGCGGGGGUUCUUAGUGAUUGAUUCUCAGACGGAGAGGCUGGAAGAGUUGCAGUGGGCAAGAAUCCUGGUGAGACUAUCCGGCGAGGAGCCCCCUAGCAUGCUAGAAAUUGGGGUCGAGGGGGUGUGUUACUCGCUUGUCCUAUGGUGGGAGGUAAGGCCGGUAAUGAGAGUGCUGCCGGCAGAAAGGAGGGGAAAGAACAACGGUGAUGCUGUAGGAGGGGUUGAGGGUGAUGUCGCUACACGUGCAGGUAAGCGCGUGGUGGAAGUGGUGGAAGGUGUGAGGUCGAGACCCACAUGCAGUCUGCUGAUGGGACGAGGGAGCAGACAGGUGGGCCGGGGUCCCUUUGGGCUCGGUCCCGAGGCCCAAAAGGGCCGGGUCUGGGGGACCAAGUAGGCUUGCUUGGGAUGCUUGGCCCUACUGGGCCUCCUCGAGGCCUUGACUUGGGUGUUAGGCCCGAUGGGCUCGAUUCGCCUAAGGUCGGGCCGUUUUUCAGUGGGUCUUCGUCAUCUGAAGGGCCUUCGUCCUUAGAGGGCCUUAGGCCAAUGGAGUCCAUUAAGUUGGGUAGGCUAUCUGGGAAGGAAGAUUGUCAUGAUCCAUCUGGAGUGGCUCUGCCUCUGGUGUGGGCUGGCCCAAGUCAACUGAAGGAGUCAGAUGCUGAAGGCUUCCCUUCCUGGGUUUAUGAUGGCAGGCGGAGGCAAGCUGAAAUGGAGCCCUGUCUCGUAGAGAAGUCAAGGACCAACUGCGCCCUAAUUGAAGAAGCAACGAGGUAUGGGUGUGUUCCUAUCCCUUGUGGCUUAAUGGCAUCUGGACUCUCUCCUUCUCCUCUCUUCUUUUUUGGUCGGACCCCGUUGGGGGAUUUUUGCGACAUUUCUAGGGAUGAUAGGGUAACCUGUUUGAGAGAAACUCCCUUACAUAUGCUUCUCCCCUUGGGACCCCCAGAAGAGGAAAAUGCUUGCCGCUGGGAUUUGAGGGAGGGCCCAAGCGCCUGCAAGGAGAGCAGUGGUAAGGAGCUGAGGCUAGCCCAUUCGAUGCCACGUGAUGGAAAUGGAUGGGAGGAGGAAAGUUGGGAGGAAAGUGAGUUGGCCAAAUUUAGUAAGUUCUUGGGAUUUUCUACAGAAGGUCUGGAGAAAGAAAUUUUGGAGUUUCUGAUUAAAAUCCAAAAGAGAAGGGAAAAGGUCCACAGCAAAAACCUUCUAGAAAAAUCCAAGUUUGAAAGGGAAUUGAAAAGGCUGGAAUGCUCUAUUAACUACGAGGGGGGGAAGACGCAGAAGAGUGGAAUGAUAGUAGGAGGGUGUCAGAUUAUGGUGGUCAAAUGAAGCUGAGAAUCUUGAGCUGGAAUGUUCGGGGAGCUAACGACAACUCGAAAAGAAAGGUGAUUAAGGCCAUGAUCAGGAGUCAAAGAGUGGAUCUGUUCUGUUUCUAGGAGACCAAGAUUCAGGCAAUGACAAAGGGGCUGGUGAGAAGCUUAGGCAUUGGCAGGUUUCUUAAUUGGGGUACUCUGGAUGCCCAGGGGUCCCGCGGGAGGGAUUCUGAUCUGCUGGGAUAAGAGGACCUUGGAAAUAAUGGAAAUGGAGGUGGGGAGAUUCUCAAUUUCAUGUAGGAUGAGGAAUGUGGAAGACGGACUAGUCUGGAUGUUUACUGGGGUUUAUGGGCCAUUUUCUAAAGAGGACAGGGAGUGGAUGUGGAAGGAAAUAGGAGCAAUCCGAGGCAUUUGGGAGGAUCCAUGGUGUAUAGGGGGUGACUUCAAUGUCACCCUGUCACUGAGGGAAAGAAGUAAUCAGGGAAGACUAACGAGUGCAAUGAGAAGGUUUGCUCAAGUUGUUGAUGAGCUAGAACUCAUUGAUCUUCCAUUACAAGGAGGGAUGCUUACUUGGAGUGGGGGGAGGAAUAAUCAGGCAUGGGCCAGAUUGGAUAGGUUCCUGGUGACCCAGAGUUGGCUUGACCACUUCAGUGAGGUUGUGCAAUGUAGGCUGCCCAGACCGACCUCAGAUCAUUUUCCUAUUGUGCUGAUGGGGGGAGGGUUAAGGAGAGGUCCGUCCCCGUUUAGGUUUGAAAAUAUGUGGCUUAAAGCUGACGGGUUCACGGAUCUUCUUAGGGGCUGGUGGCAGGGAGUUGAGGUUAGAGGGAGGGCCAGUGUCAGACUAGCCACUAAAAUGAAGGUGCUGAAGCAUAAGAUUAAAGUGUGGAACAGAGAGGUGUUUGGUAGGCUGGAAGCUAACAAGAACUCAGCCCUGCAACAAGUGGAGUUUUGGGAUGGGGUGGAAAGGGAAAUGAGCUUGUCUGAAGGUGAAACUGAACUGAAAAAAGAAGCCAAGGAUUCCUUUAAAAUAUGGGUCUUAUUGGAGGAGACCCACUGGAGACAAUUGUCAAGGGAAUUGUGGCUUAAGGAGGGAGAUAGAAACACUGGAUUCUUCCAUAGAAUGGUUAAUGCUCACCGAAGGAAUAACUCUCUGGAUAGAAUAAAAAUUAAUGGAGUUUGGAUGACUGAGGAGUAGGAGAUGAGGGAGGGAAUAGUGAGUGCUUUUCAGCAGGUGCUUUCUGAGGAACCAGGCUGGAGGGCGGAUAUUGAGGGGCUGCACCUUAAUUGUCUAAGUUCCAGUGAAGCUAAAACUUUGGAGGUGCAAUUUACUGAAGAGGAAAUUUACGCAACCUUAAUGGGUAUGAAUAGGGAUAAAGCUCCGGGCCCGGAUGGGUUCACAAUUGCUUUUUGGCAAUCAAGCUGGGAGCUAGUGAAGGAGGAGAUUAUGGAAUUGUUUAGAGAAUUCUAUGACCAGUGUUCUUUUACCAACAGUCUUAACUCCACCUUUAUAGUCCUCAUUCCGAAGAAAGGAGGGGCUGAAGAUUUGGGUGAUUUCCGGCCAAUCAGCUUGUUAGGGGGUUUGUACAAGCUUUUGGCUAAGGUGUUGGCGAAUAGGCUAAAGAAGGUGUUAGAUAAGGUGGUGUCCGGGGACCAAAACGCCUUUGUGAGGGGUAAACAGAUCUUGGAUGCGUCUCUUAUUGCCAAUGAGGUGAUCGACUUCUGGCACAAGAGAAACGAGAAAUGGCUGAUCUGUAAAUUGGACAUUGAGAAAGCCUAUGACAGUAUUAAUUGGAACUUUCUCAUGAAAGUUCUGGUCAAAAUGGGUGUUGGGUCGCGGUGGUUGGAGUGGAUUUGGUGGUGCAUCUCUACCGCCAAAUUUUCAAUCAUGAUCAAUGGGGUCCCGACUGGUUUCUUCUCGAAUUCUAAGGGGCUAAGACAAGGUGAUCCCCUCUCCCCGUAUCUUUUUGUGUUGGGGAUGGAAGUUCUUAGUAAUCUAAUUAGAAGGGCGGUUGAUGGGGGUGUCUUAUCAGGCUGCGGAAUUCGGGGGAGAGGGGAAGAGGAGAUGAUAGUUUCCCACCUGCUCUUUGCUGAUGACACGAUCAUCUUUUGUGAAGCUAGCAAAGAGCAAGUGUCCGCUCUAAGCUGGAUUUUGGCUUGGUUUAAGGCGGCCUCCGGUCUUAGAAUUAAUCUUGAUAAAAGUGUCCUUAUUCCAGUUGGUGAGGUGGAAGAUAUUGAGGAGCUGGUUGUGGAACUUGGUUGUAAAGUGGGAGUACUGCCCACUAUUUACUUAGGGCUGCCCCUUGGAGCUCACCACAAAGCUGUCUCCAUUUGGGAUGGGGUGGAAGAGAGAAUGAGAAAGAGAUUAGCCCAGUGGAAAAGACAUUAUAUUUCAAAGGGAGGGCGUAUCACCUUAAUCAAGUGUACUAUGGCCAGCCUUCCUAUUUACAAUAUGUCCCUUUUUCGAAUGCCGAAGAGUGUUGUAAAGAGACUCAAAAAAUUACAAAGAGACUUUCUUUGGGGAGGGGGCAGCUUGGAGAGGAAGGUCCAUUUAAUUAAUUGGGAGGUGGUGUGCACUCGAAGGGAGAAGGGUGGCCUUGGCAUUCGGAAGAUUGACUCCUUGAAUAAAGCUUUGUUGGGUAAAUGGGUUUGGAGAUUUGCCGUGGAAAAGGAUAAUCUCUGGAGGUUAAUGAUUGGGGUGAAAUAUGGUCAGGAAGAGUUUGGGUGGAGAACUAAAGAAGCCCGUGGUACUUAUGGAGUGGGGGUUUGGAAGGAGAUUAUGAAGGAAGCUAAGUGGUGUUGGGAGAAUAGAAAAUUUAAGGUAGGGAAAGGGACUAGAGUAAAAUUCUGGUUUGACUAGUGGUGUGGGAAUGAGAGGCUGUCCCAUUCUUUUCCCCAACUUUAUGAGAUGGCGGUCAACAGGAAUGCAACGGUUAAUGAGAUGUGGGAUCAUAGCAGUGGUCCAGGAGAUUGGAAUCUUAGAUUUCAUAGAGGCUUUAAUGAUUGGGGGAGCUGGAUUUGAUUAGAGGACUGCUUAUUGUGCUUAGGGACUUCAAGCUAUCUUCAGAGGAGGAUGUGGUGCUUUGGAAAAGGGGGGGCCAUGGGAAGUAUGGGGUGAAGGAUGCCUACAAUGGGCUGGUUGUUAUCAAUGCUUGCGACUUUCCGUAUAGAGGCGUUUAGGUGGACAAGGUCCCAACCAAAGCGGCUUUUUUUGCUUGGGAAGCUGUGUGGGGGAAGAUUCUCACCUUGGAUAGGCUUCAAAAAAGGGCUGGCAGUUUCCUAACCGGUGUUUUUUGUGUGGUUGUGAAGAGGAGAGUGUAAAUCACAUUCUUUUACAUUGUAUAGUGGUAAGGGCCUUAUGGGAAAUCGUUUUUGCCCUUGUGGGGGUUCAGUGGGUGUUCCCAGAGUUUGUGAAGGAGGCGCUAUUCAGUUGGAGGGGCCCAUUUGUGGGGAAAAAGAGGAAAAAAAUUUGGAAUUCUAUCCCAUUGUGUAUUUUUUGGACGGUAUGGAAGGAAAGGAAUAGGUUAGCUUUCAAGGGAGGGGUGUUAAAUAUUCAGAAACUCAAGAAUUCUUUUGUUUGUACCUUGUGGAGUUGGGCUAGGGUGUAUAUUGGAGAGGAGUCCUCUUCUCUCUUAGGUUUUUUGGAGUGGCUAGCGGCCACUUAAGGGAGGGUAAGGUGCUUGUUUUUUUGUGCUCUCGUUUUGAGGCAGAUUUGUAUACGUCCUGUAUGCUUGGUGGCCUUUGCCCUUUAAUAUAUUUGUGAUAUUUAUAAAAAAAAAUAUAGAUAUAUGUUAUUAAGUUUAGGUAGUGAAACAAUUAAUGUGGAUAUAAAAUUAAUGCCAAAACUUUUGAUUGAUCCUUCACAUUCUCCACAACCAAACAAAGGAUAUAAGAAAAAUAAAGAAAGAAAUUUAGGGUAGCUUGAUUUUUUGUUCUCAUCUUGUUGUGAAGUUAAUAGAGGAAUGCUUAGGUUGGUGCUCAAUAGUUAAGUGACACCAGGGUAUAAUGAUUCUUCCAAUUGUGUAAACAUUAUCCGCUUUAAUUUCAAUGGAUCAUCAUCACUUUAAAUUGCAUCCACAUGGUUAAGAGCAACUCAUAUGUAUAUAAUAUCAUGAAUUUCUUCUUAUUCGAUAUGGAAUAUCAAAUUAGGUAUUGUAUAAGCGUUUCAACUCAAAUGACUUGGCUUAAUGUAUACUCAAAGCCAUGACAAAGGAACGUACAUGUAAUAAAGUGAAAAUUAAACCUUGUCGCCCUUCUAUCUCUAGUAUGAAACACAACUCCAUUAGCCCUUAAACAUCUGCAAAAAAAGAUAUACACAUCUGUUACAUUAAUUAAAAUAAAUGAUGCAAAAAGAGACUCUACAUGUCCAUGUACAUAAUUUGAUUAGAUUUGUUAUAUAUAUAGACAGAGAGAAAAAAAAACUGCUUAGAUUAAGGAUCUCAUUAAUUAAUACCUAGAAAAUAUAAAAUAAUAAGAAAAGAUUAGAAGGUGUGAAUCAUAAGAUAAAACUACAUUUUUGAAUUAGAUUCAUCGAAAGAUGGCAUAUUGUAUGAACAUUUGUACUCUAUAUAUAAAAAUUCAUAUUAUGGUUGAGAUGUAUUAAUUUGUCAUAUUUUUGGAAAAUUAAAGUAAUGAGUAAUUACACUAAAUUAAAUUAUUGACCUUAUUAAUCAAUACCUCAAGAGUAUAAAAUAGUAAGAAAUGAUUAAUACAAACUUCAUUGAAAUAUUUUUAUACACAUUGUGUAAAUAUUCUUAUUUAAUAAAAGUUUAUAUGUCAUUAAAUAAAUAGAGAAUUUUAACAUUAAUUGCAAUGCUAAGUAGAGGAGAUCCCAUAUUUAAGUUGUUGAUUAAGGCUUAUUUGAUAAAACUUAAUAUAUAUUACUUAAUAACUUAAGUUGACUUUAAGUUAGAUAAUAUUUAAGUUAUUUCCUUAAAAUUUAUUAUUUAAUAUUUACUUUCAGUGUUAAAGUUAUUUGAUAAAGCUAAUUUAAAAAUCAUUUUAAAUUUUCAAAUUGUCAUAUUUACCUUCAUUAAUUUGAUAACUAGAUGCAGAUAAAUGAAAAAAAGAAAUGAGAUUAAGAAUAAGUUAAUUAUUUUGAUUUAACACUUAAAAUUAAAAGUAACUUUAAAAUAUAAUAUUAAGUUAUUUUAUCAAAUAUAUUUAAUAAUUAAAUUAAGUUAUUAAGUCAAUGACUGAUUACCAAACACCCUAUAAGACCUAGAAAAUCGAAUGAGUUUUAAUAGUAUUCAGGAUGGGUAUGACUAGGUGGUGGUUCAAUGUUGAUUAAUCAUAAUUCAAUCAAGGCAAAAUAUGUAACAAAUACAUGUCAAACUGCACCAUCCAAAUGGGCGCCAAGAAUGUUACAUUUGACAAAUGACAAAUGCCAUUAAACCUUUACAGCUAGCAAUUAGAAGAUCACUCUCUUCUUGUAUCUCUCUUUUUCUCCAAACUCCAGGAGGAAAAACUCGAACUCCAUUAUUUUGAUCACAGAAAACAUGGCAAAAAAGUGUGUUGUACUUCAUCUUGAAGCUCAUUAACUUCAUCUUAAUUUGAUCCAAAUUGCAGAAACAUUCGAAACUCCAUGAAUCUAUGGUGCCUUGGUGGCCUACAUUCAUAUAACUGGGGACACUUUGGUUUGCACUACAAUGACCCCCAAACAUGGUUUGUAGAGACUUUAUCAAAAUCACUAGCUUCAAAAGACUAAGGAAAGAAAAAUGUUCUCAAUGAAAACUUGGAGUCGAAUUGCAGAUAAAGACCUAAAACUCCCACUCAAUGUGUUUUAGGAAUUGUUCUUUCAUGGGGAUAAGCUGUUUGGUUUGUACAUGUCUCCUUGGUGAUACUUAGAGAUUGGUGAAGUAUACGUUUCCUUUGUGAUCUGGUUUGUAUCUGGGCAGAUGAAUGUUCAUGCCAGGUUCAUAUAUGUUUAUGAUAUAUGUCACCCUGGAAGGAUCUAGAUCAAGGGGAUGAGUUUGAAAAGCUUGAGUAGGUUUAAAAUGUUCCGAGAAUUGGUGAGCAUGAUAUAUAUCAACAUAUUGCAGAAGACAACAGAGCUUCUGAAAUAUGUCAGAUUCAAUAGUAGGACAUCUUAUCAGCUGUCACUUACUGUAAUUCUAUGCUCUCAAUAUUCAUUUGUUGAAGAAGAAAAAAAAAUUGCUUUAACACUAUUCAAUUACAGGAGAAUGUUCAAUUAUAGAAGAAAAUAAUAUUCGCUAGUCUCUUUCAACUGAAUCAACAUGCAGAGAAAGCAGUCAGGUGACCAGUUAUUCACAUAAUAACUUACAUACAUUGUCUCUCUACCUCUACUUGUUACUCAUCAGCCAAGCUUACAGUAAUAUAAGCUUGGGUUCAUCUCUCUAUGCCACUGAUGAAAACUCCACAUGGGCUUUGCCUUUCUGGUGAUUUUGCAUUUGGAUUCCAACCCUCUCCAAGUGAAGUGGACUUAUUCCUUCUUGCUAUCUGGACUGCAAAUGGAAGUUAACCGGUGCCAAGAGGAUCAAAAGUUGGGCUUACCACCAAUAGACGGCUUGUUCUCUAGAGGCUAAGAUAUGUGGAAGACAGACUGGUAAUGUGAGCAGCGAACCAGUGCAUGGUGCCAUGCUUGGAGAUGGAAAUUGCAUACCAGUGUAUGGGAGAGCUUCAAGCACCCGACUAAUACCAUAUUGCCAACCCAGGGAUUGGUGUUGGAGCCUACUGUGCAGUUGCUAUUUAUGAGGACCUGAGGUUUCCAAAUGGAACUGGAAGCUGUUGGAGGAAAAGACUUACCUCUUUCAAAUGGGAGGUUGGAUCAAACUGCUGUUUCCAGAAGUGCUCUAAUCAAGAUAUUGAAGUCCAGUGAACUAACUUCAGGCAGAGGCAACCAAAAUAAAGCAAUUCUAAUACUCUCAGUCCUCUUAGGCCCCUCUGUGUUCUUCUUCUUCAUUUCUCUGGCUGCAAUUUCUCUAGUUUUCUACUGCUUGAACCUCAAAAAUCUGCAGCUUUAUCACAGAAUCCUGAGUACAAGCGAUGGUAGAAGCCUUUGGCACUGUCUAUAAAGGGAUAUUACCAUCAGGUUCUGGAAAUUCUGUUGCUGAAAGAAGUUGGAGAAGGUGGUGGGAGAAGAUGAGAAAGAAUUCAAAGCAGAAGUGAAUGUGAUAGGCCAACUCACCAUAAGAAUCAAGGACACUAGCUGCGUUACUGUUGUGAGGGUGAACACUGAAUACUGGUGUUUUUUUUUUAUGCACAAUGGCUCUUUAUCAAGGUUCCUUUCUGGAGGCGCCCAAGGACUUGUGUACCUACAUGAAGAAUGCAGUAAACAGAUCAUCCAUUGUGACAUAAAGCCCUCAGAACAUAACUCUUGGAUGAUUCUUCUACAGCCAAAGUUGCAAACUUGGACUGGGAAAGCUUCUGAUAAGCAACCAGACUAGAACACUCACAGGCAUCAGAGGGACUAUGGGGUAUAUUCAGACAACUCGGGCAGCCUAUGUCUCUUAUAAUAACACAUUGUGAAGCAUCAGCUCAAUGCCGGGGUUCAAUCUGCAAAGCAAGGGAUUCAUCAAUGUUUCCUUCAAACUAAAUGAUAAGGAACAGAAAUGGAUCAUUCUGCAUUUUCAGUGGUGUUUGUUAUAGCAUUUAUACAAGAACUCUAGGGGUUUCUAUGUAUAACUUCAUUCCCAUUUUGUAUAAUCCAAAUCUCUUCAAUCGAUUAAAUGUAUAAAUGAAUCCUAUUCAUUGUUUGGAGUAACAACAAAAUUCUGGAAGACUGGGAAAGUUUCAACACUGGAGAGAAGACAAAAUGACAAGACCAUAAAUUCUGGAAGAGGGCUUUGCUUUCUAACCAUUACCAUAAUUUUUGAGCUCAACCCGGAUGAGUAAAUUAUAUUUCAGAAUGUUCAGGAGAUAAUUCUAAAGUGAUGAACCUUCUACUCACAGUUUCUUGUUCUUCUUGAACAGAGCAAUGAACAUCAAUAGUUCAGCACCCAGGAAUCUCCCCUUCCUCCAAUUCCCCCACUGGGAAAAGUCACCUUUCCAGUUAAGAAAAUCAUCAGGAUUAAUUUGAGCAAAACAUCAGAGUAUACAUCAAGAAAGCCUUGAUCAAAAUCAAAAUACAUCAAGAGCUGCCAUUUUCUUCUAUUUCCUCUUCCCUGAAUGGAAUGUCUUUUGGACUGAGGUGAUCAAUGGUAACAGUCUAACAUACUCCUUAAGCUCCGAUUGAGGUCAACGGGGAUUGGCACAUUUCAUGAUUGGCAAACAUGAAUCUCAGGAUAAUCAACAAGUCAACAACUAUCAAUCAGUAAGGAAAAGGAAAUACCUUUGGAUAUUUACAAAUAAAAAAUUUGAGAGAGUCCAGCUGCUCUGUACAGAAAGGCUUGAGCUUAUUCCAUGGCCAGGCUUUAGAUGGUUCUGAAUUAAGGAUGAGAGGGUUGAGUUUUCUUUCAUUCUGCAAUAAGAUUAAAAACAUCAAUGAAACGCUAAAAGUUUAUAUAUAGAAGCCCUUCUAAAGAUAAGAAUUGGUAAGAGAGCCCACCCAUGGUCUAGUAAAGCAACAUCUGUUAGAUAAGUAACCACCAUUCUAUUGUCCAACUAAUGCAUUUAGAUCUAAGAUAAGAUAUGGAAAAAUAGUCGAAAAUAGUUAAAGACAGUCCAAAAACUCAUUUGACUAAUAAUUUUCUAAAAACAGUAACAUAAAACCAGGAUGAAGAAUCCACCCCUCUACCUGACACCACUUCAAUACCAAAUAAAAUGUUAUGAUGACCAUUUAUGGUCUUAAGAGACAGUGGAUGUUGUUUGGGCUCAAGACCUAAGACAAGCCAAAAAUCAAGAAGAAAACAACAUCAAAAUUGGCACAGAAACAAGUACAUCAACUAUCUAAUAAAGAGAUUUAUGCAUGUAACAAAUGCAAAUGAAAUAUGAUCCAAGAUUUUCAUGGAUUAAACAAAAAUUAUUUGAAAUAUGAUCCAAGAUGGCAAAAUAGAAGGAUAAGGUCACAGACAGGACAAUAUUAAAAGAAAUUAUUAUUUUUCUGACCUGAAAAUCGAGGCAUUCAGAACAGUACAAGUUUGUAAGUAGUCCAUGGAAACCAGGGAACAUAUGCAGACGUUGUAUUCUAUUGCAUAAGGCAAACACUCAAUACUUACAAGCAUAAUCAUGCCCAGAAAGCCAUGAAUCCCUUUCUGUUUUGCUUUUUUACCUAUUCUCAUCUCUUAUGGCCAGAAGUGCCCAGGAUGAUACAACCUCACCAAAUAAGUUAGAAACCAGCCCAUUCAGCAGGUUGAGUAGCCAGCUUGCCCUCAAUCUUCUUUGAGUCAACAAACAGCUGGGCAUUAUUGCCUCCAAUGGAGGGUCUGGAAAUAUUAGAGCCGGCAGCAGGGGUGGCUGUAAAACUCUCUGUUCCAAAACCCCAAGUUUCAGGGCCAGAAGUUCCUUCUGUGGCUGGUUUGUUGUGAUGGCCAUUUCGGGUCCUAACAGACUUGCUAUUGUUGUCUGGGCACCUGCCUCAGAGAAAGCCUGCCAAAGAUUAGAGUCUGGGCCAGGGGAAACGGAUUUUCUUUGCUGGAGUUCCCAGUCUGUUGCUUCAAUCUUUUCUCUGUGCUGUUACGAGAAGAAAACCUAUCAGACACAUGAAUGGGUACAAAGAGGUAAACUUCAGGUUUUGGUUGUAUUGAAAAGCACAGGAAACUUCACAAGAGGCAAAUUAUACCCCAGGCUUAUUGAAGAAAAAUAAAGUACAAUUGACUUACCCAAAUGUCUACUUUCUCAUUUAUAGGUUUCCUCCUAAACAAAUCCCCACAUCUAGGACAGGAAAAGGAAGAAACUGGGAGUCGACAUUUUUUCAACCAAAAGCACUAACUUAUCAAAAAACAUAGUUUUCCAUUCAACCUCGGGAGCUGUACUUUCUGAUAUUGUCUUCUUCAAUGCCCAUUUCUUCAGGCUUCUUAAAGUGCUUAUGAUUGGUGGAGGUGCUUCCAAAAUCACACAACUUCCAUAAUCCAUUAGGGCCCAAUGGAAGAUUCUCAGCAUUUAUAUAAGAACUUCAGGGUUUAUACAUAUGAUCAUGUUACAGUAUAAAUCAUAGUGAACUGGUGGAAUUUGAUCAUUAGCCAACCUCAUCAAAAACUGUUUCACAGUUGAGGGGAUUGUUAACCUUGCCAUGGGCCAAGCAGCAAUUUCUGAAGAAGCUGGGUGACAAAAAGUACCAUCAUUUGGACUAGUUUCAAUGGAAAUUCCUCUGUUUUUAUACAUGAUAUCUUCAGCUUCAGCUUUUCCUUUUGCUUUUGACAUGGCUGAAACUGAUCCUGAAAUCAAAAAUCCCACACAAGUAGAUAUUUAACAGAAGAGGAUCCCAAUCUCUUCAAUUGAUUAAUGUAUAAAUGAAAUAAUAAAAAUAAUUAUAGGGAGAUGAACCUUAUACCUCUUGAGUUUCUUAGUCUUCUUGAACAGAGCAAUGAGCAUCAAGUGUUGAGCACCCAGGAAUCUCCCUUCCUCUACAGGGAAAAUCUGACAAUCUAUCUUUCUUCAUAUUCCACUUCCUUGCAAAAGUCAAAACAUGAAGAAAAUAUCAUCAAAAUUGAGGCAAAAAUAAGUGCAUCAACUGUCUCAAGAAGAGAUUUAUGCCUAUUGCUUACCUUUUGCAGAAUUCCACUUGGUUAGAGCACAUUUUACAUGGCCGCCCAAUCACUGCAAGCUGCUGAACCAAAGGAGAGUUCAAACAUCUAAAAAAUUUGACUAACUCAAGUAUCAUAAAAUACUUCACAUGAAUUCUAAAUGAUCUCAUAUCUAAAAAACUUUGGCAUAAAAUUAUUGUUGUUUACCUUACAUGUUUCUUCCAUGGUCAUAAUCGAAACUUUGUUUAUCAUAAGAAAUCUUCUAUGCUCAUCCUGAUUACUUACAAUGAACACUGAAAUGAAAGAAAAAAAAAACACAAAAAAUUUAAAUGUAUUUAAUUCCAAUUAAAUGAGUUUAAUCAAACACAUGAAAUUGUGAAUAAAAUUAUUUAAAAGCAUUGAAAUUCAUGUCAUUAAAGUUGUCCAUAAAAUUUGGUAUAUUGAAGCAAGAAAAAAACAAAGCAAUUUGAAUGACUUGCUAAUAAAGCAGGUAACUAGAAUAUGCCCUAGAGUUGUUCCGUGCCUUGUAUAUAAGAAAUUUAAAAAAAAAAAUCCUAAAAAGAAACAAACAAAAUAUCCAUGGUUCUUACGUUAUUUUUUCUUAAUUUUUCAAUAGUUAUAAAUGGUUCAUUUAAUUCUUGCAAACCACCAAAUCAAAGCAGAACAUGAAAAUGUAUUCAAUAUUUGUUUCAGGCUUGAAGCUUCAAGAAAAAGAAAAUCUUAAAUCAAAUAAAUAGGACUAGCAAAUGAAUUGGAACUUGAAAGAAAAGUUCAAGCGCAAAAGAAUUACCUGACUCUAUAUUGGCGGAGUGGCACUUUGAUUAAUAUAACACAUAAUUGAUCGUUAUUUUUGGAAUGUGAGCUAUAUAACGCCAUUCUUCCCCUUUCUCAAAUUGACACCGUUUUUCCAGUAAAGGACAUUUGUAGAUGUACAGAUCAGAGAGGGAGUCUGGAAGUCUCUCUUUUGUCAAGUAUUUGAGCUUACGACAGUUAUAGAUCCCUAAUGUUUUAAGAGAGGUGAGGUGUUGAAGACCCACUUUUGUCAAGGAUUGGAGCAUUGGGCAGUAAUUGAUCCCCAAACUUUCAAGAGAGGUGAGGUGUUGAAGACCCACUUUUGUCAAGGAUUGGAGCAUUGGGCAGUUUUCGAUCGACAACAUUUCAAGAGAGGUGAGGUGCUGAAGACCCACUUCUGUCAAUGAUUGGAGCCUCGAGCAUCCAUCAAUUUCUAAUCGUUUUAGAGAGAUAAGGUGUUGAAGAACCGAUCCUGUCGAGAACUGGAGCUCUGGGCAGUUUCUGAUCUGUAAUUGUAGAAGAGAGGUGAGUUGUUGAAGACCCCUGCUGUCAAGAGACUUGAGAUUCGAAAGCUCUACAAUUUGAAGAGAAGUCAGAGAAGAGGGCAGCAAACAGUCCUUGGGAAAUAAUUCAAUGUCUUCACAUCCACCGUUGAUUGUGAAAUGAGUAAGAGAGGUCAGCCUUUGCAAAUCGCACUCCACCUGGGGCGUGAAAUCGGUAAUUUCAAGUUUACGUAGGUUGGAAGGCAAACCCUCUCUCUGAAACAACAAUUCUGGACAAGACCCUAAAUUCAACUCCUGUACAGAUGAGUGUGCGUGUGCCAACGACCAGAGCUUGGAGCACCUAUAAAUCGAACAAGACUCCAAGUUGAGAGCGUGCAAUUCGAUAGAUUCAAGAUCAGGGCAACCAUCUAGAAACAGGGAACAUAAUGAUGUGGGAUCACCCUCUGAAACCAAAAUGGAGAGCUUCUCAAGCCCCUUAAGAUUAAGGAUUCUGAAAUGAGUCAACUUGGGGAAGAUGCCUAAUGAGAAGGAUAACGAGAGAGAAUCAUCGAUAACACCACGAUUGAUGAUUAGACUUUCAAGGACUGGGAGAUGGCAUCUGAACAACUCAGGUACGAGAAUCUCUAAUUUCGAGCACUCAUAGAUGACUAGUGAUUUCAGUGUAGUGGGUAAACCAACUUUGUGUAGGGAUCUAGAAAAACUACAGUCAUAGAUUUUCAGAUCAUGUAUGUUGGUUUGCGAGAUUUCCUCCUCUAGCAGAGACUCCAC
This 97399-nucleotide long non-coding RNA is filed under the name Vitis vinifera (wine grape). RNAcentral's name for it is "long non-coding RNA (VVIN_LNC006937)". Lineage: Eukaryota; Viridiplantae; Streptophyta; Magnoliopsida; Vitales; Vitaceae. The record is from RNAcentral.